RNAcentral lists this long non-coding RNA (170204 nucleotides) under Triticum aestivum (bread wheat). Its description in RNAcentral is "long non-coding RNA (TAES_LNC022108)". The stretch from base 30299 to 30433 matches the Rfam family "MIR1120/MIR1122 microRNA precursor family". The record is from RNAcentral. Lineage: Eukaryota; Viridiplantae; Streptophyta; Magnoliopsida; Poales; Poaceae.
AUAUUUGAACCAAAUAUUCCACGCCUUAUGUCUAUAUUGGCGUAGGAUUGAUAUACGAAUUUGGUAAAAGUCCACUUCUUUUUGUAGACCUAUCACUCCACCAAUACGAUGUCUAUACAUACCUUGGGCUUGGAAGUGGACACUGAGAAUAGAAAGGAUGACAAGGGUGACAAACAUAUGUGAGUAUGUCGCCAUGGGUAUCUAAUAAGAGAGAUCACUUCGGGGUUUGUUUUGUGCUCUGAAUGGGUAGAAACAUUGGACGGGUGAGGAAAAUAUAUAGGCGGGUGUAGAUGCAUAUCAAGGCAUGCAUUUAUGAUAUUAUUAAUUUAAUUAAUUUGUUGGCAUUAAAUCCCUUCUUGAGAUAUUGCGUUCCUUCCUACUCGGUGCAGGAUAUUGCAUUUUGGAGCAAGUAUUCAUUGCCCACAUUUAUAUUCUCUGAUCUUUCUCUGAUACUAAGAUAAACGUAACCAGAAAAAUUUGGGAGCUAUACAUUUAAUCUCGACAAUGCAGUGGUUGGAUGGUUAGGUCGACAGUGGUAUCUAGGGUUGAAGUCCUGGUGCUCGCAUUCAUUCCUGGAUUUAUUUCAGGAUUUUCGGCGAUGCGUGUUUAGUGGGAGGAGACGUUCCCGUCGACUACAAGGCCCCUUUGUGACUUCGUCAAUCUCAGAAUGAUAUACCGGUUUAGUCUCUCGGAGGUGCUCAUAGAUAUAGGGUGCGCGUGUCUAUUCAUAGGGAUGAGUGUAUACGUGUAUAUAUGAGCAUUUGUGUUUGUAUUGUGUUAAAAACAAUGCACUCUAAGAGGCUCUACCAUUUUGUUUUAUUUUUAUGGUAGACUGUAGCAUUUAGACUGGUAGGCAAGUUACCUGUCAUAUAUUUUAUGCACUAAGGCCUUGAGAUCUAUGGGCUGACUAUUUAAUUAUUAAUGCAAAUCAUAAGAAAAGGUAUGGAGCAUGCUGGGAACCCUCAGGGGCAUGAUAUGGUUAGAAUGACUAGUGGACCCGUUGUGUCAAAUGGCGCAGAUGCGCGCUAGUACGUGAUGAAAAAUAUAUUCAUGAUUUAAUCCCCUUUAAUAGGAAACACGGCGGAUUGUUAUCUAUAAUGAUAUGUAUAAUUUGUACUUGCUACCAUGUUUGUAGAGGCCCAUUUGAAAUCAUGUUCACAUUGAUCUCUACUCGUAAAGGAGGAGUUUGUGGUUGUGAUGGUAGAUAUGUCUUCGUUUGUCAUCUCCACGUCGCUUCCCACGCCCCCCCNNNNNNNNNNNNNNNNNNNNNNNNNNNNNNNNNNNNNNNNNNNNNNNNNNNNNNNNNNNNNNNNNNNNNNNNNNNNNNNNNNNNNNNNNNAUUUUUUCUUCUCAGAAACGAAAAGUCCUUCUCCUUUAACCCUAUCUCAGCAGAGACAAUGAUCCCCACCGCGGGAGCUAUUUCUCGCAUUCAGCGAGCCUAAACACUUCUCUGGCUGAAUCAUUCCGACUAAUCGAGCUGGCCUACUAGCGCACAGUAAAUAAAAAAAACUAUGAAUUGAAGCAUUCCAACUAAUCGGGUCGGACCACUAGCGCACAGUACACAUAAAAACUUUGAAGAAAAUGGAUUCGAACCGUGCUUGCUUCGAUCAAGAGUAGAGGCCACUCUGAACUUAGUGUUCACAUACGAGGUGCACUCUACUUGAGGUAAAACACCGGAGUUUGUUUUUAUUUCUCUAGUUUUCCUCUCUUUUUUUGUUUCUUUGUUUGGUUUUCUUAUUUUUCUCCGGUUUUCUUUCAUUAGCCAUUAUAAUUCGGUCCUUUUUUUUGUUUUUUCCAUUGAUUUUCUGUUUUCAAUGCUUUUCUCCGUUUUCUUUUCUUUUUCCCUUUUUUUCUCUGGUUUUUGUUUUGUUUUCAUUUUUUAUUCUUUCUACAUUUGUUUAUUCAGUUCUUUUUAAUUUGUGGGGGUUUAGUUUGUUUGUUUUUUGUUUUUGGUUUUUGGUUUUCUUUCGUUUCUUUUGUUUUUUNNNNNNNNNNNNNNNNNNNNNNNNNNNNNNNNNNNNNNNNNNNNNNNNNNNNNNNNCCUUUUUUUCUCUGGUUUUUGUUUUGUUUUCAUUUUUUAUUCUUUCUACAUUUGUUUAUUCAGUUUUUUUUAAUUUGUGGGGGUUUAGUUUGUUUGUUUUUUGUUUUUGGUUUUUGGUUUUCUUUCGUUUCUUUUGUUUUUUAGUCUACAUUUUUUGUAUGUCAAAAACAUUUUUUAAUAAGUGAUCAACAUUUUUGUUAUACACGUUCAACAUUGCCUGAACGUUUAUUCAACAUUUUUCAAAUACUAGUUCAACAUUUUAAUACUUAUUCAACAUUUUUUAAUACUCGUUCAACAUUUUUUAAUACUUAUCCAAUAUUUUUUAAUACUUAUUCAACAUUUUUCAAAUACUGGUUUAACAUUUUUCAAAUACUCGUUCAAAACAAUUUAUACUUGUUCAACAUUUUUCAAUACUUUUUCAAUAUUCUCAAAUACUUGUUCAUCAUUUUUCAAAUUCUUGUUUAACAUUUUCUUAUAUUUAUUCAACAUUUUCAAAUGCAGGUUUAACAUUUUUCAUAUACUCAUUCAAAAAUAUUAAUACUUGUUCAACAUUUUCUAAUACUCGUUCAACAUUUUUCAAAUUCUUGUUCAACAUUUUCUAAUACUUAUUCAACAUUUUUCAAAUACUUGUUCCACAUUUUAUAAAAAAAAUUAACCUUUUUCAAAUACUUGUUCAACAUUUCUUAAGUACAUGAUCAGCCUUUUUCAUACACAUUUGUAUUUUACUGUAUAACUUUUGUGCAUAGAUUAAAACGAUUUUCAUGUAUGCAUCAAAAUUUAUUAUCAAAUGCUUAGUUAACAUUUUUUAAAUGUUUUUUACUUUAAUUGACAGUUAGUUCAUCAUUUCUCAGUCUGUUGAUACAUCACGUCCUAGGUCGAUGGUGCGAUGGCUAGCAUCAGGCGCUCCUCGCGAAGCGAGCAGGGUUCGAAUCUAGUUCCUGUUUUCUCUUAGGCCAACUCCAGCGCGCGACCCCAUCUUGUUCGGGUGCGUCUGUUCGGGGUAGAACGGAUGAAUAGCGCGGCCCCAAAUGGUCAAAUGUCUGGAUUUCGUUUGUUUUCGACCCAUUCCCGACCCAAACUUGCGCCGAGUUUGGGGUGAAACGGACAUCACGCGGACGGGCUCGACGCACGCCCUUGACCCCCGUAGCCCGCCUGUCAGGGACACUAGCAGUCUCUUCGCUUCCAACGCCUCCACCAGCUCCCCCCCACCCUGCCACCGGCGCCGCCACUAUUCUUCAGCCGCCUCCUCACUGCUCACCCCCCACCGUCCAUACCAAACCACGUCUCGACAUGACCGCCAUCAAACCAGUACAACAAGGGAUACUACCUAGCUGAUGGUAUAUAUCCUCAGUGGUCAACUUUUGUGAAGACAAUCUCAAACCCCCAAGGUGAGAAGAGAAAGAGAUUUGCCUAAAUGCAAGAGAGUGUUAGAAAGGAUGUGGAACGUGAUUUUGGUGUGCUUCAAUCCCGAUGGGGUAUCGUUCGAAACCCUGCACUGACAUGGGAUGAAGGGAAGCUUUGGGAGGUGAUGACUGCUUGUGUGAUCAUGCACACCAUGAUCGUCGAGGACGAGCAUGAUGACAGGAUCUUCGACCAAGUAUUUGAUUUUCAAGAUGAAAAUGUUGAGCCCCUGCACCAAGAACCGGCCACAUUUGAACAGUUUGUCCAUUUUCAUCUUGAAAUGCGUGUUUAGCACACUCAUUUGGAUCUUCAAAAUGACUUGGUUGAGCACGUGUGGACUCACGUUGGCAACGAAUAGAUGUAUUGAUUCAUUAUGUUCAUUCAAGACAAUUUUGAUUUGGUUGUAAAACUAUUUUAUUAGAGACAAUUUCGAUUGGGUUGUAAAACUAUUUUUAUUUUUAGACAAUUAAUAUUUGGACAUGCAAACUUGUUUUGAACAUUGAAAUAUGAAUAUAUGGGCAUUUUUGGCUGUGGCGGACAAGAUGGGGCCGAAGGAUGCGUCCGCGCGCUGGGCGCACGGCCACCGCAUCCCAGGACAGACCCGGGCACGACCCCAUUGCCCUACCCAAACGGACUCGUUGUAAAACGCCUAUUUCACACAUUAGAAAACAUAUAUUUUCAGUUGUUCCAAAAGAAUUGGCUCCCUAACUUCUGAAAACCGAUUUCACUCAUUUCGAAAAGUUCAUUUCUUUAUGUUUAGAAAAUCAAUUCCACUCAUUAGAAGAAACUGAUGUCACUAAUUUGAAAAGAAAUAAUUUCACCCAAUUGAGAUAAUAGAUUUCACUCAGUUUAAAAGAAUGAUCUCGCUCAUUUCAGAAAAAUAUUUCGCUCAUUCCAAAAAGUAUGUUUCACUAUGUUCAAAAAACCAGAUUCCGCUCAUUUCAAAAGAUGGAUUUCUCCUUAUUCAAAAAACUUAUUUCACUCGUUUCAAACAAUAUAUUUAAAUCAUUUCAACACAGAUGAUUUCACUAAAUUGGAAAACAUAUUUCACUCAGUUUAAUAGAAUGCACUAAAUUGAAAAAACAUAUUUCACUCAGUUUGACAGAAUGAUUUUAUCAUUUCAAAAAAUGAUUCCACUCAUCAAAAAAUGAUUUCACUCAUUUUAACAAACAUGUUUAACCUAGUCAAAACACUGGUUUCACUCAUUCCAAAAAAUAUAUUUAAAUCGUUUCAAAACGGUUGAUUGCACUAAAUUAAAAAAACAUUUCACUCGGCUUAAUGAGAAUGAUUUCACUCAUUUCAAAAAAUUGAUUUUAAUAAUUUUAACAAACAUGUUUCACUCAUUCAAAACACUGGUUUCACUCAUUCCAAAAUAUAUAUUUAAAUCAUUUCAAUACGGUUGAUUCACUAAAUUGGAAAAAAAUAUUUCACUUAGCCUAAUAGAAUGAUUUCUAUUAUUUAAAAAAAGAUUUCACUCAUUUCAAAAAGUGAUUUCACUCAUUUUAACAAACAUGUUUCACUCAUUCAAAACACUGGUUUUACUCAUUCCAAAAAGUAUGUUUCAUUGUGCUCAAAAAACAGAUUCCGCUCAUUCGAAAAACUUAUUUCACUCGUUUCAAAAGUUGGGUAUAACUUAUUUAAAAAUGGUAGAUUUCAGUAAUUCGAAAAAAUGAUUUCACUCAAUUUAACAGACAUCACUACUGGAAUCAGAAGAUUUGUCGUCUGUCCCCUCUUUGUCGUCACCUAGCGGACGACAAAGAACGGCUUUGCCAUCAGCCACCGGAAAGCAGACGGCCAAGGAAGGCUUUGCCAUCAGCCAACAUUUUGCCGUCCGCUAGCUAACAACAAAGAUUCUUUGUCGUCCGGUAGCUGACGGCAAAGAGGGUGUUUGGCCCACUAGAUGUUAAGCCCUAACAGGCCCCCACUUUGCCGUCCGCCAGCAGAUGGCAAAGCGUCCGUUGCCCUCAGCUUGCAGACGGCAAAGACGACAUGGACGACAAAGCUUCAAAAUAAGUUAACGGCUUGCGCCCCCGCCGUCGCCUUAUCUCUUUCUCCUCUUCUCUCCGCCUAACGAGCACCGCCACCGCCCCACNNNNNNNNNNNNNNNNNNNNNNNNNNNNNNNNNNNNNNNNNNNNNNNNNNNNNNNNNNNNNNNNNNNNNNNNNNNNNNNNNNNNNNNNNNNNNNNNNNNNNNNNNNNNNNNNNNNNNNNNNNNNNNNNNNNNNNNNNNNNNNNNNNNNNNNNNNNNNNNNNNNNNNNNNNNNNNNNNNNNNNNNNNNNNNNNNNNNNNNNNNNNNNNNNNNNNNNNNNNNNNNNNNNNNNNNNNNNNNNNNNNNNNNNNNNNNNNNNNNNNNNNNNNNNNNNNNNNNNNNNNNNNNNNNNNNNNNNNNNNNNNNNNNNNNNNNNNNNNNNNNNNNNNNNNNNNNNNUUUAGGUUGUUUAGUUUAGUUAGUUUAAGUUUAAUUGGUUUAGGUUUUCUAGUUUAGUUAGUUUAGGUUUAAUUAGUCUAGGUUAUUUAGUUUAAUUAGUUUAGGUUUUUUAGUUUAGUUAGUUUAGGUUUAAUUAGUUUAGGUUAUUUAGUUUAAUUAGUUUAAGUAGUUUUUUUAAGUACAAACAAGAAAGAUGAAAAAAAGAAGUAAAAGAAGAAGAGGAAGAAGAAGAAGAAGAAGAGGUGUCGGGGUGUCGUGUCGAGGGUCGAGGGGUCGGGGUGUCGGGGUGUCUUGUCGAGGGUCAAGGGGUCGAGGGUCGCCGAGGGGUCGAGGGGUCGAGGAUUUGCCAUUCCGACCACGACACCCCGACCCCCUGACCCCGAUUCCCCGACCCCUCAACCCUCGACACGACACCCUGAUAACCCACAAGUGUAGGGGAUAGUUGUAGCCUAUUUCGAUAAGUAAGAGUGUCGAACCCAACGAGGAGUUAAAGGUAGAACAAAUACUCUCUCAAGUCCUAUCGGCCACAGAUACGACUCUACACAUGCUUGACAUUAGCUUUACCUAGAACAAGUAUGAAACUAGAAGUACUUUGUAGGUGUUUUUUGGGUAAGCUUGCAAGAAAGUAAAGAACACGUAAAUAAAAACUAGGGGCUGUUUAGAUAAAGUAGCAAUAAAGUAAAUAUAAUGAGUGUGGAAAAGUGGUGGUAGGAGUUGUGGAAUUGUCCCUAAGCAAUUGAUUACGUUGCUAGACCGAUAAUCACUAUUGCAAUUCUAUUUGAGGGAGAGGCAUAAGCUAACAUACUUUCUCUACUUGGAUCAUAUGCACUUAUGAUUGGAACUCUAGCAAGCAUCCGCAACUACUAAAGAUUCAUUAAGGUAAAACCCAACCAUAGCAUUAAAGUAUCAAGUCCCCUUUUAUCACAUACGCAAACAACCUACUUACUCGGGUCUGUGCUUCUGUCACUCACGCCACCCACCAUAAGCAAAUCAUAAACAUAUUGCAAACCCUACAGCAGGAAUCCCUCACGCUUGCGCGACACGGAGGGCACAAUAGGACAGCACCAAUAAUAAAACAUGCAACUCAAAACAAUCAUAGAAAUUCAUCAAUCACCGAUAGGACAAUGAAAAUCUACUCAGACAUCAUAGGAUGGCAACACAUCAUUGGAAAAUAAUAUGAAGCAUAAAGCACCAUGUUCAAGUAGAGGCUACAGCGGGUUGCGGGAGAGUGGACCGCUAGAUAUAGAUGGGGGAUGGUGAUGGAGAUGUUGGUGAAGAUGACGGUGGUGUUGGUGAAGAUCGCGGUGAUGAUGAUGGUCCCCGGCGGCGUUCCAGCGCCACCGGAAGCAAGGGGGAGAGAGCCCCCCUUCUUCUUCUUCUUCCUUGGCCUUCUCCCUAGAUGGGAGAAGGGAUUCCCCUCUGGUCCUUGGCUCCCAUGGCGUGGGAGGGGCAAGAGCCCCUCCGAGAUUGGAUCUAUCUCUCUGUUUCUGCAUUCUCUUUUCUGGCCCUUCACCGUUUCUUAAAUAUCCAGAGAUCCGUAACUCCGAUUGGGGUGAAUCUUUCGCCCAGAUCUUUCUCAUAAAAUUAGCUUUCUUGCGGCAAAAGAAGAGCACCAACCGCCUUACGGGUGGACCAUGAGGGUCGGGGGAGCGCCUGGGGAGUAGGGCGCGCCCCCCUACCUCGUGACCACCUCAGACACCGUCUCGCGUUGAUUUUACUUCCCAAAAAUCAUAAAUAUUCCAAAAAAACCUCCGUCCGUUUUUAUCCCGCUUGGACUCGUUUGAUAUUGGGUUUCUGCGAAACAAAAAACAUGCAACAGACAGGAACUGGCAUUGGGCACUGGAUCAAUAUGUUAGUCCCAAAAAAUAGUAUAAAAAGAUGCGAAAAUUAUAUAAAUGUUGAAUAAUAUUGGCAUGGAACAAUCAAAAAUUAUAGAUACGACGGAUACGUAUCAGCAUCCCCAAGCUUAAUUCCUGCUCGACCUCGAGUAGGUAAAUGAUAAAAAGAAAUAAUUUUUUAUGUGGAAUGCUACCUAGCAUAAUGUUGAUCAUAUGUCUAAUCAUGGCAUGAAUAUUAAGACACGAGUGAUUCAAAGAAAUAGUCUAUCAUUUGACAUAAAAGCAAUAAUACUUCGAGCAUACCAAUAAAGCAAUCAUGUCUUUUCAAAACAACAUGGCCAAAGAAAGUUAUCCCUACAAAAUCAUAUAGUCUGGCUGUUGCUCUAUCUUCAUCACACAAAGUAUUUAAUCAUGCACAACCCCAAUGACAAGCCAAGCAAUUGUUUCAUACUUUAAUAAUCUCAAACUUUUUCAACUUUCACGCAAUACAUGAGCGUGAGCCAUGGACAUAGCACUAUCGGUGGAAUAGAAUAUGAUGGUGGAGGUUAUGUGCAGAAGACAAAAAGGGAGAAAGUCUCACAUCAACUAGGCGUAUCAACGGGCUAUGGAGAUGCCCAUCAAUAGAUAUCAAUGUGAGUGAGUAGGGAUUGCCAUGGAACGGAUGCACUAGAGCUAUAAGUGUAUGAAAGCUCAAACUGAAACUAAGUGGGUGUGCAUCCAACUUGCUUGCUCAUGAAGACCUCAGGCAUUUGAGGAAGCCCAUCAUCGGAAUAUACAAGCCAAGUUCUAUAAUGAAAAUUCCCACUAGUAUAUGAAAGUGAAAGCAUAGGAGGCUCUCUCUAUGAAGAACAUGGUGCUACUCUGAAGCACAAGUGUGGUAAAAGGAUAGUAACAUUGCCCCUUCUCUCUUUUUCUCUCAUUUUUUUAUUUUCUUUUUUUUGGUGGGAUUCUUUGGCCUCUCUUUUUUUAUUAUUAUUUGGGCUUCUUUGGCCUCUUUUUUUGUAAAGUACGGAAUCUCAUCCCGACUUGUGGGGGAAUCAUUGUCUCCAUCAUCCUUUCCUCACUGGGGCAAUGCUCUAAUAAUGAUGAUCAUCACACUUCUAUUUACUUACAACUCAAUAUUACAACUCAAUAUCUAGAACAAAGAUAUGACUCUAUAUGAAUGCCUCCGGCGGUGUACCGGGAUGUGCAAUGAUCUAGCAUAGCAAUGACAUCAAAAAAUGGACAAGCCAUGAAAACAUCAUGCUAGCUAUCUUAUGAUCAUGCAAAGCAAUAUGACAAUGAAUGCUCAAGUCAUGUAUAUGAUGAUGAUGAUGAAAGUUGCAUGGCAAUAUAUCUCGGAAUGGCUAUGGAAAUGCCAUGAUAGGUAGGUAUGGUGGCUGUUUUGAGGAAGAUAUAAGGAGGCUUAUGUGUGACAGAGCGUAUCAUAUCACGGGGUUUGGAUGCACCGGCGAAGUUUGCACCAACUCUCGAGGUGAGAAAGGGCAAUGCACGGUACCGAAGAGGCUAGCAAUGAUGGAAGGGUGAGAGUGCAUAUAAUCCAUGGACUCAACAUUAGUCAUAAAGAACUCAUAUACUUAUUGCAAAAAUCUACAAGCCAUUGAAAACAAAGUACUAUGUGCAUGCUACUAGGGGGGUAGAUUGGUAGGAAAAUACCAUCGCUCGUCCCCGACCGCCACUCAUAAGGAAGACAAUCAAUAAAUAAAAUUGUGUUCCAACUUCAUCACAAAGCGGUUCACCAUACGUGCAUGCUACGGGAAUCACAAACCUCAACACAAGUGUCUCUACAAUCCACAACCACCCACUAGCAUGACUUCUAAUAUCACCACCUUUAUAUCGCAAAACUAUUGCAAGGAAUCAAACAUAUCAUAUUCAGUGAUCUACGAAUUUUGUAGGAUUUUAUGACUAACCAUGUGAAUGACCAAUUCCUGUCAUCUCUCUAAAUAGAUAUAAGUGAAGCAAGGGAGUUUAAUUUUUUCUACAAAAGAUAUGUCCACGCUCUAACAAAUAUAAGUGAAGAAAAAGAGCAUUCUACAAAUGGCGGUUUUCUAUGUAAAGAGAAACAGGCAAUACAACUUCAAAUGAUAUAAGUGAAGUACAUGAAGCAUUCUAUAAAGCCAUACUCAAAAGAUUUAAGUGAAGUGCAAUGAGCAUUCUAUAAAUCAAUCAAGUACUAUCUCAUACCAGCAUGGUGCAUAAAAGAAAAAUAAAAUCCUAAUUGCAAAGGACGCUCCAAGACUUGCAGAUAAUGCAUGAACGAAAUGAAUCUGAAACAUACCGAUACUUAUUGAAGAAAGAGGGGAUGCCUCCCCAGCAUCCCCAAGCUUAGACGCUUGAGUCUUCUUCAAUAUUUACUUGGGGUGCCUCGGGAAUCCGCAAUCUUGAGCUCUUGCCUCUCUUCCUUCUUCUCACAUCGAAACAUCCUCGAUUAGACACUACAUCCGCACAAAACUUCAACAGAAAACUCGGUAAGAUCCGUUUGUAUAAUAAAGCAAAUCACCACUCUAAGUACUAUAGAAAACCAAUUCAUAUUUUGUUUUUGCAUUGUGUCUACUGUAAUAUAACUUUUUCAUGGCUUAAUCCACUAAUAUAAAUUGAUAGAUUCAUCAAAACAAGCAAACUAUGCAUCAAAAACAGAAUCUAUCAAAACAGAACAGUCUGUAGCAAUCUGAACAAUCACAAUACUUAUAUUACCCCAAACAUUCUACAAAAUGAGGAAAAAUAAACAAGUUGUAUAGCAAGACAGUGCAAAAAGAAUCAGAACCAAUUGACAUUCCAGUUAAAAAUGUAAAAUCGCGCACUACAGCCAAAGUUUCUGUCCUGCACCGUACAAACCAACAAGCAUUGUAAACAAACUAAAGGCAAACCUUGGCACAUUAUUUUUAUAAUACAAUGGAAUUGUACAAGGGGAUAAUUAUUUUUAUUGAAAAGUUUCUGUAAUUAAGAUUCACAAAGUUCCCAUGAGCAUGAACAAAGUUCAAGGACGUCCCCCACUUCCACAAUGCUCGUCUCUCUCACUUUCACUUCUCUUUUUGAAAAGUUUUGGGUUCCCCUCUCUAUUUUUGUUGUUUUUAAACUAUAUGAAAGCACUCAACAGAAAUAAAUGACUCUCUAAAACUUCCGGGUUGUCUCCCUGGAAGCGCUUUCUUUAAAUCCAUUAAGCUAGGCAUUUAGUGCUCAAGUAAUGGAUCCACCCGGAUCCCAAGGUAUAUCAAAGCCAAUUUUAAUUAACAAUGAUUUGUAAUUUAGUAGUGAGCACAAAGUAACAUAUAUCAUGCAACAACAAAGUCUAACUCUCUUCCUAUGCAUCGGCAUGUCAUAAGAGAACAAUUCAUGCACACUAUUAAAGUCUAACUCUGUUCACUAAAUAGAAGUAAAUGACUCUCUAAAACUUCCGGGUUGUCUCCCUGGAAGCGCUUUCUUUAAAGCCAUUAAGCUAGGCAUUUAGUGCUCAAGUAAUGGAUCCAUCCGGAUCCCAAGGUAUAUCAAAGCCAAUUUUAAUUAACAAUGAUUUGUAAUUUAGUAGUGAGCACAAAGUAACAUAUAUCAUGCAACAACGAAGUCUAACUCUCUUCCUAUGCAUCGGCAUGUCAUAAGAGAACAAUUCAUGCACACAUAGUAAAGGCCAAUGCAUAGUAUAAGCAGUUUCUUGCAAUUCUAUCGUGUUGGAAACAUAGAGAGGUGGAGAUAUAGUUCCUCUCUCAUAAUAAUUGCAAGUAGGAGCAGCAAGCACAUGCAUAUUAUAUCUAUCAAAAUUAUCAUGUGCAAUGGUAAAAGGCAACCCAUCAAUAUAAUCCUUAAUAAGCACAAACUUCUCCGAUAAAGUGUAGUUUGGAGAAUUCAAAAAGAUAAUAGGACUAUCAUGCAUGGGUUUAAUAGCAACAAUUUCAUGUUUAACAUAAGGAACUAUAGCAAGUUCAUCUCCAUAAGCAUCAUUCAUAUUGGCAUCUUGGCCACAAGCAUAGCAAGCAUCAUCAGAAAGGGAUAUUUCAAGAGAAUCAAUGGGAUCAUAGCAAUCAUCAUAGCAGUCAUCCUUCGGUAAGCACAAAGGGGAAUUAAACAAUUUAUGAGUUGAAGAGUUACUCUCAUUAGAAGGUGGGCAUGGGUGAUCAAUCUGCUCUUCCUCCUUUUGUUCUUCGCUCUCCUCAUCAUCUUUUUCAUCCAAUGAGCUCACAAUUUCAUCAAUUUCUUCUUCCAUAGCUUCCUGCAAAAUAUUAAUCUCUUCUUGGACAGCGGAGACUUCCUCAAUAAAUUGUUUAACAUAAGCAUUAGAAGCAUAAUUCUCAUAGCAAUAUUCAAGUAUGGCAAAAUUUUCAGAUUUGUGAAAAGUAGCAUCAUACUUUCAAUCAAAGAAGCAAUUUCAUAAGCACCCUUAAAACCAACAAAUUCUUCAAUUUGUUGAACAUCAUAGUAAUUGUAAACACCCUAAGCAUACGAAGAUAUGAUUCCAUUAUCAAUAAACAAGCAUUGAUAGGGUAGGUGUUUCUUAGGGUCUUCAGAACAACAAGUAACAUCAUAAAUUUCACAUAAAUUCCAAGCAUAGCAUUGCAAACAUUGAAUUUGACCCGAUAAUAGUUUCCCUUUUUCAGAUAUACGGUGUCGCACAUAACAAGCAUGCUCAUCUAAAGAUUUGCCCUCAACUAAGCUAGUUGGGGUUUCAGCACGAGCACAUAGGGAUCAAAGAUGAUCCAAGUAAUAAGCUUCAGCAGUGUGAUAGAUUUUGAGUGGUUCUUCAACCAUUGGUUCAGCAGGUACAACUAAUUUUUUUGGUAUUUUGUGUUUCCUACCCAUGACUAAAGAUAGAAACCAACUAAGAAUAGCAAAUAAAAAUUACUUAGUGAUAAAGAAAACAAGCACACACGAGAAUAUUCACCCCACACUAUGACUCCCCAGCAACAGCGCUAGAAAAAGGUCUUGAUAACCCACAAGUAUAAGGGAUAGUUGUAGCCUAUUUCGAUAAGUAAGAGUGUCGAACCCAACGAGGAGCUAAAGGUAGAACAAAUACUCUCUCAAGUCCUAUCGGCCACUAAUACGACUCUACGCACGCUUGACGUUCACUUUACCUAGAACAAGUAUGAAACUAGAAGUACUUUGUAGGUGUUUUUUGGGUAAGCUUGCAAGAAAGUAAAGAACACGUAAAUAAAAACUAGGGGCUGUUUAGAUAAAGAAGCAAUAAAGUAAAUAUAAUGAGUGUGGAAAGUGGUGGUAGGAGUUGUGGAAUUGUCCCUAAGAAAUUGACUACGUUGCUAGACCGAUAAUCACUAUUGCAAUUCUAUUUGAGGGAGAGGCAUAAGCUAACAUACUUUCUCUACUUGGAUCAUAUGCACUUAUGAUUGAAACUCUAGCAAGCAUCCGCAACUACUAAAGAUUCAUUAAGGUAAAACCCAGCCAUAGCAUUAAAGUAUCAAGUCCCCUUUUAUCCCAUACGCAAACAACCUACUUACUCGGGUUUGUGCUUCUGUCACUCAUGCCAUCCACCAUAAGCAAAUCAUAAUCAUAUUGCAAACCCUACAGCGAGAAUCCCUCACGCUUGCACGACACGGAGGGCACAAUAGGACAGCACCAAUAAUAAAACAUGCAACUCAAACCAAUCAUAGCAAUUCAUCAAUCACCGAUAGGACAAUGAAAAUCUACUCAGACAUCAUAGGAUCGCAACACAUCAUUGGAAAAUAAUAUGAAGCAUAAAGCACCAUGUUCAAGUAGAGGGUACAGCGGGUUGCGGGAGAGUGGGCCACUGGAUAUAGAUGGGGGAAGGUGAUGGAGAUGUUGGUGAAGAUGACGGUGGUGUUGGUGAAGAUCGUGGUGAUGAUGAUGGCCCCCGGCGGCGUUCCGGCGUCACCAGAAGCAAGGGGGAGAGAGCCCCCCUUCUUCUUCUUCUUCCUUGGCCUGAUCCCUAGAUGGGAGAAGGGUUUCCCCUCUGGUCCUUGGCUCCCAUGGCGUGGGAGGGGCGAGAGGCCCUCCGAUAUUGGAUCUAUCUCUCUGUUUCUGCGUUCUCUUUUCUGGCCCUUCACCAUCUCUUAAAUAUCCGGAGGUCCAUAACUCCGAUUGGGGUGAAUCUUUCGCCCAGAUCUUUCUCAUAAAAUUAGGUUUCUUGCGGCAAAAGAAGAGCAUCAACCGCCAUAUGGGUGGACCACGAGGGUUAGGGGAGCGCCUGGGGGGGUAGGGCGCGCCCCCUACCUCGUGACCACCUCGGACACCGUCUCGCGUUGAUUUUACUUCCCAAAAAUCAUAAAUAUUCCAAAAAAAUCUCCGUCCGUAUUUAUCACGUUUGGACUCUGUUUGAUAUUGGGUUUCUGUGAAACGAAAAACAUGCAAUAGACAGGAACUGGCACUGGGCACUAGAUCAAUAUGUUAGUCCCAAAAAAUAGUAUAAAAAGUUGCCAAAAGUAUAUAAAUGUUGAAUAAUAAUGGCAUGGAACAAUCAAAAAUUAUAGAUACGAUGGAGACGUAUCAAACCCCGACACCCCGACCCCUCGACCCUCGACAUGACACCCCAACACCCCGACCCCUCAAACCUCAACACGACACCCCGACACCCUGACCCCUCGACCCUCAACACGACACCACUGACACCCGACCCCUGAGGGUUGCUGAUGGUCGAGGGUUGCCGAGAGGCACCCCGACCCCGACACAGCACCCCGACACGACACCACCGACACCCCGAGCCCCGACACGACACCCCGAGAUCCCGACAUGGCACCUCUGACACCGACAACCCGAUAUUAAUUAGUUUAUGUUAUUAGGUAUUCAAUUUUUUAUUAUGUUCAUGAUGAUGAUACACACUAUUUUUUUAUUAUGUUUAUGUUGUACUAAUUUCGUUUACUCUUUGUCAUUGCAGGUGUUGACAGAUGGUGGGCUUGGGUCGAGAGCGCUCCGAGCCUCCUACCUCGGUGCGUGGGAGGGUGUUGUUAUUGCACCCUAGAAACUUCGGAGAGUGCUGGUAGACAGCAUGCAUACACCCACACACCUUCGGCGGGGGGCUUCUUCUUCAGCCGGGAGAGGAGGUCGGGGGAAGAAGAGGGGUGCAGGUAGAGGUGGACGGGGCGCUGGGAGAGGUAGGAAGGUUGUUCUUCCUUCCUCGCCGCCACCCCCCGCCGAGUCUCCGGACCAUCGGAGUGCUCCGUCUCAGGUGGACCCAUUUGACCUAGACCCGUGUUGGACUUCGGUCCACGAGCCUCAGGUCAACGAGCUUCUGGUCGCCGAGCCUCGGGUCGCUGAGCCUCUGGUCGCCGAGCCUCGGGUCCCAGAGUCUUCCUCCCAGGAGACUCGGGGCCCAUAGUCUUCCUCCCAGGAGACUCGGGUCCCAGAGUCUUUGUCACACGUGACUCCGGAGACUAGCGACCAUGCUGAUGGUGUCGGGAGACCUUAUCUGAGGAUAGCUACAGCAAGGCGAGUUGGUUGAGGAGGGCAAGAAUGUCUACCGACGUGGUGGUACUAAGCUACCGUCCGUGCCAGCGACCCACGACCAGAGGUGGUUGAUUCAGCCUAACGGGGAGAAGUAAGUGCAUUUACUCUAAUGUGUUGGCCUUGUCAUGCUGCAGGGGUUGGAUACAUGCAGAUGGUGUCCGCAGGCCCAACCAGGUCCUUGGUACUCUAGUCCGGCACCACUUCCCGGGGAUGGGUCAUGUUGCCCGGCGAGGUUGAGCUUCCACAGCUAGCACUGACCUGGGAGCUGUACGAGGCUACCCCGGCCCUGCCGGGGGAGAUGGUCGACGGUGUCGUGUGCGAGACGGUGGCCGACAUUGUGAGACGGCGGUUUUGGGUAAUUUCUCCUUUACAAAAUUAAAAAUCAAUAGUACCUAGUGAUUGUACUAAUGAUCAGUGUUGUCUUGUUUGAUUGCAGACCUUCUACGGGUGUCUUGAGGAACACGAGGUGGACGCGGCUAUGGUUCUCGAAGACGAGUGCAAGCACGUACUUCAGAACACACGACACAAGGCUCGGGUGCAGGAUGUCUGAGACUACUACGCCUCGACUAACAUCAAGAGGCAGAAGAAGAAGUGACGCGUCAAGUAUCUGAGUAAGGACAAGUACAUGAAGGUAAUUACCUAUUCUUAAGGCCAUGUACUAGUUUCCUUGAUUUGAUUCAUAGGUGUAGCGCUGAAAUUUCUCUUUGUCUAACUUAGGUGCCCCAGAGAUGGUGUGCGGAUAAGAUGGACUGUUGGGAGAGGUUGGUGGAUGAGUGGUGCUCUCCCUAAUGGCUAGUCGUCCACAACAAGGCCAGGGAGAAGCGUGCCCAGAUGCAAGGUGUGUUGCACCAUCAAGGGAGCUCCAACCUGUUUGAGUACGAGGAUCACUUGGUAUGUGGUUCGAGCCCUUAACAAUUCAUGCAAUUUCAUCAUGCAUGCUUGCUUUAAUUACUAAUUUACCCUAUUCCUCUCUUUCAGGCGCGACACAACAAGAAGGAGGUGUCGCCGCUGUACAACCUCUAUGCCAUGGCCCAUAGUGCCCCAUACAAGAAGGCCAGGGCAUUCUCGGAGGAUGACCUCGAUCAUCCAGAGAGCUUCGCCAACAUAUCCUCCCACGACAAGCUUGUGAGGUACAGAGACUGGGGGAAGAAGAUGAAAGGUGAGGAGUUCAACCCGAGCCAGAGUCCUUUUCAUCAUGAGCUCCUGAUGCUAUCUAGUGAGGGGAGGAAACAUGGCUUAGUAGCCAUUGGGGAUGGACUCAUACGUUGUCCUAGAAGUCUCCCAGAGAUCAAGAAGCAUCAGACGAAGUCUCUUCUCGAGAUGAGGUCUCGACCACGGAAAAUGGAGCUCGCUAUCGAGGCUAGGGCCCAGGAGCUUGCGGUGGAGGCAACCAGGCAGGCGGAGGAGAAGGUAAGGGAGAUGGAGGAGAGGAUGGCUAAUUUCUUGGAGGGGAGAGGAUCGGAAUGACGUGGGUCACCGGGCCCUAUACGAGAUCCUUGUGGUAAGUUUCUCCCGCAUACUAGCCAAAUCAUGCAUGUAAUGUUCAUUUCAUUACUAACUAAUAUGACUGGCUCAUGAAAACAAAAUGUGUAGUCCGUGUGCGAGAAAACUGGCCAGACCCCUCCGCCGAUGCCCCAGAUUGCUAUAGCGGACAUGGUGAGUUUCAUUUGAAUGGUCAUUAGUUACUAGUAUUCACAUUUUAGUUGCAUCAUGCUAACUAAACAUUGCAAAUGAUCUUUCGUGCAGCAUGCCUCCCAUAAAGGAUCGACUGAUCCUUAUGCGUAUCGCGGUGGCGCAACCCCGACCGGUAUUCACCUCCUAGAUUAUGGUAAGUUUUCCCAAGUGUUUUGCUUAACAAAUGCUUUGUUAGCUAGAAAAUGGCAUAACAACCUAGGAUAGCGCAAUAAUGAUCUAUAGCUAGCUUAGCUAGUUCAUUUAUGACAUAAUUAGCUCACUUAGGUAAAAAAAUGGCAUAACAACCUAGGAUCGCUCAAUAAUGAUCUAUAAUUAGCUUAGCUACUUCAUUUAUGACAUAAUUAGUGCACUUAGGUAAAAAAUGGCAUAAUAACCUUGGUUUAGCUCCAAACUAUCAUAUAAUUAGUUUAUUUUCCUCCAAAAUGACAAAAUAACCUUACCUAGCUCCAAAAUGACCAAUUUUAACUAGGAUAGCUCUAAAAUGACCUACACUUAACAUUUUGUCCUACAAAAUGAAUAAAUAUGCUUAGUUAGCUCAAAAAUGGCAUAACUACGUAGGUUAGCUCCAAAAUGACCUAUUUACCUUGCUUAGCUCUAAAAUAACCUACACACUUAGCAUUUUUACCUUCCUUAGCUAAAAAAUGGCAUUUUUACCUACCUUGAUAGAAUAAGAAGAAGAAGAAGAAAUCUUCUUCUUCUUCUUCUUCUUUCUUCUUCUUCUUCUUCUUCUUCUUCUAGCUAGUCUUCUUCUUCUUCUAACUAUCGUCUUUCCUAAUUUGCAGAUUUGCUUGAGAUGAGGAAGCUAGCAUUGAUGGAAACUUGUUGCAAACUUCUACUUGUGCUUGUGCUUCCUUUUUAUUUAUGGAAACUUGUUGCAAACUUGUUGGAUAUGUUGUUGGAAACUUGUUGGAUAUGUUGUUGCAAACUUGUAUGGAAAUGUUGUUGGAAACUGGUAUAUAUAUGUUCAUGUUGUUGGAAACUUCUUGUUGGUAUGAUUGUUGAAAUUAUUUUGAAAUGUGUGUGUAUAUAUAUGUGUGUGUGAAAUUCUGUCAAAUUGAAUGAAUUUAGGAAAAAAUAGGAAAAACAGGGGCUAUAUAGACACUUUGCCGUCAGCCAGCGGACGACAAAGACCUUUGCCGUCCGCUGGCUGACGGCAAAGGUCUUUGCCGUCCGCCAGCAAACAGCAAAGGUCUUUGCCAUCCGCUAGCAGACGGCAAAGCUGCCACGUAGCAGCUACCUGUGCAACCUGGGGUGUAGGGGGAUGGCCUAUUUGGCAGAUUUGCCGUCAGCCAGUAGACGGCAAAGGCCUUUGCAUCGUUGUCAUCAGACGGCAACGAUGCAAAGGCCUUUGUCGUCUGCUGGCUGACGGCAAAGCACGUUGUUAACCAUUUAACGGACCUGAACUGCCACCACUACAAAAAAAUACACUUCCGUGAUGAAAUGUGUUUGUCAGAGUAGAUCGCGUUUUUUGUCAUGCAUGUACAUCCAUGACAAAUUCAUGACGGAAUCAAGAUAGUCAGACAUGUGCUACGUAGAAGUGUUCCAUGACAUUACCAAAAUUAUCAUCAUGGAAGUGUCCAAUUCCAUGACGAUAAAUCGUGCGUCACAAAAGUGCUUUCAUCAAGGGUGACCGACACGUGGCAUCCACCGUAAUGGAACACCGUUAAUCAAUCGGAUCGGGUUUUGGAUCCGAUAACCCGUUAACAGCCCCGACCAAUGGGGAUUUUCCACGUGUAAAAUCAUCAUUGGCUGGAGGAAACACGUGUCGGCUCAUCGUUGGGACAGAUGUCAUCUACUCAUUGGAUGGAAGGCGCCUAUGAUACGUCGACACGUGGCACGGCCCAACAGAGGCCCAUUCCUGUGAAAAGGCUGGCCCAGUAAAAAUUAGCAGGCCAUUUCAUAUAAGGCCUACUUGGGUCAGGUCCAUUUAAGCCCACGGCCCAUACGAGAUGUGCCAAUUCGGCCCGUCAACGGCCCAUUAAAGAUUUGACACCAUUGCCGCCCAUCAUCAGUUCGAGCCUGUUAACAGCCCGCUAUAUAUCUGGGCUCAAUAUCGGCCCGAUGAGAUUUCGGCCUGUUAACGGUCCAUUUAAUGAAUGGGCCAAUUUUCAGGAUGUACGUCUUUCGGCCUUUUAGCGACCCAUUUAAAUGUUGGGCUAGUUUCCGGCCCAGUGUGUCUUUCAGCCUGUUGACGGCCCAUAAAUGUGAUGGGCCAUUUGUUGUCGGACCUAAGUUUCGGCCUUUUAGCGGCCCAUUUAAGUGUUGGGCCAAUUUUCUGGCCCGGUGUCACUUUCAGCCUGUUGACAGCCCAUAAACCAGUUGGGCCAUUUGUAGUCGGACCUGAGUUUUGGACUUUUAGCGACCCAUUUAAGUGUUGGGCCAAUUCCCGGCCCUGUGUGCCUUUCAGCCUGUUAAAGGACCAUAAAUGAGUUGGGCCAUUUGUAGUUGGUCCUUAGUUUCGGCCUUUUAACGGCCCAUGCCCUUCAUGGUCCAAUACCAGCCUGGUUUCUAUUUCGGCCUGCUAAAGGCCCACAACACAGUUGGGCCAUUUACAAUACGACCUGACUUUCGGCCUCUUAGCGGCCCAUGGUCUUCAUGGUCCAGUACAAGCCCGCUGUCUCUUUCGGCCUGCUAAAGGCCUACAGUAUAGUUGGGCCAUAUGUAGCCCAAACUUAGUAAUGGCCUGUUAACGGCCCGUGAAAUAAACUGGGGCCACCUGUUGCCCGCUUCGAUGUCGGCCUGUUAACGACCUGGGAGGUAAGAGGGACGACCAUUAACUUUCGGCCUAGUAACGGCCCAUUAACUUAAUUGGCCCACUAAAGUUCGUACAUGUCUUUAGGCCAAAUUAGAUAAUUUGAGCCCAUUACGACGAGCAAUUAUGCACAGGACCAAAACCGAUCACGCAAAGGUACGACAUACAGGGAAUAACAUUGCACAUCCAGCAUAUAUUACAGGAAAUUACAUCCACUGGGCAAUCAAAGAUUGAUGCCAGUGCAAAUAAAUGAGCAGAACCUAACCAUCUACAACGUCACAAUCUGCAACCUCAGCACAGAUGACGCCCAUAAGCAUGUGGGCAAGUUCUUUCUGCUUUGCUACACUGUCUCUGAAAACAUUGAUCAGUUGUUGUGUCGCACGACUCUGCACAUCUGAUUCAUCCACCAUUUACAUCAUUGCUUCAGCGAUUAAUUGGUUCACAAACAUACAUUUUUUCCGUUGCAUUCGAGACAGAGGAUACUGAACAGAUUCAGAUGGCGAUUUUGGCAGGCUUGUAUUAUUGAUAGUGGAGAGUGUCUCGACCACUGCAUCAUAACAUAAAUUAGGACGGGAACCAAACAGAUUAAUCAUGAGUUAUUGCCAUAUUACCUGGCCUAGAUUUAUUGGAAAGAAACAAUGGGGUUGCCUUGCUGUUUUCAGAGUUUGUCUUCUUAUCUUCAGCAGCCUGCACCAAAUUAACACACUAGCAUUACUAUCAUUGGCCAAGUCAGAUAAUAGGAAAGCAACAUUGACACAACGAACAUUUGGGCAACUAGCCUACACCAAAUUAACACAAUAUGGCAUAGCUAUCAUCAGCCAGGUAAGGUAGUAUGAAAGCAACAUUGAUACAAUGAAUGAAUGGGCAACCAGAGAAGCACUACAAUUCAGUAAUGUGCGUGAUAUGAGAUAGUACAUUCAUGCAGCUCAGUAUGCAAAACUACCAGGCAGUUUUCCUUACAAAAAUCAACAUUGGUGCCUUUAACAUUUUGCUACAACUAAUUUUAGAUCAGAUAAAGGUUAGAUUCACGCCGAUUAACAAAAUACAUGUUGAUGUAAAAAUAUAGUGAUAUACAACAGGUACUUACAUCAGCAUUGGAGCACAGAGAAUUCCCGCAAGAUAUUUUCCUCGAAUACGAUCCCAAUGGAGGAAGUCUUCUAUCAUUUAACCUUAUUUUCUAAAAGAGAGAUGGGUAAGAAACAUGUAGAAAAUAUGAUCAGAAUGCUAUAAAAUUUCAUGAUGCGAGGAUACGCACACGCUUCUUAGAAUGGAGUUGACAUUCUAUUGCUGGACUGGAGCGGACUAGUUCUUUGACCAUUGGAAUCUGCUUAUUAUCAGUGGGAGUUGGGUUUCUCUAUGCUGGAGUAGUAUCUAUGAAAAAUGGAGUUGGUUUAUUAUCUCCUGGCGUUUGGAUCUUUUGCAAAGACCUGGUUUGUAACCCUUCUGAUUCUAACAUAGCCGUCUUCACCUUGCAUGUCUUAUAUAGAAGAAUGGUGAUUCAGUUAUAAAAUAUGCUAUAGCAGAGAUGGAAUAGGUACUGAAGAAUAGAAAGGCAUGACAUAUUGACAUGUAUUCCCUCCAUCUGGAAAUAAAUGGACAGGUCUAGGCGUAUUUCAGUUCUAGAUACAUCCAGUUUUAUCCAUUUCUGUGACAUUUAAUCCGGACGGAGGGAGUAUGAUGUAAGAGCUAGGGAUACGACAGGACAACACAAUAAAAAAACACUGAAAAACCCACUGCAGAACCAAAGUAUUCAAGCCCACUGAUAUGAGAUAGUACACUCAUGCAGCUCAGGAUGCAAAACUACCAGGCAGUUUUCCUAACAAAAAUCAACAUUGUGGCCUUUAAUCAUACAUUUUGCUACAACUAAAUUUAGAUCAGAUAAAGGUUGGAUUCACGCCGAUUAACAAAAUACAUGCUGAUGUAAAAAUAUAGUGAUAUACAACAGGUACUUACAUCUACAUUGGAGCACAGAGAAUUCCUGCAAGAAUCUUUCCUCAUAAAUGAUACCAUCGCAGAAAUUCUUCUAUCUGUUAAGCUUAUUUUCUAGAAGAGAGAUGUGUAAGAAACAUGUAGAAAAUAUGAUCAGCAUGCUAUAAAAUUUCAUGAUGCAAGGAUAUGCAAAUGCUACUUAGAAUUGAGUUGACAUAUUUUUGUUGUACUCGAGCGGACUAGUUCUUUGGCCACUAGAAUCUGCUUAUUAUCAGUAGGAGUUGGGUUUCUCUAUUCUGGAGCAGUAUCUAUAAAAACUGGAGUUGGUUUAUUAUCUCCUGGCAUUUGGAUCUUUUGCAAAGGCCUUGUUUGUAACCCUUUAGAUUCUAACAUAGUCGUCUUCCCCUUGCAUGCCUUGUAUAGAAGAAUGGUGCUUUAAUUAUAAAACAUGCGACAGUAGAGAGAUGGAAUAGGUACUGAAGAAUAGAAAGGCAUGACAUAUUGACAUGUAUUCCCUCCAUCCAGAAAAAAAUGGAUGGGUCUUGGCGUAUUUCAGUUCUAGAUACAUCCUUUUUUCUCCAUUUCGGCAACAUGUAAUCCGGACGGAGGGAGUAUGGUGUAAGAGCUAGGGAUACGACAGGACAACACAGCAAAAAAACUAGUUGAAUGUAAAACUAUAUGCUAGCGGAAUAUGUACAAAAAUAACUAAGGCAACAUACACGUGUAUGAUUGGGAAAAUAAGAUGGCAUUGCAAUAGAGCACUAGAACAACACUUCAAUGUAAAAAAACAUGGUAUGGCAGACAGAUGAAGUACAUACCGAUGAAUAACAAUGCAUAAGAUAUUCAGAAGCAUGAUGUCCAAAUUAAGCAGAUGGCAUUGCAAUAGAGUAGAAUGACAGUACUUGAAUUUGAAAACAUGUUAUCAUGAAUGGAAUAGGUACUGAAAAACAAGAAGGCAUGACAUAUUUACAUGCAUGAUCAGCAUGCUAAGCACAUGGCAUUGCAACAGAGUAGAUACACUCUAGGACAUUAUAUGCAUGUUGUACCCAUAUCACAGGCCAAGUUAGAGCAAGGACCUUGUGGGGUGAAGAGGAUUCAUCAUCUUUCUGCAAGUCUUCUGAAGAACUGCCUUUACAUGUUCCAUCAUAUUGGGUAUCAUUGACAUCAAGUUUAUUGGCCUUUACAUUGCUCCGUGAGGUUCUUGUGGAUAUAUCAGUGUGUGCAAUUAUAUCUGACAUGCAUGGAAGACAACUAGUAGUUAGAUUUAUGUAAAUGAGUGCAUGUAGGAGAUGACGUAAAUAGUAGGACUGGGGUUAACUAGCAGCAACAGGUCUCAUAAACUAAAGGGAGAACACAGAUGAAAGCUAUAGAAUAUGUAUCAUUUGUACUCAAGAUUAACUAGAUGCCACACAAAAGUAUUAAAGAACAACAUAGGUAAUACUAGAAGUGGUAUAAUACUAUAAUCACCAGCCUGUGGGAUAGCAGUGGCUGAUGGAUGAUAACUAUGGAACAACGUUACCUAAAGAACAAGUAUCUUAGCUGAACUAUGGAACAACGUGAACUCCUGAACAAGACCCAUAAGAGAUCAGCAUGAAUAUACAGUGAAAUGUGAUGAUCUAUUUUCCGUGCUUAGAUGAAUAAUAAAGCCAUAAAUGUUGCACACAAGUAAGAUGAGGGUACAACCUAUCUGGCUGCCAUCCAUAGGAGUGAGCAUCAUGUGCUGACUUGUCGAUGGCCCAGCAGUUGUUGUGGCUGUCCAUGUCGGGCACACACAUUCUAUGCAGAGAACUCUUGAGUGGGGAUUGUAGCUCCCUUCUGGUGUAUGCUUCCCUUGUUGGAGCAUCUGUGGUGAUUCGGAAGACGGUGUGUCUGAAGAUGCAGAUAACACAUAAUGUUAAGAACGACAUAUCUCUUUGAUCCGAAGAAAUACACUAAGAGAUCAACAGUAAGGUACGAGAGUGGUCACACGUCUGUUGACUGAAGACUAAAUUCGGGUCACACGAUUUUAUUUUAUUUUGGUACUGUCCGAUCUACGCCGGAUGGCUUGAUGGCCGUCUUGUGCCUCCCGGCUGACACUGUUCGGAAUCUUCCCCGAAGAGCCAGCGACCAAUGGCAGAGCAGCCUGCCUCCACCAUCUGUGGCCCCGGCCAAAACCCCGCUCCCCGCCCCACUGCAUUGUCGUGGUUGCGCCGCCCCCGGGCCAAUCCACAAAGACUCCCCAUCAUCCAGAUCCGGCGGCGGCAGUACGUUCAACCCACACAACUCUAAAAGAUAGCCAUCUAAGCGCUGCUUCCGCGGCGAACUUGCAGCCCCGCACCCUUAUGUUAGACACCAGCCAACCGGCAGCCUAGGAGCUCUGCCGCCUCGAGGGGUGCUGCUUCCCAUUGGGAAUCGAUUGGCCUAGAAUAAAAAUUCAGACAACUGACACCUAAAUAAAGUCAUUUCAGAUGAGGGUGCGACCUAUCUGGCGGCAUGGUGAAGUAGGCAGGUCCAGCUGCCGAGUCGGUGAGGCCGGCGCGGUUGCGGUGGCGACCGGCGGCGGGGAAAGAGCGAUGUCGCCACGGUCGACGGCUACGCGGAAGCAGCGCCAGGACUCUGGACGGAUCCGAAGUUGGAGCCGCUCUGGCGCCGUGAACAACGGCGGGGGUGAAUCGGCUCCGGUACGGUUCACGCGGCCGUCGUCGAGGCAGCACCAGCAGCACGGAGUAAGAGGCACACGGCCCAGUGCACGACGGCAAUUGGACAACGUCUCUGGCAUUAGGGAGGAGGGCGGCUAUGAAAUUGGUGUGGUGGGGGUGCCAUGGAGGUGGGGUUGAGGUUUCGCGGCUCUGGAGAAGGGAGCUUCCCGGGGAGAAGGUGAUUUGGCGCCCACGAGGUAUGAAUGGGGGCGGGCUGGGGGAAUUGGGAGGGGAGUGGAACCAUGUCUUCCGGACGCAUUUAUCUAAAAUGUGAGGAGGAGUUACAGUUCUACCCUUGCCUAUAGGCUUCUCGGCUUGGGUCUGUGUACUGAGGGUCGGGGAUAGUAGAGUAACUUUGCUUCUCCCCAAAUAGUGGGCGGGAGCGAUUUCGGGCGAGGAGGGCGUGUUUUGAACUAUAGUGGGCGCGAGCGAUUUUGGGCGAGGAGAGCGUGUUUUGGAAUAGUCGGCACGAGCUAUUUCGGGCUAGGAGAGCGUGUUUUGCCGACCAUGGUUUAUGAAUUAUUCGGCACAUGUCAUUUUGGCCGAGGAUAAGGCGCGCUUGGAUGAAGUUACGAACCUACCCUCGAUGUACAACGAGCCAAUUGAUGCGUGUCCCACAUAGGACGGUAAUUUCGUGUCUCCCAUAUAUUUGCUCGGGCGAAUUCCACCGAGCAGAGAGGAUGUUUAACGGUUCGUUCAAAUUUUGGGAGAACGAGCAUCCACGUCUACCUGACCAUGUCGAUUCGAAUCAAAUUUUGAAAUAUUAGCUUGCCACUUCUUUUUUAGAUGGAGAGAUGAUGCUCGGGAGUAAUGUGUUUUUACAUGCUCGUUGCUAGCGAUUUACUAUAUGACAAAUAGUUGACCCACUCAAAAACGCGAAUCAAACCCAAAAUGAAAUAUCUUGAUUCAGUGAACUAGCUCGUUCAGUAGGUCAAAAUAGUGAACUAAAUCCAAAAUUGAACACCUCAAUUGAGUAGCAUGUUGUACAGUAUCAUAGUACUCCAUGAACAUGUUGAAAGUCAAAUUAAUGAACUUGUUUGAUAUACGCAUAUAUCCAUUCAUGUGUGGAUUGCAGACAACAUGUUCUCCAAUUUAAAUAUUUGAAUGCAAGCUUAUAUCGAAACAUGGUUUAUAUCAGUCUUUGAUGCAUAAAACACGACCUCCCCCUCUCCCGGACUCCUGUUCUCUCUCUCUCUCACUCUCUCACUCUCUCGCCGACAAUCUUCAAUUAUGUCACACGCAUCCGACACGAAAACCUUGUUGGUCCCUCUCCCUCCCUCUCUCUCUCUCUCUCUCUCUCUCUCUUUGUGUGUGUGUGGGGGGGGGAUCUUUCUAGUUCGCAUUCAUAUAUACACCAUCUAUAGGUCUCUCUCGCACACUAUGUAUGAUACUCUAGCUAGUCCAAGCUAGAUAUCAUGGGUGCACUCAUCGUACACACACAUAUUCCUUGGCUCUUUGCCCGUAACUCUAUCACGCACCACUAUGUCGUCUCGGAGCUCUUCCCCCCUCUCUCAAACUCUCCAUCCACCUAGGUCACACAUACACAUGCAUAUCUCACUCGUAUUUGAUAGGCCCAUCUAAAACUCUAUCUCUCUCCAUCGUUCUCUCUCCAUCUCACACGCACACACACACACACACAAUCUCAUGCCCAGCUAGCCAAGUAUGAUGGUCUUUCACUCAAUUGUAGGCACACACAGUCCCCCCUAUAUGUAUAUGACUAGAUAAUCUUAGUCUCCACCACAAACAUGUGCAUGGUCUAUCUCAAUUUCUCUCGGGGAAUCUUUCUAUCGCGCACGCACUCCCUCAAUCUCCCACCCAUAUAGUCCCCUCACGAUCUCGAGGGGAUCUCUCUAUCACAAACACACCCUCUCUCCCUCCCCAUCCGUCCAUGCCAUCCAUGUGUCCCUCUCAACCUUUUUUCCUUGUUGGCCAGACCUCUAUUGGACAUGUGCUGCAGGGGUGUCUCUCUCUGUUGCAAACAAUCACACACUAGCUAUCUUCGUGUAUCUCCUCGCCUCACUUUUCCAUCUCGAAGAUGCAUGCGUGAUAUGUUCGCAUAAGAAACGAAAAAACACACUCUCUCUCUAAUUUAUCGUUUGUUGUCACUUUCUCUUUCACACACAUACUCUUUUUGCACACUUACUCAUUCUCCUUCACACGCACUUGAUCUGUCUCGACUGAGGCACUCACCUCCGUCCAUAGCACAUAGAUUUAUUGAAAAGUCAAACAUCACAAAGUUUGACCAUGUACGUGGAGAAAAAGAAUUACAUCUAGUACGACAAACAUAUACCACUAGAUUCACCAUGAGAUGUAGUUUUGUAUGAUGUAUCUUUGGUAUUGUAGAUAUAAAUAACAUUUGCGUAAACCUGAUCAAAGUUUCCAAAGUUUGACUUCUAAAAAAUUUACAUGCACUGCAUUAUCGAGCGGAUGGAAUAUCUCUUUCCCCCUCUCAGCUCUCUGACGCACCACUCAGCCUUAUCGGGGCUCCUCAAUCUCUCUCAAACUUUAUUGGUCAGUUUGGUUCGUGACCUGACCCUCAUGCCUUGAUGGCCGGUACUGCCUGGUGUGGACGUGAGAUGUAAAAUAUUUCUGCCUGGCCAGGCUUGUGUGGUGCUGAAGCGUUUGGUUCAUGCCUAGGCCAGGCAAAGCAUCAACGUACCAUCAAUCAAUCCAUGCAUCAAUUAUUUAAUGCUAAUAUCCAUCCAUGUUGCUGUUAGCCUCCUGGUCGCACGACCAGGCACAGCCAGGCGUUCAAAAUCGGCCGCUUGGGCCAGGCUACUUGCAGUGUCUGGAGUUCAGCCAGGCUAAUUAAAGUGCAAGGGAACCCAGCCCAGACGGGCUUUCUUUUUCACAGGGUAGCAACCAAAGAAGCAUGCAUGAAAUCCAGCCACAACCCCAGGCCACGCAAAAGAUGCUCAAGACGCAAGCCAAACCGGCCUUAUAUCUCCCUGGUUCACACAUACACAUGUCUCGCUCGCUCUAUACAUAUAGACCCAUCCAAUACUCUCCGCCCUUGUUCUCUCUACAUGUGACACGCACCCCCCUAAGUACCAUAAUCUCUCACUCCAUCAUAGGCUUUAUUUGGAUCCAUGGGUUAGAGUUAGUUUGGGUUAGUUUGGAGUCAACUAACCCAAAAAGAUCCAAACUGGAGGGUUAGUUUAGGUUAGAUGCAUCUAACCCAUCCAAAAAAACUAACCCAUCCAAGAGGUGCUUAUUUGGGUUAGUUCUUCUCGGGACCACUAAUAAACACUUUUUCUCUCGCUCUCCCCGCAGCAGAUCCCUCCCUACUUCCUCGAAGAUUCUCGUCCUCUCCCUCUCGCACCGCCCGUGAAGGUGCCUCGCCGUAUCCGCGCUCCAUCUAACCCUGCCAUCCAAACAUCUCUUUACUUAAAGUUAGUUCAUGGUUAGUUCAGGGUUAGAAUCUAACUCUAACCUCUAACUGAGUUAGAAUAUCCAAACAGGGCCAUAGGCGCAAGCACACCCCCCCUCCUAAGUAUGAUUAUCUCUUACUAGCCAUCAGGAACACACGUAUUGUCUCCUUCCAUCCAUAUGUCUAUCUCGAUAUCUCUCGGGGCAUCUUCUAUCGCGCACACACCUUGUCACUCGAUCUCCCACCCAUGUAGUCCCAUCACGAUCUCCAGGGGAUCUCUCUAUGACAAACAUACACUCUAUCCUCCCCAUGUCUGCAUUUUCACCGUAUGUCUCUAUCGACCUCUCUCCCUUGUUUGUCAGACCCCUCUUGGCCACGUGCUAGCGGUCUUCCUCUCUCGGUUCCAAACAACCACACACUAUCUCCUCACCUUGCCUUCGUUGUCGAAGAUGCAUCUGUGAUAUGUUUGCAUAAGACACACACGCUUUUUCUCCACUUUUAUCGUGUGUUGUCCAUGUCUCUUUCACACACGCACACACACUUUUCUCUCUCUCUCUCUCUCUCUCUCUCUCUCGUUAGGGACUCUGUCACAUCCAUAAGCAUAUGGAUGUUUUGAAAAGUCAAACCUCAGAAAAGUUUGACCAGGUAUAUGUGGAGAAAAACAUUUACAUCUGGAACGAUCAUUAGAUUCAUCACAACAUGUAAUUACUUCAUACUAUCAUUUAUCUUUGGUAUUGCAGAUAUAAGUAAUUUCUUUAUAAACUUGGUCAAAGUUUCAAAAGUUUGACUUAAAAAAAUGUUGUAACUACAUUAUCAAACGGAGGGAGUAGCCCUUUCUCUCUCUCUCUCUGCUAUCUCUCACGGGCCUCCCCUCUCACUCGAACUCUCUAUACCGACGGAUUAUACGCUCACUGUGUCAGCGUAUAGCUCUGUAUAUUGUUUAGUUGACCGGUCAACCAAUCCACAUGCUGCGUUGUCAGCUCGUGUUCUGUAUCUUGGUGUGCUGGCCCAUGUGGUAGUGGGUGAAAAUAAGUAAACUAGAGGCCCAUCUGACACGCGGUGAAGGAAACAAUGUUGAAACCACUCGGGGUAGCACCCCGCAUGCUAGCAAAUUGAGGGCGCAUUGAGGACAAACUUCUAGCGCGUGAAGGACGCACUCGCGCACAAUUCACCACUGCGCGGCGGCAUGCACAGAAGGACGCACUGGCACACACCCAGCACACAACAGACACCAGCACACGUGUACACCGGCGUCGCCGCCGGUUGACUUCAUCAGCAGCCUCCCCAACGACAUGCUGCUCAUCAUCAUCGGCCUCCUCCCCACCAAAUCUGUCGUGCGGACCGCCCUACUCUCCCGGCGGUGGCGCCCCCUCUGGCGUUGCGUCCCCCUCAACCUCACCAUCGACAGCUGCCUUUGUGACGGGGAUUGCAAACGCAUGGUCAUAGUCUCCAAGAUCCUUUCAUCGCACCCUGGGCCAGCCAGACGCCUUGACAUCCGCAUGUUCAGUACCAACUGCAAGGUCCAACCCAAGUUUGACGAGUGGUUCUUAUCCCCCGCCCUAGAUCAGCUCGAGGAGCUCAGCUUUGAAGCUGGACGAUGUCGCUCUCUGUCACCGUCUGCGCUCCGCCUCACACCAACGCUGCGUCGCGCCAGCUUCAGCUCCUGCUAUCUUCCCCGGAUUAAUGUCGCACCUGCCCUCCUUCUCCCUCAACUCAAGCAGCUUGACCUCUUCGACGUUGUCAUCUCGAAGAAGGCUAUGGAGCACCUGCUUCGCAGCUGUACUGCGCUUGAGUACCUUCGUCUUGAGCAGAUCCACGGGUUCAUUAGCCUCCAUCGCCUCGACGAAUCUCUGAUGGAUUUAUGUAUCUUGCUGGUCCUGCAUCAAGACAUCAAUUGGGAAGAGAUCACUCCAGCUAUUCCACGUUAUGGUCAUUGAGAAUGCGCCUUUCCUUGAGAGAUUCCUUGUAUCGGAUCUAGAAGGUCCAACAAAAAUCGGGGUCAUUGACGCGCCGAAAUUGACAGCGUUGGUGUACUCGUCUGCCAAAUUCUCCGAACUCUUUAUUGGAUCUGUAAUCGUUCAGGUACAACACUCAUCUUCUUCUCCAUCUUCUUGAAAUUCACAUUUUUAAAUUUCUUCUUGAUGUAUUUACAACCGUCUUCCAGAAAAUGAUUCCCACAAGCUUGACCCAGUCCAUGCACACAGUGAAGAUCUUAGCACUAAAAUCUAUCGGCCCCAAUCUGGAUCAAGUUGUUGGAUUCCUUACAUGCUUUCCAUGCACGGAGAAGCUACUCAUCGAGGUGAAACUUCUUUCCUAUUAGUAAACGGUAGUCACAACGUAGCUAAUUUGUUUCGUAAUUUUCCCAAAUUACGAUGACAAGUGUAGUGUUCAAAACUACAUCUACGCACUGCACCGAAAGAAAUGUUUUUAGUAUUUUGUCUCACGUGAUCACCUGCAUCAUUUUUAUGUUGUAAUACUAUAGUAGCCUAGGCUAGUCAUAGUGGAAAGUAACUCAGACUACUCCAGUAACUCUAUGGUUACCCUAAGGGCAAGUACUACCUCCGUCCUGGUUUACUCUUCCAAUUUUGUAGUAUCAAAAAUUGACCAUAGAUUUAACUGACAAAAUGUUAAUGCAUGUCACUAAGAACUAUAUCAUUGGAUUCGUAUUUGAACAUAAUUUCAAAUGGUGUAAUUUUUAGUGACAUGCAUUGGCAUUUUCUUAGGUAAAUCUAUGGUCAAAAUUUUAUACUAAAUAUGAGGUAGUAUUCCCUCCGUCCCAAAAUUAUUGUCUUACAUUUGUUUAGAUACGGAUGUAUCUAACACUAAAAUGUAACUAGAUACAUCCGUAUUUAGACAAAUUUAAGACAAGAAUUUUGGGACGGAGGGAGUACAAAAGUGGGCUAUGUAGGCCAAAACAUGUGCCAAAUUCACUUGUGAUGCAUUUGCAUCGAUGCCCCUCCAUUGCUCACCUGGUGCCCCAAUCUGGAUCACCUACUUUGCUACAUUGCCAAAUUAACUCACGCAAUGAAAAAACACUGCAUGCGAGAGAGAGAGGACUGAGGCAAUAAAAAACACUAGUUUGGGAGAGUGAGAGGCUGGUGUAGUUGGUUUGAUUGAUUUGUUUAUACAUGUGGGUCUGUGUGCACAGCGGUGCCAACUCUCUCACAUCACGAGAGCGGUGCCAAAAUCUUUUGAUUUGACAUCAAUGCAUAUUAUGUGGCAUACUUUUGCGAAAUAUGGCAUCGGCCACAUAGUGGAAGGAAAGAAAUGCCCAAGCUCUUCACGUGCUCCUAGUUAAAUGAGAGGAAACAGAAAGAGAGAGAGAGGGAGAGAGAGAGAGAGUGAAAAAAUAUCACUAGCCAGCCAACCCUAUUGUAUGAGCAAAUGAUAUUGGUACCUCUUGAUGACACGGCAAUCUUAUGCAGCCAGCUGCUCUAAUAUGUUCUCUUCUUUUGCAGAUAAGAAAAGACCCAAAAAUGAAAAAUGUGCUGCACUAUAACAAUCUCAUCGAAUGACUUGAUCUCCAUCUUACAGAAAUUGAUUUGAUCGACUACCGAGGCAGCACAUCUGAGAUUAAAUUGGCGAGGUUCUUUGUUCUGGAGGCAAGUGUGCUCAAGGUAAUGAGGUUUGGCGUUCUCUGGUGCAACAAUGAAUGGCGUGCUGAUCACCGUAAGCGUCUAAGCCUAAAUGACAAAGUCUCCGCAGAAGCUGAAUUUGUUUUUGAAACAUCAAGUGGCCAGAGACUCGAAAACUUAUUUGCCCAUUAGUGACUUGUCAGGGCGGUGGAUUUUAGUUUGUACGAUAACGCUGCAUCCACCUAAAGUAACGAAACUUCUUACAUAAACUUCCUAGUAAUUCCCUCUUCCUAGGUGCAGCAUUACUCCUGACAUUUGUAAUAUCAGUUUGAAACUUGUAAUAUUGCCAUGCCCUAUUCCUGCGUUUUCAAAAUCCUGCGAAUCAAACAGGUCCUGAGUUGGUGAUGAUGUUGUGCCUCCCAUCUUUCACCAAUAGCCGUCGGAUCUAGAUCUGACGCAUACAAACCAAGCUUCUCCAUUUUUGCAAAAAUAUGCCCGCACUUGUUCCCUAUUUACAAACAACUCCUUGUCUCUCACAAUCAGCCUUAUAUCCUCCCCACCACAUCAAGGCCAUGUAAAAAUCUGGCACGAUGGCCGCUGCCGGAGCCAUCCACCCCCAAUCUUGGUGUUCCGUGCAAUGCACGGGCAUCCACGCAUGGGAAAUUAUAUCGAACAGGGCUAGUUGUAAGCAGGCCAGCUCUACAGCCAUGAUGAUAGUGACUGCAGAUGGUGAGGCUGACUAUGGUAUGCCGAACACGGCGCCUAUACUCAGGUGUCAUCUCCGGCGCAGGGUCUUGUCACUUCAUUGUGAGGAGCAGCACGUAAUAAUUUGACCAACGGGUUGUACAAUGCUAGUACUCCUAGGAGUACUACAUUGGUAGUACUACUACUAGUACUAGUAGCACCACCGUAUGGAUUUAGGAGUACUACCACGUCCAUCUGGAUUUUAGUAUUUGACUAGCAAUAUCUAGUAAUGCAUGUCACAAAAAAUGUACUACUCCCUCUGUAAAUAAAUACAUGGUGUUUUAUUCCUGUUGGCGAGAGAACUUAAUGUUUUUUUGCUAACUAGAGUCUUAAUAGGAUAACAUGCAAUGAACUAAAUACUGCAUCUCAUGUUUGGUAGUCUCAAGUCAUUGAAAGCAUGCACGGCCCACAUCUCUCAUUGGUUGAUAUGUCACGAAAUAAGAAACAAUGAGGGAGUUAAUGCAUCGUGCCUAAGUGUUUUGGGAUUAUUUGGUUUUCGUAAUGUGACUGACACAACAUUUUUGUUUACAUGCAUUAACAUUUUAUUAGUUAAAUCAAAGGUCUAAACUUGGCACAAAAUGCAAAGGGGACCAAUAAACCAAUAAACAUCAAACUUCUCUCGUUUGGCCCCAACUAGAGGUCUGGUGAGAUGACUAUACUGCACCGGCACGGAGGGGGGCACAACUUCAUUAGGUGAAUGACACGUGGGCCCAGGGGGUGGCUGACCCACCUAUCAUACAGCCAAAGGCAUGUGCAGUAGAGGGCCGAGGAGUAGUACGAAAUCCUAUGCACCUACACAUGCUAACCAAGGGCAAGAGUGAUCACUCGAAUCGCAAGAUCAGUUGAUUACUACCUCCAUCCUGGUUUAUUAGUCUCCUUUGUAAUUUGUGCUAAAUUUUGACCAAAGAUGUAACUAACAAAAUGUUGAUGCAUGUCAACAAAAAUUAUAUUUUUGGAUUCGUAUUUGAACAUAGUUUUCAGUGAUAUAAUUUUUAGUAACAUCUGUAAACAUUUUGUUAGUUAAAUCUAUGGUCAAAAUUUGACACGGAUUACAAUGGGGACCAAUAAACCAGGACGGAGGUAGUAGAAGCUAAGCUAGACCCAUGGAGGCGAUGAGCGCGAGCAUCAGCCGGCUGUGCCAGAUGGUCCACGACGCCGGCCUGCGGCCCAGCAACGAGGAACGUCUCCAGGUAGUAUUGCUUGAGGCCGGCAGGGUGAGGGGCCGCUUGGACAACAACUUCGUCUCCUUGUUCGACGAGGUCCUCGUCGGUUUCCUCGACAAGUUCACUGUCGUCAAGAAGCUUGCGGACGACUUUGACGUAAGCCUCCAGCCGAUGCGCCCAGGCUCUGCGAUGCCCGCCACCCUCAACAACCACUAUGGUGACAACCUCUUCGACGCACUGGUGGCCCUGUGACUGCCCACCGUCGCGCCGGAGAAUGUCCACCUCGAGGUCGUGCUCGCCGUGCAGCGCCUGGCGCAGCAAGACACCAUCGACAUAAUCACCCACGUCUACGCACAUGCAAGAGGAGGACGAUAGGAUGCUGGCCUUCUUGGACCGCAGGGCAACCUUGGACAACACUGUUCAGAAGCACGUUGAGCUCGCCGCCAACGCUGCUGCUCCUCACACGUCGGUUGGUGACCGGGCGCACUAGGGCGUGAGGAUGUCGUUGAUGGAUCCAUAUGUAUUUUUAUCUUUCCAUCAAAUCCAUGUAGUAGUAUAUGAUACUACAGUAAUUAUCUUACCGUUCGCAUCAACUUCAUAAUUUUCGUACGUACUCCAUGCAUGAACGCGCCAGAACCAAACUUCUCAUUACUCUAGGAAAAAUCGUUAUUUUCUAUCUAUCGAUCGCGUCAUGGAGCAGAACCAAAUUUUACAAGUUAUGAGUUCAAAAGGAAAAGCUUGCCGUGUUCGUGUCGCACCCGCACACAGUUGUUCCGGCACACCGCUCAAGCGGGAAUGCGUGCGGUGUUGCAUUUUCACUUACAAGUGGGACCGUAGUUGAGCAAACCGACUAUCGGCAAACCCCCACCCCGCCCACCGCGUGAUGGCUGAGAAAACAGGAGGGAGAAGAGACGGUUGUAGCACGGACUCCAAGAAAAUUGGUGUCGGAUGGGACUCGUGUGGGUGGCGUGUGCCGUACUGCUAGACAUGAAUUCUAGUUAUGGCCCAUGCCACCCCACUAUAUCGAGCCUAUAUCGAGGUACGUAGAACAAAUUUCCUGCAGUCUGUGCUCAGCACUCCUCUAUCUCUCUUCUUAGCCAGCGAGCGGACGCGCGGAGCCCAUCGUAUGUUUGCUCACAUGCGGUCCCACAUGUCAGUGAAAAUGCAAGUGGACCCACUGAACCUGCACAUCUUUCACCUCGACGUGCUGGUGAUGAAAAACAAAUCCAAUAAAGAUCUUCGAUGGAUGCUUUUGGAGUUACUCAAGAGUAGUAAGGUUCUAUUUACAGUUUAACCCAAGAUGCACAUCUCGUGGCUUCAACUACCACUCUAUUUUCUUUCAUGACACGACUUGGAUGCUGGAUGUCCCACAUGUCGGCAAAAGGAGGAAGAACCCGACCAAAUCUUCGGUUGUGCUUUCGGAUUAAACUAGUUGUGCUAACUUAAAAAAUUUAUUGUGUACUCCCUCCAUACCAAAAUACUUGACUUCCAUUUGUCAAAAAAUGGAUGUACCUAUAUACUAAAACAUGUCUAGAUACAUAUAUAUUUUGACAAAUAGAAGGCAUGUAUUGCGCAACAGAGGGAGUAGAAUGGACGCAAGUUUUUGUAUUGGGAAGAAGAGUACAUCCAUAUAUUGAUAGAGCACAAUUUAGUAGAUGUUCUAUCACUUUUAGCUAGCACAAAGGCUAUAGAUGAGAUUAGUGCACUCGUUGAUACUCCUACUUGGUAUGCGUGUUGCUACUUAGACGCAAAGAAAAAUGGACCGGAGGGAGUACUAGAAUAGAGGCUAGACAUGAGACUAGAUGCGAGGAAGCAACGUCUACUUCUUUACACUCGAAGAAGAAAGAAGCACGCAAGAUCGAGCCUCCGUAGAUCAACAAUGAAUGCAUCGAGAAAGCACUAAUCCAACUUACAGGAGUAGUAAAAUGUAUUCUUGUGGUUCUUGUUUUCUUUGGUCUUGCUUUUCUAGUCAAAAUUAUCGUUGGAGUUCGUGCAAAACGGAGGUCCGUUUGGGGUCGUGCGUUGCAGUUGGCCUUACAAGUGGGACCGCAGUUAAGGAAACCGACUAUCGGCAAACCCCCACCUCGCUCGCCGCGUGAUGGCUGAGUUAGAGAAACGAUGAGGUUGAAGAGAUUGCUCUAGCACGGACUCCAAGAAAUAUGGUGUCAGAUGGAAGUCGUGCUGGUGGCAUGUGCCGUACUCCUGGACGUGAAUGCUUGUUCUGGCCCAUGCCACCCUACUACUCCUACUACUUACUACUCCCUCUGUCCCAAAAUAUGUGUCUCAAGCUUAGUACAACUUUUUACUAGAGUUAGUACAAAGUUGGGACACUUAUUUUGAGACGGAGGGAGUAAUAUAUAGUACUACUAGUAUCGAGGAUUCGAGGUGCUGGUUACGUAGUACAAUAUGGCUACAGUAAAAACACCCGCACGACGCGUGAAGCAUGUGAAGCUAGUACAAAUAGUGUGCUACUAUUGUUGAUUGGCCUCAUCCGAUAACCUGUUGCAAUGCACGUACAAUUAUGUAUUCGGAAAAUAUUUUUUGCCUCGUCGCACCACUCACUCACAGAAGCAACUCGAAAGCCAUUCAUAAAUUUAGUAAGUUUAUCACAGGCAUAUCAUUUUAUUACAUACAAUAGGUCAUCAACCCACAUCGACAACGAGGAUACAUUAUAAAUACUAAAGUUUUCACCACACAACAAAUAACAAGCAAUGAAAUGAACUUCAACUCAACCAUUCCUCGGCGUUGGAAACGCUUGCUUUGAACCACAAGUGAUUCUCUGGGACGGGCCAUCCAUUGUCGAUCUAGAGACCAACGCGGGACUGAUCAUCCAGGCUGAAGCGGCCUACUAUAUCAGUACCAGGGUAGGGAACCAUCCAAAUGUCCGAGGUACAGACACAGUUGCUUCUCAUAAAUGGUAGUAAUGUUGUGUCAACAGCAGUUGGAUCGCCUUUCACCCUCAUUGGAUAGUUUUGUCCAAGGAAGAGCGAGUUUUCUCCAAGACUAUCAAUUCUGUACCAGGGAGAAGGAGUUGGCGCUAGCACACUAGUAUCCAUCCUGAAUACCAUGCAACGGGUGUUGGAAUAGGUCCGGAGAGUGCGACCAUGGGAGACUACACCUGCUUCCUUAGCAGUAACAUCAUUAGUGGGUUGUAUACACACGAGAAGACGUGAUCCAUCGGAAUUAGUUGCCAGGCGCCAAAUAGUAUAUGGCUGUUGCUCGUCCUCAUGCUCAUGAUCAUCACCAUCAUCAUCUCCCCCUUGGUUAUAAAAAUCUUCAAGUAUAGGUGGUGGAAUGUUCACAGGACCUUGGAAACACAAGAAGAAGGUUAAUUAGUAAGGCUGGCCAUAGUGGGGGUAACAUAAGUAGUAUCAUGCACUUGGGACUCGCAAACAUGCUUAUGUGGCAGGCAAUUAAGGAAGAGAGAGAUGGUUAUAGUAACAUAGGUAGAUACCGUAACAUAAUAAAUGUGAUGCUACUAUGUGUCAUGCAUGGCAAUAAAUGAGACCACCUAUGAUACUAAUCUAAGAUACUAUGCACUAUAGAGGUAGUAACAUAAACUAGUAACAUAUGCAUGUUACUAGUCUAAGUUACUUCCCACUAUGACCAGCCUAAAGGGAAACUUGCAAACCCGCAUGCAUGUGGAUGAAACAAUUAUAAUUACGGUGGAAGACAAACGUACCAAAACAAUGAGGAUGCCAUGCAAAAACAGUGCCACGAGUGGUGGCAGCAAACACAAGGCCCUCGUAUUAAAUUGCAUCACAGUACUCAUCCAUGUACAGAAACUGAUUUUUGAGCAAUAUCCAUCCAGUCAAACCACUGAGGAUGGCAACAAGCUUGUCGAAGAUAGCAACAACUUCAUAGUUGUUGUAAUUCCAAGAGAGUUUGGGGACUCGAGAAAUUGCUAUCUUCCGUAGAAGACAGUCACCAUGAUUGUAUUUGAACGUGCGUACAAUACCGGUGUGGUCAACCUCUGGGCAGUCUGCUGAGAUUUUUGGAAGUGGAACCCGGACACGAGUGUAGACAUUCACAAGUUCCCACUCGCAGUUGGACCCAAUGUAAACAACCCAAUCUCCAUUUGCGCCUGCCCAAGCCUUGCCCUCAAGCGAUGGCAUCUUGACAUUAUAUACGUAUCAUUAUCAAGCGGCAUCAACUUGCACAGGGCGAGGCCUCCAUCGUGAUGGCGCCAGUCAUCAGGGUCACGGCAAAGAAGAUAGGGGAGAUCAAACCGCUCCUUGACUCUUGGGUUCCUUGUAAUGAUGUUAUUAGUUGAGUCGAGAAUGGGCUUGAACGAACCUGCCAUGCUAGUCGAGGUGAUGAUGUCACACUAAUCAAUGAGUUCCUCCACCACAUCAUCUUUCAGAUCGGGGCAAGAAUAACGGGGUCGUUUCUGUCCUGUUCCCUCCAUCGAGAAGACGAUCGAACAAUGGCAGAAGAAAGGGUGAAGGGAUGAAGGAAAAUGGAGGAGGGAGAGGAAGACCGUGCGACAACAGUUCCAAAUCGAGAAGGAAAGGCGAAGAGUCAGUGGACGGUUGCCAGUUUGUGACGGUUCACGAAGGGGCGCCCGGCCUACACAUCAGUACGGAAAUACUCCUACUACUCGCUGUCCUCUCACUGAUAUGUGGAACGGGACCACAUGUCAACGAAACAUGGUGUGUAAUUUCUCGUGCAAAAUGCAAUCUGGCCGUGUUGGCCCGAGGUGCCGCAUUAGUUAUCGACCUUUAUUUUUUUAAUGGCGUGCCGUUCAGUUUUGAAGCACGACUAACUGGUACUGUACGUAGAGAAAAUAUAAACUACUCUACCACUACUCCACCUCCAGUACUAGUAGUAUAAAGAAGAUAUAUAGGCUCGAGCUUCAACGCUUUCUUGCCAAGGGCUGCCCACUUGCUUUUCACACUACCACCCUCUCUCCAGAUCUAAAAAAGACGGCCCCUCUCUCCCUCCUCACCGGUGGUCAUAGAUCCACCGGGUAAUAAAAGGACGUUUAGCGUUGACGCGCUCGUCAUCGGUGAGCGAGGUCACGCACUAACGACAAGGCCGUCCUCUCAGACCUAGCACCCGUGCGGGAUGGCCUCCAUCCCCAAGCUUGCUGCCGUAGUGUGUGCGGAGGACGCCGACCACGAGUGAAGCUACUUCCCACCGAUCCUCAGGUAUGCUACCUCUUUUCGAACCAUACCCUUGUUCUGUUGCCCCAUCUGGCACGUCGUUGCAUGUGGAUCUUUUUCCACUCCACCAUCUUCCCAAUUUGCUAUCCUCUGCUCUGCUGGCCACGCAGACGAAAACCAUAAUUUGCACUAUUAAAGGAAACCCUACUUCACGCAGACUAAUGCAUGUCUGGGUUGAAUAAGGAAAGGAAGGGAGACUGUACUGUCCAAGAGAGUAUGCAUCGAACCCGCAUCUAGGUUGAAAAGGGGAAAAUCAGUAGCUAAGGAACGAGUCUCGUGUCUCUUGGUUGAAGAAGGGUAGAAACGCAUGACAACGCAAUAGAGAAUGACCAGGUCGAUCGGUUUGUUGUCCUCACAUAGGAAAAAGGUGGCUAAAGAGAACAAAAAUGGGGCGUAAUCCACAUAUGUUGCCUGGAUAUUUGUUGCUCUGGGCAACCAUACCUCCCUCACCACUCUGCGUCCGUGGAGGUACAUCGUACUGGUGCGCCCACUAUACGAAUGGGCCUCCCAUGCUCUUAUUGCCACUUUUUUUGCUGUUAGUAUAAUGCCAGCAGUCAAGUAAAGCAAUGCUACUACUAAAGUGAUGCCACAUUUAACUAAUGCCGCUCUCAGUCUAAUGCCGUAGAUAAAUUUAAGUAGUGCCAUUUAAUGCCACUGGAUCAUUUCAGGGUUAGCUGUUGAUUGUGCAUGUAUUAAAGACUUUUCAGCUAAGGCAUUCUAAUGUUGUUGCACAGCCAGUAUACCAACGAUGAAACUUGUUACUACCUUAAAAAUUUUGCACAUUUAAUGCUUAUAGAUUACAUACCUCACUUUCAUGAGAUAAGUUAAUUUUUUUUGUACAGUGUCACCAAAAUUCCAAGGCGCUGAUGUCAUUUUAUUUUGGUUAAACUGCACAGACAAUUAUGAAGACAAGAGGAAAGGUCAAGAGUGGGCACCUCCUCCUCCGGCUGUUCUCUUGAUUUGUUCGAUCAAGUUUUUAUGUUUGAUCGAUUAUCAAGAUUGGCAUAGCAAUUUUUAAGGUCCCCCCGAGUUCGAAAUGAUAUUUACCUUGGAGGUACAUGGUUUGCAAUUUUUUUAUACUUUCAUUAGUUAAUAAUGCUAGUUACCUUCAGACUUCUGUAUUUGGUUUAAUGCUCAUGCACAGCUAGUAUACCAAUGCUGAAACUUGUUACCUUUACAUUUUGUAUUGUUAAUUCUUAUAGAAACCUUCCAGUGCUAGAGUUUAUUGAAAUCUGUUCAGUAAAACCAUUGUACUGUACCCUGUAAUAAACUUACUACUCUACUGUUGCACUAGCCACUGGAUUAGUGUAUAUUUGUAGUAUUCGAAUGGUGUUGCAUUAGCAUAUGGACAUAAAUAAAGUGUGGCAAGCUUUCCCAGAUAUGUGCUCAAGAAAACUACUACCUGUUUUUCUAAAUACUAGACGUUUGGGUACUUUAAAUUGAACCAUGAAAACAUCUUAUAUUAAGGAACAGAGGGUGUAGAGUUCACUCAAAUUAUCCCGGUAAAGCUAGUCACACCUUUGUUAAAAUUAAUGUUCAUUAUGUUAUCGGAGGAGGUCUGUAUGUUUGUCUCUAAUGCCUGUCUACUACAUACCCGACAUCAUGACGUAAUGUUAAGUCAUUUCCUUUUGUACAGUGUCACUAAAUUGUCAAGGCGGUGAUGGCAUUUUAUUUUAGUAUAACUGCACAAAAUUUGCUUAAAAGAAGAGGAAAGGUCAGGAAUGGCUCGGUUUUUUAGAAAAAACUAUGUAUGCCUUCCUGACAUCAGCCGCCGUUGCUUUAUUUAUUCCUUCAAGUAGGUGGUUAGAAACAGUCUUGCUACCUUUUCCCAUUAAGAAAUUGGAAUGCUUAUAUUUGUGAGUCUAUGCUUCAACUAGUGCCACUUUUAUAGUAAUCACACUUUCAAUAUCUAUGCAAACAGGGAUGCUCGAUUUUAGUGGAGCUACACAAAAAGUCCAACUGGUUCAACAUUAGGAGCAUCUUUUUUUCCAAACCUUUAUAUCCAAUUGGUGGCACUAUGAGCUGUUCAUUCCGAAGGUACAUGGUUUGCUACUAUCUUGCUACUGUUUUUGUACUGUCAUUAGAUAUUAAUACUAGUGGUUUGCAUGUGAAUUUAUUGGCAGGGUGGACCUACAUUGGAGGUGCAGGACAGGAUUCAAUGAUUGGAUGCUCAAUUUCGGUUGUAUCGAUUUCACCUCUUCCAUCAGUGCAAACAUGGUGUGGUAUAUGUUUACUAGCUGCUUGAUAUUUGUGCAGACAGAGAUGUCUGCCCGUUGCUAUUUGACAAACAAACAAAGUGUCCGCAAUUUUGGUUGAACUGCACAAGAGAAUAGUAUAGUCACUGCAUGCAGUGCCAUUUGAAAAUAGACACAAAGAUUGGAUAGUCACUUCAUGGACUACAGAAAAGUAGGACUGUACUAUUUACUGGCCAACACUAGGUGCUUCAUUGCUUUGGUCUGAUUAUACAAUGGGCAUCAUUUUCCCUAAGUUAAAGUUUGUAUUCCGAAAAUAGUCUCGCAGUGUGAUCGAGAGAAGACCAAAUCAUAUUGCAGUGGAUGUUCCUCCAUCAUGUGUGGUUCAUUCUCAUGGUUCCAGGUGUUGGUGAAACCACUUACGUUUGCAAGAGGAAUUGUAGACUUCACAAACAAAUUUGUCUUUCAGUCUGUACUGAAUGUUGGCCAAGAGAAGCAUCCACGUUAGUAGGAGGAACAGAUGUUUUUUCUAGAUCUUUGCUUUUGGAGCUACAUAUUUGUAUAUGAUCUGUGAAUCAUUGAGAUGCAUUAACAUGUUGAUCUUAUGUAUGGGAAUCAUACUAGUUAGUUUUAGUUGCGACGCAAGAUCCGAAGUGGCUGAUCUUUGCUUUUGGAGCUACAUAUUUGUAUAUGAUCUGUGAAUCACUGAGAUGCAUUAACAGUUACUUAUUUCUAUUCACUCAGUGUUUACAAGUUACUGAUCGAUCACUAGCUAGCCUACAAAUGCGCUCCUGGUAGUUUUAUUUGCGACGCAAGAUGCAAAGUGGCAGUUUUUUGAAUAAAAAUGCCUACCUCUGAAGAAACUGACAAGCUACACUAUCGAUCCUACACGGAUAAAAAUGCCUACCUCUGAAGAAACUGUCAAGCUACACUAUCGAUCCUACACGGAUAAAUAGCGGAUCACGCACAUACUACUUCCUUUCCGGUUUGCAGGGCUCAAUUCAAGAAACGACCUACUCGAUCCUACACGAAUAAAUAGCGGAUCACGCACGUACUAGUACCUCCUUUCCGGUUUGUAGGGCUUAAUUCAAACCUCUCACCAACCAAGGUACUCCCUCCGUCCAGGUUUAUUAGUCCCGUGAGCAAAGCAGCAAGACCAAGGCAUGGCAAUAAUUAACGGCAUGCAGAAGUUUAAGCCUAAUUAAUUCCAGUGAUUUAAGUGGCUGCAUGCGUGCCCUCGGAUGCGACUCGUUGCAUGCUGCUUCGCGUACUGCCUGUGAGCGAUUCUGAGUGCCUGCAUGUGGCCGGCCGUAAUUAAGGCAGCUAACUGAUGCGAAAAAAGAUACACUUCAAUUGUUGCGGGCUUUUUAAAUCCGUGAAAUCAUUAUUGACAAGGAGGGAGAUGAUUCGAGUGCACUCGUUUGACCGCCAUGCCGGCGUGCGACCCAGACGGGAUGGGACGGCACAGUCAUAAUUUCAGUUUCCCUAGUUUUCGACGGCAAGCUGGCGCGCUAAGCCAUUAUGCAUUGAAUUCUGAUGACCGUCGCGCUACCUUCCCCCUAUAAGUACUGUUUCCCGGCCUUCUCCAGUGCCACCGUGACCCAACUCGCCAUAUCCUCAUAAGCCCCCACCGGCCCGACGUCGCUCGCCAUGUCCGCCAUGCCCCCGGCCGUCCGUGGUAGGCGACGUUGAAGGCGGUCACCGCCGUAACUAGUGUUCGGUUUUUCACCGGAAGGCAGACGGAGGGAGGAGGCAUUCUAUCUGUCUUUAGAUGGCAAUGCGCAGAUCGAGGAGUUGUUGGAGCGCGACCGCAUGAUGGAGGAGCAGGAGUUGUUGGAGCGCGACCGCCUGGUGGAGGAGUAGCGUAUCACCGAUUUGCGCCGCCAGCGGGACAUGGAGCAGCAGCGCACCGACGCUCUGAGUCGCGAGCAAAGCGCCCGCAACUGGGCCGACUACGUGGAGGCUGGUGCCCGACAAAUAGCCCUGGAGGCUGUCGGGCACGCACACAAGGUCAUGGCAGUACGCAAGCAAGUGCCUCCUUAUUUAAAGCCAAUAAAAAAAGUGGCUCCUCCUAGUGGAUUUCUGACAUCUGGGUCUCAUGCCAUUGUCAACGUAGUCAAUAAACGAGAGAAUUGCACAACGAGCGGCUAACACCAGGGACCCAGCAGCUCGCCCAGUUAUUUUUGUUUUGGGUUAAUUUGAUAAAUGCCUCCGAGCAAUGCCACUUCAAUUUCCAAACUUUGAAAAAUGCCAUUUCAUGCCAUUUCUAGUGGCAUUUUUUGAAGUCUGGAGUGGCGUUUUUCAAAGUUUGCAAACUACAGUGGCGUUUUUCAAAGUUUGCAAAAAUUGAAGUGGCAUUUUUCAAAGUUUGGAAAUUGCAGUGGCAUUUUUAUGAAUCGCCAUAAUUGGAGUGGCAUUUAUCUAAUUUGUUUUUGAGACGGAAGCAGGGUGUCAACUGGGUUGUGCGGGACACUCUGGCCUGUCUAGACAGCCUUUUCUUUUAUGUUUACCACAGACCAGCCCAGUAGUUUUUUUUUCUUUUUGAAAAUGGCUAGCCCAGUUUUUUUGUGAUUUGUCAAGUAAGUCACUUUAUCAGGCCUGUUGGGCUAGACGAGGAGAGCUUCAUUUGGCUGGCCGAGAAAAUGGCCUAUCAGUAAUGAGAAAUGUGUUGUACAUUUUUAAAACACAUCAAACCGGUAAUUAGUUUCAAAUAUCUUUUUUUCAUUUCGAGAUUUUAAAUUGCAUUGAUUUUUAUGCGUGGACAAUUUAUUGGAUUUUAUAUUGAUAUAAAUUUAUUUUUAAAAUCAGUCUGAAUGUGACUCGAAAUUUUGGGAUUAAAAAUAGUUCAGACCGCACCGACAUAUGCAAAAUUUCGUAUAAUUUUUUAACCGUGGCCACAAUAUGGGCUGUAAUACUAACAAAAAGAAUAUGGGCUCCAAAAAAACUCGUAAGAAUUAGCAAAUGGGCUGUAAACUAUUUGAAAUAAUGGCAGAUGGGUUGUAUGCUGUUUUCCACAGAUUUGAGGCUUUCCAUAGAUGGCAUGUAUACUGUUGGAUGUCCAUCCAACGGCCGUCGUGCUUCUUCAAUCUCUACUCUUCCUGCUCCAGCAGCUCAAACAAGCGCCAGCGGGACUGCCUGCUCCCUCCUCCCCGUGGCCGGCUGUGCUGCCACGCAGGCCUCACCGCCCCACCGUACUCCCAUCGCUGGCCUAGCUAUCCCUCUACUCACUCUCAGUCCCACACAUGCUGUUAUUCUCUGGCGACGGCAGACGAACCAGUUAACCCUUGUACUCCUCCGCGUGGGAAACAACAGCCGAGUAUUCCCUGGCUCCGUGUCGUUCCCUUCCUAUGGCUCGCCGUCGUCCACUGCCCUAGUGCUCUCGGCGCGGCCUGGUCAACGUGGUCAAUAAACGACAUCCAUCGGAAGUGGACUGUACGUGGAGAGGCUGACAGCUGGGUCCACGGCCGCACGCAAGGAAAUGCCUCCUUAUUACGCGCAAAAUAAUGAUUCCUCCACCUGACAUCUGGGACCCACCGAAAGGGCCUCUGUAUUUCGCGAAAAAACGUUACCGCCGCUGAUAGCUCGGACCCACCAGCUAUAUCUUCGCACGCAAGGAAGUGCCUCCGUAUUACACCCAAAAAAAAGAAUACUCCCCCUGCUAGCUGGGACCCAGUAUAGUGGGCCUACUAAGUUGACGGGGACGAAGGGCUUUGUCAACUUAGUCAAUAUUCAUGAUUCUAGCUCGAUUGACCGUACGAUGUCCAUCCAACGGCCGUAGUGCUUCUUCAACCUCUGGUCUUCUUGCUCCAGCCGCCCAAAGCAGCGCCGGUCAUGCCGCCUGCUCCUGCCUUCCAUGGCCGGCUGUGUUACCGCGAAGGCCUCACCGCCCCCAUACUACUCCCACCGCUGGCCAGGCCAUCCCUACACUCCACUCACCCACACCCCCCUGUUAUUCUGUGGCGAUGGCAGUGCAGCCGAACCAGUAAACCCUCGUACUCCUCUCCGCGUGGGCAUCCACUACCGCGUCUUCCUCGGCUCUGCGUCGUCCCCUUCCUAGGCCUCGCCGUUGUCCACUGCUGUGAUGCUCUCGGCGCGGCGUGGUCAAUGUGGUCAACGACCGAAUUUUCGGGGAACGUAGUAAUUUCAAAAAAUUUCCUACGCACAUGCAAGAUCAUGGUGAUGCAUAGCAACGAGAGGGGAGAGUGUUGUCCACGUACCCUCGUAGACCGUAAGCGGAAGCGUUAUGACAACGCGGUUGAUGUAGUCGUACGUCUUCACGAUCCGACCGAUCCAAGAACCGAACGUACGGCACCUCCGAGUUCAGCACACGUUCAGCUCGAUGACGAUCCCCAGACUCGGAUCCAGCAGGGUGUCGGGGAUGAGUUCCGUCAGCACGACGGCAUGGUGACGAUGAUGACGUUCUACUGACGCAGGGCUUCGCCUAAGCAUCGCAACGAUAUGACCGAGGUGGAAUAUGGUGGAGGGGGGCACCGCACACGGCUAAGGAACGAUCACGAUGAUCAACUUGUUUGUCUAGAGGUGCCCCCUUGCCCCGGUAUAUAAAGGAGGGAGGGGGAGGUGCGAUCGGCCCCCUAGGGGUGCGCAUGGAGGAGUCCUACUCCCACCGGGAGUAGGACUCCCCCCUCUUGCCUUGGUGGAGAAGGAAAGGGGGGCGCCGCCCCCCCCCCCUUCCUUGUCCUAUUCGGACUAGGGGGAGGGGGUGCGCGGCCUGCCCUAGUCGGCCCUCCUCUUCUCCCUCAUGGCCCAUGUAGGCCCAUUAACCCCCAGGGGGUUCCGGUAACCCCCCCGGUACUCCGGUAAAAUCCCGAUUUCACCCGGAACGUUUCCGAUAUCCAAAUAUAGGCUUCCAAUAUAUCAAUCUUUAUGUCUCAACCAUUUCGAGACUCCUCGUCAUGUCCCUGAUCACAUCCGGGACUCUGAACAACCUUCGGUACAUCAAAACUUAUAAACUCAUAAUGAAACUGUCAUCGUAACAUUAAGCGUGCGGACCCUACGGGUUCGAGAACUAUGUAGACAUGACCUAGAACUGUUUCCGGUCAAUAACCAAUAGCGGAACCUGGAUGCUCAUAAUUGCUCCUACAUAUUCUACGAAGAUCUUUAUCGGUCAAAUCGCAUAACAACAUACGUUGUUCCCUUUGUCAUCAGUAUGUUACUUGCCCGAGAUUCGAUCAUCGGUAUCCAAUACCUAGUUCAAUCUCGUUACCGGCAAGUCUCUUUACUCGUUACGUAAUGCAUCAUUCCGUAACUAACUCAUUAGCUACAUUGCUUGCAAGGCUUAUAGUGAUGUGCAUUACCGAGAGGGCCCAGAGAUACCUCUCCGACAAUCAGAGUGACAAAUCCUAAUCUCGAAAUACGCCAACUCAACAUGUACCUUCGGAGACACCUGUAGAGCUCCUUUAUAAUCACCCAGUUACGUUGUGACGUUUGGCAGCACACAAAGUGUUCCUCCGGUAAAUGGGAGUUGCAUAAUCUCAUAGUUGUAGGAACUUUGUAUAAGUCAUGAAGAAAGCAAUAGCAACAUACUAAACGAUCAAGUGCUAGGCUAACGGAAUGGGUCAAGUCAAUCACAUAAUUCUCCUAAUGAUGUGAUCCCGUUAAUCAAAUGAGAACACAUGUCUAUGGUUAGGAAACAUAACCAUCAUUGAUUAAUGAGCUAGUCAAGUAGAGGCAUACUUGUGACAUUAAGUUUGUCUAUGUAUUCACACAUGUAUUAUGUUUCCGGUUAAUACAAUUCUAGCAUGAAUAAUAAUCAUUUAUCAUGAUAUGAAGAAAUAAAAAAUAACUUUAUUAUUGCCUCUAGGGCAUAUUUCCUUCAGUCUCCCACAUGCACUAGAGUCAAUAAUCUAGAUUACACAGUAACGAUUCUAACACCCAUGGAGUCUUGGUGCUGAUCAUGUUUUGCUCGUGGAAGAGGCUUAGUCAACGGGUCUGCAACAUUCAGAUCCGUAUGUAUCUUGCAAAUCUCUAUGUCUCCCACCUAGACUUGGUCCCGAAUGGAAUUGAAGCGUCUCUUGAUGUGCUUGGUCCUCUUGUGAAAUCUGGAUUCCUUUGCCAAGGCAAUUGCACCAGUAUUGUCACAGAAGAUCUUCAUUGGUCCCGAUGCACUAGGUAUGACACCUAGAUCGAAAAUGAACUCUUUCAUCCAGACUCCUUCAUUUGCUGCUUCCGAAGCAGCUAUGUACUCCGCUUCGCAUGUAGAUCCUGCCACGACGCUUUGUUUAGAACUGCACCAACUUACAGCUCCACUGUUUAAUAAAAACACGUAUCCAGUUUGCGAUUUAGAAUUGUCCGGAUCAGUGUCAAAGCUUGCAUCGACGUAACCAUUUACGACUAGCUCUUUGUCACCUCCAUAAACGAGAAACAUAUCCUUAGUCCUUUUCAGGUAUUUCAGGAUGUUCUUGACCGCUGUCCAGUGAUCCACUCCUGGAUUACUUUGGUACCUACCUGCCAAGCUUAUUGCUAAGCAUACGUCAGGUCUGGUACACAGCAUUGCAUACAUGAUAGAGCCUAUGGCUGAAGCAUAGGGAACAUCUUUCAUUUUCUCUCUAUCUUCUGCUGUGGUCGGGCAUUGAGUCUGACUCAACUUCACACCUUGUAAUGCAGGCAAGAACCCUUUCUUUGCCUGAUCCAUUUUGAACUUUUUCAAAACUUUAUCAAGGUAUGUGCUUUGUGAAAGUCCAAUUAAGCGUCUUGAUCUAUCUCUAUAGAUCUUGAUUCCCAAUAUGUAGGCAGCUUCACCGAGGUCUUUCAUUGAAAAACUUUUAUUCAAGUAUCCCUUUAUGCUAUCCAGAAAUUCUAUAUCAUUUCCAAUUAAUAAUAUGUCAUCUACAUAUAAUAUCAGAAAUGCUACAGAGCUCCCACUCACUUUCUUGUAAAUACAAGAUUCUCCAAAAGUCUGUAUAAAACCAUAUGCUUUGAUCACACUAUCAAAGCGUUUAUUCCAACUCCGAGAUGCUUGCACCAGUCCAUAAAUGGAUCGCUGGAGCUUGCACACUUUGUUAGCACCUUUUGGAUCGACAAAACCUUCCGGUUGCAUCAUAUACAACUCUUCUUCCAGAAAUCCAUUCAGGAAUGCAGUUUUGACAUCCAUUUGCCAAAUUUCAUAAUCAUAAAAUGCGGCAAUUGCUAACAUGAUUCGGACAGACUUAAGCAUUGCUACAGGUGAGAAAGUCUCAUCGUAGUUGAGGGAGUCCUGGAUUAGGGGGUGUCCGGAUGGCCGGACUAUGACCUUCGGCCGGACUCCCGGACUAUGAAGAUACAAGAUUGAAGACCUCGUCCCGUGUCCAGAUGGGACUUUCCUUGGCGUGGAAGGCAAGCUUGGCGAUACGAUAUGAAGAUCUCCUCCCAUUGUAACCGACUCCGUGUAACCCUAGCCCUUUCCGGUGUCUAUAUAAACCGGAGAGUUUUAGUCCGUAGGACGAACAACAAUCAUACCAUAGGCUAUCUUCUAGGGUUUAGCCUCUCUGAUCUCGUGGUAGAUCCACUCUUGUACUACCCAUAUCAUCAAUAUUAAUCAAGCAGGAGUAGGGUUUUACCUCCAUCGAGAGGGCCCGAACCUGGGUAACAACAUCGUGUCCCUUGUCUCCUGUUACCAUCCGCCUAGACGCACAGUUCAGGACCCCCUACCCGAGAUCCGCCGGUUUUGACACCGACAUUGGUGCUUUCAUUGAGAGUUCCUCUAUGUCAUCGCCUUUAGGCCCGAUGGCUUCUUCGAUCGUCAAUCACGACGCGGUCCAGGGUGAGACCUUUCUCCCCGGACAGAUCUUCGUAUUCGGCGGCUUCACACUGCGGGCCAACUUGUUUAGCCAUCUGGAGCAGAUCGAAAACUACGCCCCUGGCCAUCAGGUCAGGUUUGGAAGCUUAAAUUACACGGUCGACAUCCGCGGGGACUUGAUCUUCGACGGAUUCGAGCCAUGGUCGAGCACGCCGCACUAUCACGAUGGGCAUGAUUUAGCUCUGCCGCCGGACAAUGCCCAGAGCGUCGCUCAGGUGUCCGCUCCGACCAUUAGCUCGGAGCCUACUAAGCUAGUCGGGGAUGGACGGUUGGACGCCACCCCGGGAGCCGCAAUCUCUACGGCGAUAGAGCCAAAUACCAGCCUAGUCCUUUGCAGGGCCCGUGAUUCUAAGGUGCCGGACUCCGUUCCGGACUCCAUAUAUCACGCACCUCUUCCGAUCGAACCCGAUUGGGCUCCAAUCAUGGAGUUCACCGCCACAGACGUCUUUCAGCACUCGCCUUUUGGCGAUAUCCUGAAUUCACUAAAGUCUCUCUCUUUGUCAGGAGAGUCCUAGCCGAACUACGGUCAGCAUGGUUGGGAUACGGACGACGAAGAAAUUCGAGGCCCACCCACCACCCACUUCGUAGCCACUGUCGACGAUUUAACCAACAUGCUCGACUUUAACUCCGAAGACAUCGACGGUAUAGACGCCGAUGAAGGAGACGACCAAGAACCAGCACCUAUAGGGAACUGGAAAGCCACCUCGUCAUAUGAAAUAUACAUGGUGGACACCCCCAAAGCAGGGGAUGCGAGGAAAAACGGAGGAUAACCCCUCCAAGAAGCAACCCAAGCGCCGACAUCAGUGGCGCCGCUCUAAGUCCCGCCAAAGCAAAAACGGCGAUUCCGGCACCGGAGAUAAAAACACGCCGGACAGUGCCAAAGACAACCCCCUCCAGCAGGAUUCAGUGCAGGAGGACGAAGGAGCCAGCCCUCAUGAGAGAGCGGCCGACAGAGAGGUUGAGGACGACAACUAUAUGCCUCCCUCCGAAGACGAGGCAAGCCUCGACGAUGACGAAUUCAUCGUGCCAGAGGAUCCCGUCGAACAAGAGCGUUUCAAACGCAGGCUUAUGGCCACGGCAAGCAGCCUCAAGAAAAAAUAGCAGCAGCUUAGAGCUGACCAAGACUUGCGAGCCGACAGAUGGACCGAAGUCCUGGUGGCCGAAGAGUACAAACUCGAGCGCCCCUCCAAGAGCUACCCAAAGCGCAGGCUGCUACCCCAACUUGAGGAGGAAGCAACUAAACCUACAUCACCAGCGUACGAUGCGCCCGAUCGGCCACCUCGUGGCCGCGAUAGAGAGGCCUUCAGGCCAUCGACCCAAGCCGCACCCCGGCACCGCUCAAAACAUACCACAGUAUGGGGAGACGCAACAGACCUACAAGACAUAUUGGAGAAUAAGGCAAGGCAAACAAGAUCGAUCUACGGAUCGCAUGGGUGCCCCGCUUCACGUGACGCUAGCCGUCACGCCGGAUAUGAUAAGUACGGCCAGGCCGAAUACAACAGACCAAGCUCAUCCGAGCUGCGUCGUGAUAUAGCCCAGUACAGGGGCGCCGCAGACCCACUAUGCUUCACAGACGAAGUAAUGGAUCAUCAAAUCCCCGAGGGCUUUAAACCCGUAAACAUCGAAUCAUACAAUGGCACAACAGAUCCUGCGGUAUGGAUCGAGGAUUAUCUCCUUCAUAUCCACAUGGCCUGUGGUGAUGAUCUACAUGCCAUCAAAUACCUCCCGCUCAAGCUUAAAGGACCAGCUCGACAUUGGCUUAACAGCCUGCCAGCAGAGUCAAUUAGUUGUUGGGAGGACCUGGAAUCCGCAUUCCUUGAAAACUUCCAGGGUACUUAUGUCCGACCACCAGACGCCAAUGACCAAAGCCACAUAAUCCAGCAGCCAGAGGAAUCGGCCAGACAAUUCUGGACACGGUUCCUAACCAAGAAAAAUCAAAUAGUCGAUUGUCCGGACGCCGAGGCCCUUGCAGCCUUCAGGCACAACAUCCGAGACGAAUGGCUUGCCCGGCACCUAGGACAGGAAAAGCUGAAAUCUAUGGCAGCCCUCACGACACUCAUGACCCGCUUUUGUGCGGGAGAAGACAGCUGGCUAGCUCGUAGCAAUAACAUAACCAAGAGCCCUGGCAAUUUGGAUACCAAGGACAACAACGGCAGGUCAUGUCACAACAAGCAUAAGCGCCGCAUUAACGGCGACAAUACUGAAGAUACGGUAGUCAAUGCCGGAUUCAGAGGCUCUAAACCCGGUCAGCGGAAGAAGCCAUUCAAAAGAAACCCUCCGAGCCCAUCCAGCUUAGACCGGAUACUCGAUCGCUUGUGCCAGAUACACGGCACCCCCAAAUAGCCAGCCAACCACACCAACAGGGAUUGUUGGGUGUUCAAGCAGGCAGGCAAGUUAAGUGCCGAAACCAGAGACAAGGGGCUGCAUAGCGAUGACGAGGAGGAGCCCCGACCGCCGAACAACAGAGGACAGAAGGGAUUCCCCCCACAAGUUCGGACGGUGAAAAUGAUAUACGCAACCCACAUCCCCAAAAGGGAGCGGAAGCAUGCUCUCAAGGACGUCUAUGUGUUGGAGCCAUUCACCCCGAAGUUCAACCCGUGGUCCUCCUGCCCGAUCACUUUUGAUCGAAGGGACCACCCCACUAGCAUCCGUCACAGAGGAUUCGCCGCAUUGGUCCUAGACCCAAUUAUCGACGGAUUUCACCUCACCAGAGUCCUAAUGGACGGCGGCAGCAGCCUGAACCUGCUUUAUCAGGAUACACUGCGAAAAAUGGGCAUCGAUCCCUCAAGGAUUAAACCCACAAAGACAACCUUCAAAGGCGUCAUACCAGGUGUAGAAGCCAGUUGUACAGUCUCGGUUACACUCGAAGUGGUCUUUGGAUCCCCGGAUAAUUUCUGAAGCAAAGAGUUAAUCUUCGACAUAGUCCCAUUCCGCAGUGGCUAUCACGCCCUGCUCGGACGAACCGCAUUUGCAAAAUUCAACACGGUGCCGCACUACGCAUAUCUCAAGCUCAAGAUGCCAGGACCUCGCGGAGUCAUCACGGUAAAUGGAAAUACCGAACGCUCUCUCCGAACAGAGGAGCACACGGCGGCCCUGGCGGUGUAAGUACAGAGUAGCCUCUCAAGGCAAUUCUCCAAUCCAGGUGUCAAACGUCCGGACAACGUCAAGCGAGCCCGAAGUAACCUACAACAAAUCUGGCUGGCACGUUCCGAGCAAGCAUAGCAGUGCGGCCCCAACCCCAACCCUCUCCAAAUGGUGAUAUCGGUACCACGCGUACAUAAUUACGUCUUAGAGAUACCAUGGGCAUAAGGGGAGGGGCACAACUAUGGCACGCCCAAAAUGCGGCUCAACCGCACUAAGGGGCUCCCUAUUCCACCGUUUCCUUUUUACACACUUUCAGGACCCAACUAUUCGGAAGGCCUGCCCGGCAAUACACGCGCCGAACACACGAUGCAAUAGCCAAGGAGAGAACAAGCCGCGUCAAAUGUCCAGGUGGUCUCUAUAACGAGCUUAAUACAUGUUUUACUUAAAAUCUCGCAGCUUGCCCCUGGAGGGGAACAUAUCAAAUAAUCCCAUCUCUUGCUUAUCGCACUACUUGUAUCGUUCUGCUUUCGCAGCAGCCCUUUUUUAAUAAACAAUACAUAGCUCUUAUCUAUUAUUGUACUCAUCUAUUUUCUAUAUACACAAAUAUGUUCAGUCAUGACACUCUGCAACCGUACACUUUGGUACGGCCAAUACACCAGGGGCUUAAACACCCCAUAACAUGGUGUGAGAAGACCGAACACUCUCAUGAGUGCGGCACCCCGAACUUAUAGCACUAUAUGCAUCGGCUCCGAAUCAUGUCUUAGGUCAAUAGUUGGGUUUGCCCGGCUCCCAUGUUUUGGUACCUUACGUUCCGCAAUGUUGGCUAAGGUAGCGCUGGGAGAACUACUGCGAUUGUGCCCCAGUUGAGCUGGGUUAACACCUCAGUAGAGAAAGCUAAAACUGACUGUCAUGAUAGUGUGAGAGACCGGUCGCUGUUCGCGAGGUUUUCGAGUCCUUAAAGACUUAUGCCGCUUAGAGCGAGGAACCGGACUUAUCCGGCCUACGCGUGGAUAGCGCCCCGAACUCGGUCUUUCGAAUACUAGGGGCUUCGCCGAAAUUUAAAAUUAUCGAAUUCUAUGGCUAAGUGAGAGUGAUAAAGCAUUAUAAGUCCGACGACCUGGUUCGUUGUGCUGAGCGCCUCCCUAGAUGGACCCAAGAAUGGGAACAAGAGCGCUCAGGUUUAUCCCAAACACCCCAACACUCGUGGCAUGGGGGUCGAAGCCGAUGACUUGCAUCUCUCAGAUUUGAUAAACGGCCGAACAGAAGGUAAUAUUUUAAAUUAACAAGCGUUGCUUAACGCACAUGAACAAAGUUUUCAGCGUACAGGAUAACAAAUGCGAGUCUACUAAAACAUUACAUCUUUGGAGCACUCAUCCGCUAUACGGUGGGCACCCUUCAGGACGCUCUUAUAAUACAUCUCAGGCGUGCGAUACUCCUUGCCCGGCGGUGGCGCGUCCGUCAAAAGCUUCUCCGCGUCCAGCUUGCCCCAGUGCACUUUAGCACGGGCAAGGGCCCGACGGGCACCUUCAAUGCAGACGGAGCGCUUGAUGACCUCAAUCCACGGACAAGCGUCCACCAGCCGUCGCACCAGACCAAAGUAGCUCCCAGGGAUGGCUUCCCUAGGCCAUAGUCGAACUAUGAGGCCCUUCAUGGCCUGUUCGGACACCUUGUGGAGCUCGACCAGCUCCUUCAGCUGGUCGCUCAGGGGCACCGGAUGCUCGGCCUCAACAUACUAAGACCAGAACACCUUUUCCGUCGAGCUCCCCUCCUCGGCUCGGUAGAACGCGGCAGCAUCAGACACACUACGGGGCAGAUCGGCGAACGCUCUUGGAGAGCUCCGGAUUUGGGUAAGUAAUAGAUAAUUUACUUUUACAUGCUUGCUUUGCAUAAAGAAUGCCUUACCCGCUGCUAUUUUCUUUAUCGCCUCGAUCUCCUGGAGGGCCUUCUGGGCUUCGGCCUUAGCGUUUUUGGCACUCUCAAGAGCCAAGGCGAGCUCGGACUCUCGAGUCUUUGAGUCACGCUCCAAACUCUCGUGUUUUUUCAUGAGAGCCUUGAGCUCUUGCCGCACCUCCGCCACCCGUGCCUCCUGCUUCUCUCGCUCGGUGCGCUCCAAGGCCGCACUAUUCUUGGCCUUGGACACCGCCUCCUUCAGGGUCACCACCUCGGUCGUGGCCCCUGCAACAUUUACGUUGGUCCUGUCAUUAUUUGCAACCAAGUAUUUCUAUAUACAUUUACAUGCGGUACUACGUACCCUCUUUAUCCUCGAGCUGCUUCUUGGCACGGCCGAGCUCGCUCUCGGACCGCUCAAGGCUUUCCUUCAAUGCAUUGACCUCCGCAGUCAGUGCGGCAGAGGUCAGCAGUGCAACCUGCAUUCCCAUAUUGACAUAUUUCUAUUAGACUCCUGCGUAUAUCUUUUUAGAUCCUCAGCUCGGCUUUUCUUUCCGAACGCCGAACUGAGCAUCAGGGGCUACUGUCUAUGCGGUAACAUUUUUAUAUGUUUUUGAACACAUACCUCAAAUCCUGUUAAUAGGCUUGUACAGGCUUCUGUCAGCCCGCUCUUGGCGGACUGAACCUUCUGAAUCACCGCACUCAUAACAGCGCGGUGUUCCUCGUCGAUGGAGGCGCCGUUAAGCACCUCCAGCAAACUGUCCGGCGCCUCCGGAUGGACGGAGGUCGCCGGCGUCGUAGGCUUGCCCUUCUUAUGAAGGCGCCGCAUGUCGGACUCUAGAACCAUCGAUGGUUGCGGAGCAGUGUCCGGCCCGGGGCCGGACUUGGAUCCCUCCGAGGCUUUACCCCCUUUGGGCUUGGGGUCCGGGAGGUCGCCUUGCGGCGCCUCCAGGACCACCUCCUCCUGGUUUAGUCCCUUUCGGGACUCCACCUCGGCGUCGUCCGUAGGGAGAGGGGAGGAGGCCGUCGGGAGUGAAGCACUAUUCACAUCCGACGAAUCCAAGGAGCCGCUCGUCGAAUAGUCGAGCUGAGCCUUGGGCGGACUGCAUGAUCAAAUACGGCGUUAGCAAAUGCCAAAUAAUAGAGGGGCAUCAUAAGUUAUUCGGAUGACCGGAUGCUUAUGAUUUUGCCAGGGGCUUGACCCUGGAUGGCCAUUCCUCCCCGCUGUCUUCGGCGUCGGAGGUGUAGUCCAGAAGUAGGGUUCUCCCAUUCUUGGACCCUACGGCCUCCCCAGUUGGGGCGGCUUUCCUUUUCUUCCCUUCCCCUGUUGGAGGGGGAGAGGCUUCUUCUUCUUCCUCCUCCUCGUCCUCAGAGGCGGAGGGUGCUUCGGGGUUGUCGGGCGAUGAAUCCGACACCACCAGGCGCCGGGAACUCUUUCGAGUCCCCGUGGCCUUCUUCUUGGCCUUCUUCUCCGGCACCACAUGAGGUGUCAGAACCAGCAGCUUCGUCAAGCGAGCGUCUGCUGGGUCUUCGGGCAAGGGAGUCGGACAGUUGAUUUGUCCGGCCUUUUUCUGCCAGUCUUGUUAAAGAGAUGGGGGUUUAGGUCCCGCAUAGAAUCAAAUCUAUGAAAAACAAAUACCCCGUAAAGGGAAAAUUAAGCUCACCACGCUGGCUUGGCGCUCGGCGCAGAAACCGCGAUCCUCCGUGACGGGAGGAGAGACCUCGGAGCUCUUGAAUAGCACCUUCCAGGCGUCCCCAUGCUUUGUGUCGAAGAGCCGAGACAGAGUCUGAUGCUGGGCUGGGUCGAACUCCCAUAAGCUGAAAGCCCGUCAUUGACACGGGAGAAUCCGGCGGAAGAGCAUGACCUGGACUACGUUGACGAGUUUAACCUUCCUUCCGAUUAGGUCUUUGAUGCAGGUUUGAAGUCCGGUCACUUCUGUCGAACUACCCCACGACAGGCCCGUCUCUUUCCAAGAUGUGAGCCGUGUGGGGAUACCAGAUCGGAAUUCGGGGGCUGCUGCCCAUUCAGGGUCACGCGGCUCGGUGAUAUAGAACCACCUUGAUUGCCACCCUUUGAUGGUCUCUAUGAAGGCACCCUCAAGCCAUGUAACGUUGGCUAUCUUGCCCACCAUGGCACCUCCGCACUCCGCUUGGCGGCCGCCCACAACCUUCGGCUUGACGCUGAAGAUCUUCAGCCAUAGGCCAAAGUGAGGCUAGAUGCGGAGGAAGGCCUCGCACACGACGAUAAACGCCGAGAUGUUGAGGAUGAAGUUCGGGGCCAGAUCGUGGAAGUCUAGGCCAUAGUAGAACAUGAGCCCCCGGACGAACGGGUGAAGAGGAAAACCCAGUCCGCGGAGGAAAUGGGGGAGAAAUACAACCCUCUCAUGGGGCCUAGGGGUGGGGAUGAGUUGCCCCUCAUCUGGCAGCCGGUGCGCGAUGUCGUCAGACAAGUAUCCGGCCUUCCUCAGCUUUUUGAUUUGCCCCUCCGUGACGGAGGAAGCCAUCCAUCUACCUCCCGCUCUGGACAUGAUUGGAGAAGGUUAAGGUGGGAAGUGUGGGCUUGGGCGUUGGAGCUCGAGCGCGCAGGAACGAAUAAGCAAAGGAGGAAGAAGGCGUGAAUGGAAAGGGUGGAUUCUUAUCCCCUUAUAUGGGCGGCCGAAACUACGAGCCCCCACCAGCCUGAUAAAACUCGCUUAUCUCCCAAGCGCCGCGGUUAAUGGCGUGGUUGGGUUACCCACGCCCGUUGAGGGAGUCCUAGAUUAGGGGGUGUCCGGAUGGCCGGACUAUGACCUUCGGCCGGACUCCCGGACUAUGAAGAUACAAGAUUGAAGACUCCGUCCCGUGUCCGGAUGGGACUUUCCUUGGCGUGGAAGGCAAGCUUGGCGAUACGAUAUGAAGAUCUCCUCCCAUUGUAACCGACUCUGUGUAACCCUAGCCCUCUCCGGUGUCUAUAUAAACCGGAGAGUUUUAGUCCGUAGGACAAACAACAAUCAUACCAUAGGCUAGCUUCUAGGGUUUAGCCACUCCGAUCUCGUGGUAGAUCCACUCUUGUACUACCCAUAUCAUCAAUAUUAAUCAAGCAGGAGUAGGGUUUUACCUCCAUCGAGAGGGCACGAACCUGGGUAGAAACAUCGUGUCCCUUGUCUCCUAUUACCAUCCGCCUAGACGCACAGUUCGGGACCCCCUACCCGAGAUCCCCGGUUUUGACACCGACAUUGGUGCUUUCAUUGAGAGUUCCUCUGUGUCGUCACCAUUAGGAAGGAUGCCGCACCCCGUCUUUAAAGACGGCGUUGUUGCUAAAGGAGCUUUGGCUAUCGGCCAAACUCUCCGGCUAGGCAGUUUUUUUAUGACCGCCUGUUCGGCCGCCGCACCGACGAUGACCUCUCGGGCCAUCGAAAGCAAUCUCCACAUCAGCUUGGAGCUCGCCGAGCAGUUAGCUCCGACGGAGCUCUCUUCCCUGAACGAGCUCUUGGAUCGCAUUGCGGCCCUGGGAGUCGCUACAGAUUACGGCCAGAUUGGGCUUAAACCCGAUCAGAGAGAGAUCGACUCUCCCCAGGUCACCCACCACGUUGAAGUGAUGGAAGAACAAUGCGGCGAAUCUUUGCCCACCCUAAGGACCAGAUGUGUCUGGAUUCCCGACCCCUCCAAGCCGGACACCCGCGGAGGGGAGGAUGUCGCCCAAGCCCUGAACCUAAAGUUAGGCAGCAGGCCUGAUUCAUUGAAUAAUUUCCAAGAAAGCAAGCUUCUGAAUUCGGAAACUUCUUGGCCCCUGAAUCUUAUAUCGGGCAAGGUUCCGGAUUUAAAUCCACCUGCCCACCCAACUAUUAGGGAUUUAUCCCAAAUACGGCAAGAGCCCGGGGAAACAGUACACCACUAUUGGGCCAGAUUCCUCCUGGUUAUGAACAGGAUAAAGGACUGCCGUGAGAAAGAAGCAAUUUCAUUCUUCUGUAACAACUGCACGGACAUCGGAAUCCUCAACGCCAUAAGUCGCCGCGAAAUUACACGCUUCGCCGACUUGACAUCCAUAGUACGAAAGUACUGUGCGACAGAAAGCGUUCGGAAAACUAAAGAUAAAUUCUAGGACAAUCCAGCCGUGAAUACAACACGAGUCCGAAACAAAAGGGCGCAUUAUCGCCAGGCAUCUGAGCCAAACAUCAAAAAACAAAAACCCUCUAUAGGGUAUGGGACCAUACUAGAGGGAUGGCUCAAUGGACCCUGUAAAAUUCAUAGUUCAGGGGAAGUCACACCAACUCACAGCCUUAGAGCAUGUUGGAUACUCCGGCAGGUGGCCAGAAGUGGCGAGGAGCUUCUAACUCCAGAACCCGAAGAACACCUCCCCAGGAACGCCAGUACGGUGUCGACAGUCUUUGAGACCUUCGCAUCAAACAAUGCGAGGAAACAAACGCUCCGCAACCUUACCGAAUUCUACCAAGUAGCAACAAUAAAUCCAUGGAGUGACACGGCUAUUACCUUUAAUGCCAGUGACGAAACUAAAUUCCGGACAGCCCGAGCACCAGCCGCAUUGGUCCUCAGUCCGAUAGUGGACGGCUUCCGACUUACAAAGGUACUCACGGAUAGUGGCAGCGGACUUAACCUCAUCUACGAGGAAACCCUGCGAAAAAUGGAAAUAGACUGGAGCCGCAUUGAGCGAAGCAACACAACCUUUAGAGGAAUAAUACCAAGCCGGGAAGCGUCCUGUUCAGGAAAAAUCACACUGGAUGUGGUGUUCGGCAUGCCGAAUAAUUACAGAUCCGAGGAGGUCAUGUUCCAAGUGGCCCCGUUCAGCAGCGGAUACCACGCUCUGCUAGGGCGAGAAGCAUUUACAAUUUUUCAAGCCAUACCCCAUUAUGGGUACAUGAAGCUCAAAAUGCCUGGACCCAACGGAAUCAUCACUCUUGCAAGUGAUCCGGACACAGCGCUCCGCACCGAAAACAAGACAGCCGCACUGGCCCUGGAGGCAUUAUCCGAAGCCCUAGCGGCCGAGGAACUAACUGCGUUGCGCUACAGGUGGAUAGGGACAAUGUGAUACUAGAUAAGAGAUCCAAGUCCACCUCUUUCAAACCAGCGGAAGAAAUAGUCAAAUUCCAAGUCCAUCCAACGGAACCCACAAAAACGGCCUCCAUCGGGGCACAACUAAAACCCGAUGUAGACGCCGCACUCAGAGAAUUCCUGCGAGAAAAUUGGGACAUUUUCGCCUGGCACCCUUCAGACAUGCCAGGAAUACCAUGAAGGCUGCCUGAGCACAGCCUGAACAUCCUAAAAGGGUACGGCGUUUCUCCGAACCCAAGAGACAAGCCAUGGGAGAGGAGCUAGCAAAACUGCUGGAAGCCGAAUUCAUCAGAGAUAUAAAACAUCCGGACUGGCUAGCAAACCCGGUGAUGGUACCAAAAAAGGACAAAUCUUGGCGCCUAUGUGUUGAUUUCAAAGACCUAAAUAAGGCCUGCCCAAAGGAUCCUUUCCCACUCCCCCGAAUUGAGCAAUCAUCGACCCCACCGCAGGACACGACUCAUUGUGUUUCCUCGAUGCAUACUCUGGCUACCACCAAAUCAAGAUGGCAGGGUCAGACCAAGCCGCAACGGCAUUCAUCACCCCAUAUGGCACAUUCUGCUUCAACACGAUGCCCUUCGGGCUCAAAAACACCGGCGCAACAUAUCAGCGCAUGAUUCAGACAUGUUUGGCCAACCAGAUCGGCAAAACAGUUGAAGCGUACGUAGAUGACGUGGUCGUCAAAACCAAACACGUCGAUACUCUAGUAAACGACUUGAGUUUCACGUUCGACAAUCUCCGAACAUAUGACAUUAAGCUCAACCCGGGAAAAUGCGUUUUCGGCGUACCAGCCGGAAAGCUCUUGGGCUUCAUCGUAUCCGAUAGAGGAAUUGAAGCAAACCCAGCCAAGAUCCGAGCUCUGUCACAAUUGGAAACCCCAAAAGACCUCAAACAAAUACAAAAAUUGACAGGAUGCGUGGCGGCUCUAAGCCGCUUUAUCUCCCGCUUAGGAGAAAAGGCAUUACCCCUCUAUCGCCUCCUGUGGCGCACCGAACACUUCGAGUGGACGGAUGCCGCCACGGCCGGACUCGAAGAAAUAAAAGCCAUACUGGCAACAAAUCCGGUCCUGGCCACGCUCAACACGGGCGAACCAAUGAUGUUAUACAUCGCGGCAACCCAUCAAGUUGUAAGCGCGGUGCUCGUCGUCGAACGAGAAACCCACAGACACAAGUUCCCUCUCCAAAAACCAGUUUACUACGUGUCCACUGUCCUAACUCCAUGCAAGUCACGGUACCCACAUCAUCAAAAGAUAGCAUACGCGGUGUUCAUGGCAUCCCGGAAGCUGCGACACUAUUUUCAAGAGUGUUCAAUAACAGUGCCAUCCGAAGUACCUCUUAAUGAUAUUAUAAACAACCGUGACGCAACGGGCUGGACUGCCAAAUGGGCCAUCGAGCUCCUCCCGUUCGACAUAACUUACAAGCCAAGGCGAGCUAUUAAGUCGCAGGUUUUGGCCGACUUCAUCGCCGAAUGGAUUGAAGCCGACCUCCCUAAAGAGUACGGCGCAUACUCCAACUGGAUCAUGCACUUCGACGGCUCCAAAAUGUUGGCUGGCAUGGGAGCUGGCGUCGUUCUGACGUCCCCAACCGGAGAUACAGUCCAAUACGUACUUCAGAUAAUGUACACGGAUUCCAACAACGCAGCCGAAUACGAGGCCCUUUUACAUGGUCUCCAGAUGGUAGUCUCCAUGGGCAUUCAACGCCUAGAGGUCCACGGGGAUUCAAACCUCGCACUAUCCCAAAUAAAUGGAGACUUUGACGCCAAGGAUCCGAAAAUGGCAGCUUACCGCAACGCCAUCUUAAAAAUGUCAGCUCGGUUUAAGGGGCUCGAAUUUCAUCACAUAGCCCGGGAGAAUAACCAGGCAGCAGACGUGUUGGCACGCAUUGGCACCAAGCGCGAUGCCGUCCCUCCCAACAUCUUCCUAGAGAGGCUAUUCAGGCCAUCCGUAUCAUGGGAGGGAGAGUCCAGAAACAAUAGCCCGGGCACAACCACACUGCCCCUCACCGUACACUCUGACACAGUUAGUGGCUCCGCCAAUGAAACAACGCCGUCAGCCCACACAAUAAUGGCAGUCAUUGCCCUGUGGACAGAACCAUUCCUAGCCUACCUAACUAGGCAGGAACUUCCCGAGGACCAAAACGAGGCCCGCUUCAUAGUGCGGCGAUCUAAAUCCUACAAAGUCCACGAGGGAGAGCUUUAUAAGAAAAGCACAACCGGAGUCCUUCGAAGGUGUAUCUCCGAAGAGGAAGGGCGAGACCUUCUGGCUGAAAUUCAUGCCGGACUCGGCGGGCACCAUGCCGCAGCCCGGGCCCUUAUAAGCAAGGCCUUCCGUACCGGAUUUUAUUGGCUAACGGCCGGGCAGACGCUCAGGACUUAGUGCAGCGAUGCGUUGGUUGCUAGUUAUUCGCCAACCAAAGCCACAUGCCGCCUACCGCCCUACAAACUAUACCCAUUACCUGGCCUUUUGCGGUCUGGGGGCUUGACAUGGUUGGACCCCUUAAAGGAGGAACCCACAAGCAAAAAUAUCUACUGGUCAUGGUGGACAAAUUCACCAACUGGAUAGAGGCCAAGCCUGUAAAGACGGCCGAAUCCGGACCGGUGAUAGACUUCAUAUCCGGGGUCAUACACCAUUACGGCGUCCCCCAUAGCACCAUAACUGACAACGACACAAACUUCACGGCAGAUGAAGUUAAACUCUGGUGCAAAAACAUGGGCAUUAAGCUCGACUACGCUUCAGUCUAUCACCCUCAAACCAACGGUCAAGUCGAGCGAGCCAAUGGUCUCAUUAUGAGCGGCAUCAAACCCAGACUAGUGCGAUCCCUCAAGGAAUCUAACACGCACUGGGUAGAGGAGCUUGACUCCGUACUCUGGGGGCUGCGGACCACGCCGAAUCGCACUACCGGAUUCACACCAUUUUUUAUGGUAUACAGUGCAGAGGCAGUACUGCCAUGCGACAUAAUUCAUGAUUCACCUCGAGUGCGCAUGUACGAAGAAAGAGAAGCCGAGCUCGAUCGGCAGGACAGCUUGGACGCAUUGGAGGAGGAGCGCGACGUGGCAAAAGCUCGUUCCGCAUUCUAUCAACAGCAGGCUCGAAGAUAUCAAAGCAGACAAGUACGGGCCAAAACUUAUAACGUUGGCGAACUAGUUCUACGCUUGCCGGACAAGAAAAAGGACAAACUAAAGCCCAAAUGGGAGGGUCCCUUCAUAAUCUACCAAGUACUGACUGGUGGAGCGUAUUGUCUGUGAAACGCAUCGGACAACCGACUCGAGCCGAACCCAUGGAAUGCAGCACGCCUACGAAGAUUCUAUGCCUAGUGCCGGACUCCGUGUUCGUCUCCUUCCUCUGUCCCCUUUUUAUUUUUUAUUUUUAUUUUUUCACAUUAGCUGUCCGGGAUUUCGCUCCUUCUCCCAACCUUUUUUCUCCCAAGCCAUUAGGGGCUUGCAUGUGCAUUGUUCGCACAUACCUAACACGCCACCCGCGCUCAUCAUACCUGGGGGCUUCUUUAUCAGAAGUUUAUAUAAAACGGGCCUCAUGACCAAAACAUGUGUGACACUUCCGCAUGAACCUUUUAUACACCAUUAUAUGCAUCGAUAUGACUUAAGUUUUGGCCAAGCUGGGUUGCCUGGCUCCUGUGCUUACCCCUACGUUCCCGUUCGUUCGGCUAGGUGGUAAAGGGAGCACCUCUGUGAUUAUUACUGCCGGGUCGGCCGGAUGUGUACCUCAGACUGGGUGAAGCCGAAAGCUAGCGUUCUUAAGAGAAUAUUCGGACGGUGAACUAAAAGAUGAUCUUUCGUGUUUAUUUAUCUGCCCCCAGAUUCUUUUCUGCUCUUUUUAGCAGUUCGGACAUGCACUUUAGGGCAUGCCUCCCAGGGAAAGGAACCCCUAAUGGAACUAUUUUCCCUGGAAGAUGUUUCUUACUAACCAUGUAAUAUAACAUAACUAGUUGGGCACUUGUCUGCUAAAGCAAUUAUGACCCCUACGCCUUAUCUCCAUGCAUGCCCCGGUUCUUACAUAAUCGAGAGGGUAUUCGGACACACUCCGGACUAUAGGGUCCAGAGGUCGAAGCGAAAAGGUCCGCAAUGACAAAUGAUCUACAAUCUGGCUAGAAGGCAUUUUUCAUGUCAUUUUAAAUUACAGAGUCAAUCCGACUCGAUAUAUUCUUCUUCAAUACCAUCCAACAGGCGGUCUAAUUUACAGUCCUGUUGGGAAUACUUUGCAGCCAGCUCUACCUGGCCAUAUACUAAGCUGAUAGGGAUCUCCUUUCCGUCAGGACCCAUACGGCCGACCUCGGCCAUGUGGUUUGGGUCAGCCUUCGUGUACCGAGUCUUCACCAUGGCCCAGGCCUCCCUAGCACCUUGACGGCAGGCCGAUAUCUUCCACAACCGGAAGCGCUGCUGCACUCCCUCCAGCUUCUUUGUAAGCUCCCCAAGGCCUUCGGGCAUGGAGAGGGAUGGCCACAUAGCCUGAAUGACGCUCUGCAUUGCCUGCCAAACUCGUUCGUGCAGUUGCAAUAGCUCGGGAAGAAGGUCUCUUGUUGAACCGGGCAUUUCCUCCGCAGGACGACCUCUCAGCAGACCUACAGACAUAGCUCUGCCAAUCGACUUCCUCACCGAAUUCUUUUUCGAAGAUUCGUUCAAGCACUUACUAAAAAUGCCGCGUCGAAGUCGCCGAUUCUCCUUUACGGAAGCAGACAGCUGAAUACGAACAUCCUUUAGUUCCUCGCCCAGCUGGGUAUUGGCGUCUUGAAGUUUGUUCUUCUCUUGCCUCACCCUCAUCAGUAUGCUCUCGCCAGCCUUUAGUUGGCCUAGGAGUUGUUGCUUGUCCGGAUUUACUCCGGCCCCAUCUGCACUAUUAUCGUCAGGGUUGCACACCUGCCGCACUUCACAACGGAAUUAUCUUUCAAAGCAUAUAUUACCUGAGGGCGUCCCCUUGGCAUUUUCUGAAGUGGCCAGGGCGGCCUCGAGUUGGGCCUUGCACUCUUCAAGCUCUUGGGACAGUUGCGUAUUCUUCUUUGUAAGACACUGCAUAGCACAUGAUCCUUAAAACAGUUAUCUUCACUGUUUCAAGUCUCGGGGGCUACUGACAUAUAUAACCUUCAAUUUUACUCACCUGUAUGUCUUUUACAUACUGCUCUGUGGCUUUGGCUAGACCAUUUUGAGCGGCACAGAGAUACGCAUCUCCUGUAUUAAAGGCGUCCAACGCCUCUAGGGAAAAACAUGCGUCACGAAGAACAGUCUGGUGACGCCUGUGGUUCAGGGCACUCUCCACCUCUGAAUUGGUGGCAGAUAGCCCGUCGGCGUCCUCUGUCGGAGGAACGCCCAAGGCGCGCCCUAUGUCCGUCUCUGCUUCCGGACCCGGCCUUGAACCUUGGCCGGCGGAUAUAGUCCGGCGGGCUCUCUUCUUUCUAAGAAAAUCAUGAGCGUUAGUAAGACUCAAGGGCAUAAACCCUAGGCAUUAAAUUUGCACGCCAUACCGUUGCGCCGGAAUCUCGAUCUGGUCCGCACUUCUUUUUGGCCCGCCUGGCUUCAGCGGCCCUUGUUGGCUGCCCACCGCGGGCUCGGCCUUCCGCCUCAAGGAUUUACCCUGCGAAACGAAACACUAUUAGUUCACGACAUGCAAGAUAAAGCAUGGAUAGAUCUCCUUGAGAAUACUGGGACUUCGUCUCGGUUACCUUUGAGGCUGGAAGUAGUCCUGGAUAGUCGGCCGUAAUGGCCACUAAGGCGUUGUCCUUGCUCAAUUGAUGAAACACCCCAUCCAUUAACUCCACACAUAAGUACAGGUCCUCUUGGGAGUCCGGAUCGAGGGACCGUUCCGGAUCCUCGGGUUGUGGAGGAGGGCUGUUUAUCUCCUUCACAGUCUGGCGUAGCUCCUGCGUUUAACAUCGCUAGACUAAGUACUCAACUACUGGAAUUUCGAAAGCGGGUAGGCAAGUGAAAGUGUUCGCUCACCCAACUUGGUGGAUUGUACAUGGAGAAUCCUCCCUCCGGGUUGGCACGGAGGAAUUCUUCUUCUUCUCCCUUGUACAAAGCGGAUAAGAUUCUCGUUAAAGUGGCGGCCGAAUCUGGCCCCUUACGACCGCACCGGGUGACAUCGUCCUCCCCGUUGAAAUCCCACAUGGGGCGGCCUCUGUAUUGAAGCGGCUGCACCCCUCGUGUAAUGCAUAUGGCCAUGACCUUGAUCAUGGUCAGUCCGGAAUGAGCCAACAACCUUAUUAGGCUCAUCAGGUAAAGGACGUCCCUGUCAGUUUCCCUCUGAGGGUUCCGCGGGCGCCAACUCAGGCUCUUCUUCAACGGAGCAUUUUUGAACUCAGGGAGGCCGAUCCGUACAGGGUCCGGCCGGGGGACGUCAUCUAUAUAGAACCACUCAGAGGACCAGUCCUCGGACGUCCUCUUUGGGGUACCGGAUAGAUAUCCGGUCCCGGUGAUGCGCCAUAGUUCGGCUCCGCCCACUUGAUAAAUAGACCCCUCCUGAGAACGAGGCACGAGGCAAAACAACCUCUUCCACAGCAUGAAAUGGGCCUCAACGCCCAAGAACAGCUCGCAGAGGGCCACGAAGCCCGCAAUGUGCAGAAUGGAGGCGGGCGUGAGGUUGUGUAGCUGGAGGCCGUAGAACUCCAGCAACCCUCGAAGAAACGGAAGAAUUGGAAAUCCGAGUCCUCUCAUCAAAUAAGGGACUAGGCAUACCCGCUCUCCUUGAGAGGGAUUGGGGACGCUCUCCGCCUGCUCUCCACUGCUAUAGGUAGCAAUCCCGGCUCAAACUGCAUAUAUGCUGGGGGGAGAAGCCCCUUGGACUGAAGCACUACUAACUCGCUAUGCGAGACGGAACACCGCCCCCAAUCUCCGGGCCGAGGGAUGGAGAGGCGAGAGGAGGAGCUGCACCGACCGUCCAUGGUGGAAUGGAUCCCUGUCGAAGGCACUUUGAUGAAGGCUCGCGGAGGGAAGAUGGUGUGAAUUGGAUUUAUGGGCGGUUCAUUAAAGCAACCGGGGGGUAAAAUGAAAAAAUCCCCUGGCUUUUCGCAUUCGUUUGACACGUGGAAGAUGGUCAUUAUGGGGCACAGAAGCCGAGGAGGGCAGCACGCACUAGAAGCCGGACACUAUUCGACGGGUACAUGGAAUUUGAAGAAGAACCCGCCUUGCAAUGCCGAAGACAACUUGCGCGCCGGACUCGUCGUCAUUGAAGCCUGGUUCAGGGGCUACUGAGGGAGUCCUGGAUUAGGGGGUGUCCGGAUGACCGGACUAUGACCUUCGGCCGGACUCCCGGACUAUGAAGAUACAAGAUUGAAGGCCUCAUCCCGUGUCCGGAUGGGACUUUCCUUGGCGUGGAAGGCAAGCUUGGCGAUACAAUAUGAAGAUCUCCUCCCAUUGUAACCGACUCUGUGUAACCCUAGCCCUCUUCGGUGUCUAUAUAAACCAGAGAGUUUUAGUCCAUAGGACGAACAACAAUCAUACCAUAGGCUGGCUUCUAGGGUUUAGCCUCUCUGAUCUCGUGGUAGAUCCACUCUUGUACUACCCAUAUCAUCAAUAUUAAUCAAGCAGGAGUAGGGUUUUACCUCCAUCGAGAGGGCCCGAACCUGGGUAAAAACAUUGUGUCCCUUGUCUCCUGUUACCAUCUGCCUAGACGCACAGUUCGGGACCCCCUACCCGAGAUCCACCGGUUUUGACACCGACAGUAGUCAACCCCUUGAACUUGUCGAAAACCUUUUGCAACAAGUCGAGCUUUGUAGACAGUUACAUUACCAUCAGCGUCAGUCUUCUUCUUGAAGAUCCAUUUAUUCUCAAUGGCUUGCCGAUCAUCGAGCAGGUCAACCAAAGUCCAUACUUUGUUCUCAUACAUGGAUCCUAUCUCAGAUUUCAUCAUCGCUUCCUCAUAGUUCGUAGGUUCGCCAUGGUCAAGUAAUAUGACUUCCAGAAUAGGAUUACCGUACCACUCUGGUGUGGAUCUUACUCUGGUAGACCUACGAGGUUCAGUAGAAACUUGAUCUGAAGUUUCAUGAUCAAUAUCAUUAGCUUCCUCACUAAUUGGUGUAGUUGUCACAGGAACCGGUUCUUGUGAUGAACUACUUUCCAAUAAGGGAGCAGGUACAGUUACCUCAUCAAGUUCUACUUUCCUCCCACUCACUUUUUCGAGAGAAAACUCCUUCUCUAGAAAGGAUCCAAUUUAGCAAUGAAAAUCUUGCCCUCAGAUCUGUGAUAGAAGGUGCACCCAAUAGUCUCUUUUGGGUAUCCUACGAAGACAAAUUUCUCCGAUUUGGGUUCGAGCUUAUCUGGUUGAAGUUUCUUCACAUAAGCAUCGCAGCCCCAAACUUUAAGAAACGACAACUUUGGUUUCUUGCCAAACCAUAGUUCAUAAGGUGUCGUCUCAAUGGAUUUUGAUGGUGCCCUAUUUAACGCAAAUGCGGCCGUCUCUAAAGCAUAACCCCAAAACGAUAGCGGUAAAUCAGUAGGAGACAUCAUAGAUCGCACCAUAUCCAGUAAAGUACGAUUACGACGUUUGGACACACCAUUUCGUUGUGGUGUUCCGGGUGGCGUGAGUUGCGAAACUAUUCCGCAUUGUUUCAAAUGUAAACCAAACUCGUAACUCAAAUAUUCUCCUCCACGAUCAGAUCGUAGAAAAUUUAUUUUCUUGUUACGAUGAUUUUCCACUUCACUCUGAAAUUCUUUUAACUUUUCAAAUGUUUCAGACUUGUGUUUCAUCAAGUAGAUAUACCCAUAUCUGCUCAAAUCAUCUAUGAAGGUGAGAAAAUAACGAUACCCGCCGCGAGCUUCAAUAUUCAUUGGACCACCUACAUCAGUAUGUAUGAUUUCCAACAAAUCAGUUGCUCGCUCCAUAGUUCCGGAGAACAGCGUUUUAGUCAUCUUGCCCAUGAGGCACAGUUCGCAAGUACCAAGUGAUUCAUAAUCAAGUGAUUCCAAAAGUCCAUCAGUAUAGAGUUUCUUCAUGCGCUUUACACCGAUAUGACCUAAACGGCAGUGCCACAAAUAAGUUGCACUAUCAUUAUCAACUCUGCAUCUUUUGGAUUCAACAUUAUGAAUAUGUGUAUCACUACUAUCGAGAUUUAAUAAAAAUAGACCACUCUUCAAGGGUGCAUGACCAUAAAAUAUAAUACUCAUAUAAAUAGAACAACCAUUAUUCUCUGAUUUAAAUGAAUAACCGUCUCGCAUCAAACAAGAUCCAGUUAUAAUGUUCAUGCUCAACGCUGGCACCAAAUAACAAUUAUUUAGGUCUAAAACUAAUCCCGAUGGUAGAUGUAGAGGUAGUGUGCCGACCACGAUCACAUCGACUUUGGAACCAUUUCAGACGCGCAUCGUCACCUCAUCCUUAGCCAAUCUUCCCUUAAUCCGUAGUCCCUGUUUCGAGUUGCAAAUAUUAGCAACAGAACAGUAUCAAAUACCCAGGUGCUACUGCGAGCAUUAGUAAGGUACACAUCAAUAACAUGUAUAUCACAUAUACCUUUGUUCACUUUGCCAUCCUUCUUAUCCGCCAAAUACUUGGGGUAGUUCCGCUUCCAGUGUCCAGUCUGCUUGCAGUAGAAGCACUCAGUCUCAGGCUUAGGUCCAGACUUGGGUUUCUUCUCUUGAGCAGCAACUUGUUUGUUGUUCUUCUUGAAGUUCCCCUUCUUCUUCCCUUUGCCCUUUUUCUUGAAACUAGUGGUCUUAUUGACCAUCAACACUUGAUGCUCCUUCUUGAUUUCUACCUCCGUAGCCUUUAGCAUUGCGAAGAGCUCGGGAAUAGUCUUGUCCAUCCCUUGAAUAUUAUAGUUCAUUACGAAGCUCUUGUAGCUUGGUGGCAGUGAUUGAAGAAUUCUGUCAAUGACACUAUCAUCAGGAAGAUUAACUCCUAGUUGAAUCAAGUGAUUAUUAUACCCAGACAUUUUGAGUAUGUGUUCACUGGCAGAACUAUUCUGCUCCAUCUUACAGCUACAGAACUUAUUGGAGACUUCAUAUCUCUCAAUCCGGGCAUUUGCUUGAAAUAUUAACUUCAACUCCUGAAACAUCUCAUAUGCUCCAUGACGUUCAAAACAUCGUUGAAGACCCGGUUCCAAGCUGUAAAGCAUGGCACACUAAACUAUCGAGUAGUCAUCAGCUUUGCUCUGCCAGACGUUCUUAACGUCGUCAGUUGCAUCAGCAGCAGGCCUGGCACCUAGCGGUGCUUCCAGGACGUAAUUCUUUUGUGCAGCAAUGAGGAUAAUCCUCGGGUUACGGACAUAGUCCGUGUAAUUGCUACCAUCAUCUUUCAACUUAGCUUUCUCAAGGAACGCAUUAAAAUUCAACGGAACAACAGCACGAGCCAUCUAUCUACAAUAAACAUAGACAAGCAAAAUACUAUCAGGUACUAAGUUCAUGAUAAAUUUAAGUUAAAUUAAUCAUAUUACUUAAGAACUCCCACUUAGACAGACAUCUCUCUAGUUAUCUAAGUGAUCACGUGAUCCAAAUCAACUAAACCAUGUCCGAUCAUCAUGUGAGAUGGAGUAGUUUCAAUGGUGAACAUCUCUAUGUUGAUCAUAUCUACUAUAUGAUUCACGUUCGACCUUUCGGUCUCCGUGUUCCGAGGCCAUAUCUGUAUAUGCUAGGCUCGUCAAGUUUAACCUGAGUAUUCUGCGUGUGCAACUAUUUUGCACCCGUUGUAUUUGAACGUAGAGCCUAUCACACCCGAUCAUCACGUGGUGUCUCAUCACGAAAAACUUUCGCAAUUGUGCAUACUCAGGGAGAACACUUCUUGAUAAUUUAGUGAGAGAUCAUCUUAAAAUGCUACCGUCAAUCAAAGCAAGAUAAGAUGCAUAAAGGAUAAACAUCACAUGCAAUCAAUAUAAGUGAUAUGAUAUGGCCAUCAUCAUCUUGUGCUUGUGAUAUCCAUCUCCGAAGCACCGUCGUGAUCACCAUCGUCACCGGCGCGACACCUUGAUCUCCAUCGUAGCAUCGUUGUCGUUACGCCAUCUAUUGCUUCUACGACUAUCGCUACCGCUUAGUGAUAAAGUAAAGCAAUUACAGGGCGUUUGCAUUUCAUACAAUAAAAUGACAACCAUAUGGCUCCUGCCAGUUGCCGAUAACUUCGGUUACAAAACAUGAUCAUCUCAUACAAUAAAAUAUAACAUCACGUCUUGACCAUAUCACAUCACAACAUGCCCUGCAAAAACAAGUUAGACGUCCUCUACUUUGUUGUUGCAAAUUUUACGUGGCUGCUACGGGCUGAGCAAGAAUCGUUCUUACCUACGCAUCAAAACCACAACGAUAGUUCAUCAAGUUAGUGAUGUUUUAACCUUCGCAAGGACCGAGCGUAGCCACACUCGGUUCAACUAAAGGGAGAGAGACACACACCCGCUGGUCACCUUUAAGCAACGAGUGCUCGUAGCGGUGAAACCAGUCUCGCGUAAGCGUAUGCGUAAUGUCGGUCCGAGCCGCUUCAUCUCACAACGCCGCUGAACCAAAGUAUGACAUGCUGGUAACCAGUAUGACUUAUAUCACCCACAACUCACUUGUGUUCUAAUCGUGCAUACGACAUCUACGCAUAAAAGCAGGCUCGGAUGCAACUAUUGGGGAACGUAGUAAUUUCAAAAAAUUUCCUACGCACACGCAAGAUCAUGGCGAUGCAUAGCAACGAGAGGGGAGAGUGUUGUCCACGUACCCUCGUAGACCGUAAGCGGAAGCAUUAUGACAACGCGGUUGAUGUAGUCGUAUGUCUUCACGAUCCGACCGAUCCAAGCACCGAACGUACGGCACCUCCGAGUUCAGCACACGUUCAGCUCGAUGACGAUCCCCAGACUCCGAUCCAGCAGGGUGUCGGGGAUGAGUUCCAUCAGCACGAUGGCGUGGUGACGAUGAUGAUGUUCUACCGACACAGGGCUUCGCCUAAGCACCGCAACGAUAUGACCGAGGUGGAAUAUGGUGGAGGGGGGCACCGCACACGGCUAAGGAACAAUCACGAUGAUCAACUUGUGUGUCUAGAGGUGCCCCCUUGCCCCCGUAUAUAAAGGAGGGAGGGGGAGGUGCGGCCGCCCCCUAGGGGUGCGCCUGGAGGAGUCCUACUCCCACCGGGAGUAGGACUCCCCCCUCUUGCCUUGGUGGAGAAGGAAAGGGGGGAGGGGAAAGAGGAAAGGGGGGCGCCGCCCCCCCCCCUUCCUUGUCCUAUUCGAACUAGGGGGGUGGGGGCGCGCGGCCUGCCCUGGCCGGCCCUCNNNNNNNNNNNNNNNNNNNNNNNNNNNNNNNNNNNNNNNNNNNNNNNNNNNNNNNNNNNNNNNNNNNNNNNNNNNNNNNNNNNNNNNNNNNNNNNNNNNNNNNNNNNNNNNNNNNNNNNNNNNNNNNNNNNNNNNNNNNNNNNNNNNNNNNNNNNNNNNNNNNNNNNNNNNNNNNNNNNNNNNNNNNNNNNNNNNNNNNNNNNNNNNNNNNNNNNNNNNNNNNNNNNNNNNNNNNNNNNNNNNNNNNNNNNNNNNNNNNNNNNNNNNNNNNNNNNNNNNNNNNNNNGGUUCCGGUAAACCCCCGGUACUCCGGUAAAAUCCUGAUUUCACCCGGAACGUUUCCGAUAUCCAAAUAUAGGCUUCCAAUAUAUCAAUCUUUAUGUCUCGACCAUUUCGAGACUCCUCGUCAUGUCCGUGAUCACAUCCGGGACUCCGAAAAACCUUUGGUACAUCAAAACUUAUAAACUCAUAAUAAAACUGUCAUCGUAACGUUAAGCGUGCGGACCCUACGGGUUCGAGAACUAUGUAGACAUGACCUAGAACUGUUUCCGUUCAACAACCAAUAGCGGAACCUGGAUGCUCAUAUUGGCUCCUACAUAUUCUACUAAGAUCAUUAUCGGUCAAAUCGCAUAACAACAUACGUUGUUCCCUUUGUCAUCGGUAUGUUACUUGCCCGAGAUUCGAUCGCCGAUAUCCAAUACCUAGUUCAAUCUCGUUACCGGCAAGUCUCUUUACUCGUUACGUAAUGCAUCAUUCUGUAAGUAACUCAUUAGCUACAUUGCUUGCAAGGCUUAUAGUGAUGUGCAUUACCGAGAGGGCCCAGAGAUACCUUUCCGACAAUUGGAGUGACAAAUCCUAAUCUCAAAAUACGCCAACUCAACAUGUACCUUCGGAGACACCUGUAGAGCUCCUUUAUAAUCACCCAGUUACGUUGUGACGUUUGGUAGCACACAAAGUGUUCCUCUGGUAAACGGGAGUUGCAUAAUCUCAUAGUUGUAGGAACUUUGUAUAAGUCAUGAAGAAAGCAAUAGCAACAUACUAAACGAUCAAGUGCUAGGCUAACGGAAUGGGUCAAGUCAAUCACAUCAUUCUCCUAAUGAUGUGAUCCUGUUAAUCAAAUGACAACACAUGUCUAUGGUUAGGAAACAUAACCAUCAUUGAUUAAUGAGCUAGUCAAGUAGAGGCAUACUAGUGAUAUUAAGUUUGUCUAUGUAUUCACACAUGUAUUAUGUUUCUGGUUAAUACAAUUCUAGCAUGAAUAAUAAACAUUUAUCAUGAUAUGAGGAAAUAAAUAAUAACUUUAUUAUUGCCUCUAGGACAUAUUUCCUUCACAAAUUCCAUCGGAAGAAUACUAUAUGUGGAGAGGCUAAUAGCUGGGUCCACGGUAGCCGCAAGGAAGUGCUUCCUUAUUACGCGGAAAAUAAUUAUUCCUCCAGCUGAUAGCAGGGACCCACCGGAUGGGCCACCAGUAUUUCGCGAAAAAAACGUUUGCCCCUGACUGCUGGGACCCACCCGACGGGGCACCGUAUUUCGCGAAAAAAACGUUCCCCCUGCUGUCAGCUCGGACCCACCGGAAGUGCCUUCUUAUUACGCACAAAAAAUGAAUACCCCCCUGCUAGCUGGGACUCACCUUGGUGGGAGGCUGACUUGUGGGCCUACUAAGUUGACGGGGACGGAGGGCUUUGUCAACUUAGUCAAUAUAAACAAUUCUAGCUCAAGUGACCGUACGAUGUCCAUCCAACGGCCGUAGUGCUUCUUCAACCUCUGGUCUUCUUGCUCCAGCCGCCCAAAGCAGCGCCGGUCGUGCCGCAUGCUCCUGCCUCCCGUGGCCGGAUGUGCUGCUGCGGAGGCCUCACCGCCCCCUACUAUUCCCACCGCUGGCCAGGCCCUGCGGCGACGGCAGCCUCACACCGCAGCCGAACCAGUGAACCCUCCUACUCCUCUCGACGCGGGCUUCACUGCCGUGUCUUCCCUGUCUCCCUGUUGUCCCCUUCCUAGGCCUCGUCGUCGUCCACCGCCCUGGUGCUCUCGGCGCGGCGUGGUCAACAUGGUCAAGGAACGACUUCCAUCGCACGUGGACUGUAUGUGGAGAGGCUGACAGUUAGGUCCACGGCCGCAGCAAGGAAGUGCCUCCUUAUUACGCGGAAAAUAAUUAUUCCUCCACCUGACAGCGGGGACCCACCGGACGGGCCACCGUACUUCGCGAAAAAACGUUUCCCCCUUGACUGCUGGGACCCACCAGCUACACCUUCGCACGCAAGGAAGUGCGUCCGGGCAAAAAAAAUUAUUCACCCCUCUGACUGCUGGGACCCAUCAGAUACAUUUUCGCACGCAAGGAAGUGCCUGACAGUCGGGACCCACCUGGUCGAAGUGUACGUAGCGUUGUCAUUCUGGUCACGAAUGUGUACGUACAUACUGGUCGUUGUAGAGGCGCGCAUGUGUCAUAGUAAAGGCGCGCACGUAGCAUACUACAAGAGAUCGGGCCUACUAUGACGAGCUAAAAAAUGUCAUCGAAUAUCUAAUAAGGUCACAAAUUACCCCCCGGUGACAUUUUAUGGGCGUCACAAGCAUCGUCACAGAUUACUCCUAGUGAUGGCGCACGCGCAAAAACGUCAUCGAAAUUGAGACCUUUGGUGACAUUAUAUAGAACAUCAUCGACUUGCUAUUUCCAUGACGGUCAAUUAACGUCACAUGUUAGGAGAAAAUAUGCCAUGUUAUACCAUAUUCGGUGAAGAGGCAACGUCACUAACUUUAUGCCACAUCAACACCCGAUAGGCUAUCCCACUACUAGUGCCACUACUUUUAUUAUCGAUGAAGAUGACGUCAUUAAAAAAAUUUACUUUCUUUCAAAUCUAAAUUACGAUGAAAAUAAGUAUUUAAUUCACAUCACAUCACAUCAGAUUAUAUGAAAAAGUUAAAGAGAAAAAUCACAUCAUAAAUUGAUAUGAAAGUCAAAUCAUAUUAUAUAUGAAAUCGUCUCAGCCAAAUCAUUCUGUAAACAAAAUGACACUAAAAAACUAACUCAAGUUUGACACAUAUAAUAGACAAGAUGAAAACUAAUAUCAACUAAAGACACAUAUGUUAUCCUGAUGAUUCCAAUGUAAGGAUGGCAUUCAUGAACCAUCUGGUUUGGACUCGGACUCCUGAGUUGCUUGUUGAGUUGCUUGAGCCCUCAAGAGAAAAUCAAGCAGAUUAUCCGUCUCCUUUUGCUUCUUUGUCCAGGCUUCAUUCUUCUCUUCCUGGAUCUUCUUUAGAGCUUCCAAUUCUUCUUGCUGCUUCUUUUGUAUCUCUUCAAAUGCUCUCUCUUGUGCUUCAAGUCUUGCGGCUAACUCCUCUCGAUGCCUAUAAAUCACAAAACACAGCAACAUUGCAUCGUAUUGAGAUGAAAAUAGACAAGAUAACAAGGUACAAGGGUAUCAAUUUGAAAUAGAGAAGUACAUUAUUAAAUUUCAAGGCAAGCAUGUCCAUGGGCCAAUGAAACAUUAAACCCAAAAAUAACUUAUAAUGUUUUAAAAUAUGCAUAACCAAUAGCUUGCUUACAGGAAGCAUCGCCAAAAGGAUAUCAAGUCAACAACCCAGGUUAAAAGAAGCACUCGUUAGUUGAACUUUUGUUCACUGAAAUAAGUGCACUCUGCACAUAGAAGAAAGCAAAAAGAAAUAACAAGAACGGAAAGGGAAAUAAGAUAAUUACCUAUCAUUUGCAUCUCUUGCCUCUCUAUCCUUCUGUUCAAUUCUUUCUUCUAGAACUUUGAUCUGGGCUGAUGAAGUAGAGCUUCCAGACCUCCCGGAUCUUGAUGCAUACCCCAUGCUGGAAAGGAAGGUGCUAUGGGCGUUUUUUCCCUUUAGAACUUUAGCCACAAUCGCUGUAUCGGAUACUGACUGCUCACCUUCUGAUUGUGUUUUCCUUUUCUUUUCCAUUGCAUUCUAUAGUAUAAAGAAAAACAUUGAUGCUAAGGCAAAGUUCAUAUGCUAUAUUACACUUUAUCAAUAUGAGAAUCUAUUUCAAGUCAGAAACAAUAAAGGAAGAAAUCUUACAUGAGCUAGAAGUGCUGGCUCGCUCAUGCUACCGGUCUUGCUGUUUGUAUGGGUGUCUUUGAAAAAUUCAAUGGGACUUGGGUCCUGAUUAUUGUACUUGUCUUUUUUCUACAAGAUAUAUGAAAUUGUAACAUUACUACUACAUAUAUAUAUUGGCCAGAUGCAAUAGACAUAGGACUACAAGUAAGAUAUUUGGAAUUCUUACAAGUUUGCUGAAAUAGGCAACAUAAGACAUAGAUCUCUUUUGGUGAUGCUUCACAGCUUCUCGAUUUACCUUAUUCAUUUGACAUAUUUCCUAUAUAGAGAAAAUGAAUAUAAGUAUUUACACAUGGUAAACUAUUGUUGGUCGCAUGUCUUGUUACAAACGUUGUUUCUUUCAUCAGACCAUUUAUUGACAAGGCUGAUCCAAUUCUCAUGAGUAAUAUUCGCUGGCUUUUUUGAUAAUGCUUCUUGAGAAGUAUAACCAUUGAAGUAUUUCUUCUUUAGCCUGUAGCGUUGUUGUCAAACACCCUUCUGGAUUACUUUUGUGCAUACAUCAUUCCCAACCUUGUCAUCCUUAUCCAUCUCAAAGUUAAGUUGAAAUACCAAUCAUAUACAGGAUAUAUCACUAAAUUGACUAUGCAACAUGCAAACACGUGAAUGAAAAUUGAAGGAAACUAUCCCACCGCGAUACCUUUAAUAGCAUGGGGAAUAACAUGUUUGAGUGGGCUUUUGUCAUAGUCAUUCUCUGAUGUGAAUACCACACUAAGAAGAAAGCUUUGCUACUUGGACUGGGUCCGUAGGUCUCACUUUCCCCGCUGUAAAAUCAAUAUGCAUUUUCCUCCCUCCAUUUCUGCUUGCAUACUCCUGAAGCCCAUGCCCCAUGGUUGGUCUACGUCCACGACAUCUCCUUGACGGAUGUCGAUCAGUUGGACCAGUGGAGCAUGCUAAUGCAUCUACAUUACAAGUUGGCAGAUAAAUUAGAAGGUUACAAUUUAAAGUGGAAAAUAGAAGGGGUGAAGCAAUGAUGUCGCAUAUACCUUGGCCUUGUAAUGUAAUCAUGUUAUCUGAUUAUCCGGAUGUGCCUAUCAUGUCUUGAGAACCUUGUACCCCUGAAUCAGGAUCAGGCGAGUAUCUAUCCUUAGAAGUUAGGUGAGGUGAUGUGUUUGUUGGGUUUGGUGCAGACUGUUCUUGAUGGUUUGUAGCUUCAAAUGACUCAGUUGUUCUGGUAGCUCUAGAUCUUGUUAUUCUUGAGGUAGCAGCUGCACUGUUUUUGCAUCUGACACGCUUUUUCGUUUUUGGCAUGGCAGAACCUUCAGGUGCCUGGGUCAAACAAGUGAGUAAAACAAGGCAUUUAAUCGACACUAACUUAUGCAAUGUCAACAGAGGUUCAAAUAGGAAUGCAGCGAAUAGAGAUGCCAUCAUCUAGAUUAAUUAGGAAAAGUGGAGGGACAAAAAAUGUGAAGAAAUCUUUGAGUACGCAUAGUGCACAGUGGCAUACACAUGAUACAAGCAAGGUGAAAUUAGAGCAAGUGAAUCCACAAUGUACCUCUUCUUCUUCAUCUCUCAAAUCCUCUUCCUCUCCAUGGGCCUCCUCUUCAGCAUCUGGUUCAUACUCUGAGUCGCUGCAAUCAUCAGCAGCUCGUGCAUUUUGUGUCGGUUGCACAUUAGAGGCACUAGGGUAUACAAGGCUACGAGCUAAGCUUUUUAUGUCUUUAAGAUACUCCCUCUCCACAGCCUUGCGUUCCGCAAUCCUUGCAUCCCUUUCCUUCAAAUACGCCUCACCCUUGUGUUUCUGUUCCGCAAGAUUUCACCACUAUGCAUAUCACAAGAAAUAAAUAACAUACUUGGAAAUAUGAAGCGUCCAGAAUUCAGUUAAACAAGAACAAGUGCAGACUCAUAGACUCAGUCUUUAUUCAAGUUUCAAACAAGUGCAGAGUCGCUCUUUAUUCAGUUUUGAACAAAAAGAAGUGCAGACUCAUAGACUCAGUCUUUAUUCAGUUUCAAACAAGUGCAUAGUCGCUCUAUAUUCAGUUUUGAACAAGAGGAAGUGCAGACACAGUCUUUAUCUAGAAUUCAAAAUAAAGAACAUACACUGUCAACUCCAUAUGUUAAUAUAUUGUAUCAAGAACAAGAGCAGACUCAAUCUUUAUUCAGUUAUGACGAUCGUAGGUGAAGACUUUUAUGGGGUAGCAGAGCCACAAACAGGGACAUUGUCGUUGUAUUACGGGAAAUCUCAUGACUGAAUAAAGACCAAGUAAAUCUUACAGAGCUAUUGUAUUUGCCACAUGGUCGCUGUAUUCAGACAUGUAAAUAAGUCUCACACCCGUGGGUGCUUUUAUCCCCCAAAUCGCUUCCCUGAUGAUCCCCUACGUCUAGAGCUUGGGGUAUGAGGAGGGCAGGAUAAGAAAUUUACCGUGAGCUGCCGCCGAUCGCUGCAAUCAUUUCGGAAAGAGAGCCGGGUGGGGCGGCCUCCAAUCCACUGUCGCCGGUUGAUGCGGUGGAUCCGUGCUCGGCCGGUCGGGCGGCCUCCUCCAAUCCGUCGUCGCCGGUCGCUGAAAUCAGGGGGGAAUAUAGCGAAGUGCUCACGGGGAUGGUUGAUGUCGGUGGAUCCGAGCUCGGACGGCGGGGCGGCCACCCCCAAUCUGUCGGCCCUGAUCACCGCAGUCGUGGUGUCGAUUGAAUCUGACGAGAAAAAUUCCGGGGUGGGCGGUGGCUUUUAGCGGCGCCUGUUCGCGGGGGAAAUAGAAGGAUAAUCUUUGGCUAGGUCUUUGACUGGUGGGGACACAGGGUGAAUGCGGGAAAAAAUAUAGAAAAGUGGAUGGAAAAUAGUACGUGGAUGGAGGGAAAAGAGUUUUUUUUUUGCGAGGAGAUGGUGUAUUUUCAUAAUUUAUUUUACUUAAUUAAUAUUAUGUAAUUCAUUUAAUUUGAAAUAAGUACAAAAUGAUUAUUAAAAAGUAAAUCUUACAUGAACAAUAUGAUGUGGUAUUUUACAUGUUGUUUUCUUUGGGAUAACUAUAAAUAAAUAUGUCGAAAAUUGUAUAGAGGGAUCUUAAGUAUGUGAUCUCGAAAAAAAUGCAAAUGAGUGAUUAUUCUAGCUGCUUGCGUAAAUAAAUUUGGUAAGUUGGGAUGAUUUUUUUCUUUUUUCUUAGGAAAACAUCUGAUCUACUCCUUUCAAUCAUGGCAGUACAACGAAUAUCAAAAAAAUAUAUAGAUUUGUAGACCACCUAGCGACGACUCCAAGCGCUGAAGCGAGGCGAAGACGCGUCGCUGUCAUCGCCCCUCCCUCAUCGGAGCCGGGUAAAAUUUGUUGUAGUGGACAGUCAGGAGGUCGCCGUGCUAAGGCACCAUAGAAUCAGCAGAACAUCAACUGUCACCGAGGAAGAGUAGCAUAGAUCAGAAGGAUCCAACACGAAGACAAUAUCCGAGCAAAUCCACCAAAGAUGGAUGUGCUGGAGACACACCUCCACACGCCCACUGACAAUGCUAGAUGCACCACUGAAACUGCGGCUAGGCGAGGAGAGUCGUAUUUCCAUCUUUAGGGAGCCCCGCCAUCUCAUCUUUCUAAGCAGGACAUAGUCCCUCAUAAAUCUCGAAAACACAUCUAAAAAUGGAGCUCUCCCAUUGGCAAGGGCCGGAAUUCACCACGCCCCAAUGCCUUACGACCACCGGAGACGAGCCGGACCGACGGCCGCGCCAGUGGGAGGAAGAGGAGCCCUAAUUUCUUGGGGAGAAGGGGGCUCCAUGAUGAUGUGUUUCAAUGAUGAUUGUCUCAUAGUCUGAUUUUACUCAUGCGCAUAGCCCCCAACCUCCAACAUAAGCGAACUAGGGUUCAUCCUCGAUCAUCACCCUCCUAGUCCUUCAUCAACUAAAUCGAUGGGGGUGUAUGUGGGAUGUUAGAUGGGCUCCUCAUACCAUCCAUAUAUGGCCGGGCUGAGCGGUAGCCCUCAUAUACAGUCCAUACCUGGGGUGGGUAUGGGGAAGACCGGCGCGUCCGCCAGGCGGACCAUCCUGCACUGACCCCACCCCUGUCCCUACAAAUGUCCGAAGUGGGACCAAACCCUAUUACACAUGUCCACCUCAUUCCACUUUCUUCUUCUCCCCUUCCUCCAUCCGCCCUACUCCUACCUCGCCAUGGUCGAGAACAGAUCCGACAGCAACUCCUCAAGCCCGGGUGGGCAGUAGCAUCUCCGCAGCGCCGCGCGGUCGCCUCACACAAUCACUUCCUUUCCCGAUCAUUGAUCCAUAAAAAUGUUCGUGAAUUCAGAAAAAUGUUCACAAUUUGUAAAAAUUGAACAUUUUUUAAUUUUGAUUAAACAUUUCUAUUUUUUUGAAGUUUUUUUUUGUAUUUUCAAUGAAGAACAUUUGAAUUUUGUAGAUUUUUUUUUGAAUUCAAUGAACAUUCAUUGUAUUUUCCAUGAACAUUCAGAAAAAUUAUGUUUGUCUACCACUAUGGUGUAUGCUUAAAAAAACGCUCACACUCAGCUGCUCCUCGUCUCCUCCAUGUCGUUAUCCACAAAAAUUUCCCAAAUCACGCCGCACCCCGCGUGAAGGCCAAGACAACCCGCCGCCGGUGGCUCCCAAAGAGCGCCGUUCGGGCCGAGCGCCCUCGCCCCUCUGCUUGCUGCUCGAGCUGCAGGGGCGCCUGCUUCGCCGGCGGCGGUUCCGCAACAGCGUGCUGUCUGAAGCACAGUGGCGUCCCUUCCCCCGCUGCUCCCAUGGCACGGCUUCUUCCUCCAGCCGUUCUGCGGGGGCCGAGGCGGUGCUUGCGGAUGCACGCGGUGCAGGGGAGAAGUCGGGAGGGGUCGCGCGGGAGGAGAAGGAUCGGGUCUCGGUGGUUCUUCAGGAGGCGCGUGCAAAGGGGAACACGCGUGCAAAGAGGGCAGCAGGGUGAGUGCUUGAUCAAUCGCCAUGUUCAGUACUGCACUUUUGCACACACGUAUCCGUUAGAUGUCAAGUAAAACUAUCUACGAGUCCAAUUACAUGCAAGUACUGACCAAAUCACCCAUGUAUGUCUCAAAUCUGAACCAUGGUCUCUACUGUAUUAUGUGAACAUGAACAUAUAAAAAACAUAAAAGAGGUAAACUUUGGUAAAAUACAAAUAGGCAUCACACAAUCUACUCAUCAUCACUUGAAUGCUCAUUCUCGCUCAAUGCACCAUCUUCCUGUCCAUCAUCGUCAGUACCACUAUCUUCAUCAUAAUUGUUGUCAUCUUUGAGAAGAUCGUGAACAAUACUAGCAUGAACAGGCGUGCCUUCUUCAUCAUCACGGCUAUAAGUGUCGAACAAUUGAUCAAUAUCCUUCACAGUGGAAGUUGUCGAGGGCAUUUCUUCCUGGUAUGCAUCUGUAGCAUUGAGCUCGCCUGUCUCUAGUUCAGGAACAUCGUACAAACGUCUAUGACUGAAAGUCUGCACCACAUUCCAGUCAUUUCCAUAUUUUGUGUCCUCCAUGUAAAACACUUGCUCUGCUUGAGAAGCCAAGAUGAAAGUAUCCUUCUUGUAUUAAAGCACGUUAACAUUAAGACUUUUGAAGUAACCAUCAUCUUUCAUGCCGGUCGCCUUGCCAUGGAGAUCAAACCAAUCACCACGAAACAAAAAGGCCGACCUUUCUCCACGCUUGGUAGGCAGAAAUCUUCGGUGCCAACAAACCAAAUUUUAUUUUUCAAUGGCUCAGAGCAAGGGUCCACAUCACAGUGCACUACAACAAAAUAGUUUACCUUAGCAAAAUUAUGCUUACACCGCAUUGAAGCAAAAUCUACUACUAACACAACUAGUGAACCCACUACUAAACUGAAAUAACAAAACGGGCACAAAUUUAACCCCUUCAAGAUUGAUGAGAACAUAUACUAAGGCAACCUCCUAAACAUUGUCUUUCCUAAGUACAGCAUAUAUGCUUGGUUUCCAAAGGCCACUGACUUGUGGAUGUCUUAUACAAAAACAUAUAUAUUCUCACUGUCAUUGCAAAACCAUGCAUAUAUCUAUGCUACAUCAUAGUAACAUUCGUACACACAAUACAACAGUAGAAGUAAUAGUUCGGUUGUUCACACAAUUUACCUUGCAGGGGUCGGCUCGAUCGAUGCUUUGGGAGUUGGGGCCAAGCCGGGAGCACUGGCAAGUCUAAACUCCGCGCCUUUGUCAGGUGAUGGAUAGAUACUGCAAAUUCUAAGCACAGUUGGUGACGGGACGGUGGCCAGUUGGGGACAGGUUGAGGACGAGCGAUGUUGUCCCUGUCGGCGACGAGCAAAUGCGAUGCCUGUGGUGGAAGAAUGGAGGUAAGAGGGAGAGGCGGAGGAGCGGUGUGGUAGCCGGUGCGAUGCGGCGGCGCUGUAACGCCUUGUACGAUAUGUCGAUAUGGUGGCCGGAUGGAUCCGUGUGAGGUGGUACAGGGGAGUGGAUGCACUUACUUCAAUUGGCAACAGCCGGAAGCCAUCUGUGCCGUGCUUCGGCUAUCGCCGUCCUGCUUCUCCCCGUCGUGAAACGCCGCCAGCUAGAACCGAGAAGACGAUCAGAUCGAGUCACAUAUGCCCCGGGAAGAAAUAACUAACCUGCAAAUAUAGUCUCCCUCAAAAAAAAACCCGGAAAUGUUAACGCCCACACGUGUGGGCGUUUGCACAUCGCCCACACGCCUCCAGCACCACUCAUUUUGCCACAUAUGAAUAGAUGACAUCAGCAGAAUUUUUUUUGGUUUUCGGCUUAAAAAUGUUGUAUCUCCUAAAUAAAAAAGCGAACUAAAAAUCCGUUUUCACCAUUAAAUCCGUCUCGACGAGAUCUUCAAAACUAGACCCCAUGUUGAUAUGUUUCGACGAUUUUUUUUUGCCAGAAGUUGCCAUGAUGUUUACACUGCAGUUGUCAUAGGGCUUAAACUAAAGUUGCCAUGUGGAAAUUUUAGUUUGUAGAUCAUGACAAUUUUAGUAUUUUGAUGAUGGCAACUCCAGUACUUUGACCAUGAAAAUUAUUUUUUGUAUGAAUCAUGGCAAUUUUACGUGCAUGUAUCAUGGCAAUUUUAGUUUAUGGUUCAUGGCAAGUCUAGUUUCUUAAUUCCCCGUUUUAUAAAUGUCAAAAUUUACUUUUAAAUGUAGAAGAAAAUAGCUGAAACAUAUCAUGGCAACUUGAGUGUAAACAUCAUGGCAAUUCAUAUGCAAUAGACAUGACAACUUUUAAUCCAAUUUUUUUUUCGUGAAAACAUAUCAACAUGGGAUCUAAUUUCGAAGAUCUCAUCGCGAGGGAUUUAAUGGUGAAAACGGAUUUUCAAUCGGAUUUUUCGUUUAAGAGAUAAAACAUUUUAAAAACUGAAAAUCCAAAAAAAUUCCUGCAUGCAUGCAUGUGAUGACGUGACAAUCUGUUUACAUUAUAGACGUGUGGUGCGUCUCCCUUCCUGCCACACGUGUGGCAGUUAGCGCGACCCAAAAGGAAAACUACAGAUAUAGUCACAACCCCAGGCGUGUAGUCCAAGAAUAUGAUAUCAUGAUUUGUAUAGCGUCCAAAGUCUUUCCUAAUGGCAACAUAUAGUCCAAGCAUAUGAUAGCACGAUUUGCAUAGAAUCCGUACUCUUUCCUAAUGCCGGUUCUGACUCCUGUAAUAAUCCUUUUGGCGUCGACUCUCCUGUCUUAUUUUUAGUUUUUAUUGAUAGAACGAAACAAUAUGACCUCACGAGCGCCUCAUUCAAGUUUUUUGCCCGGUCUGUUUAUAGAUAAGAAUAAAAAAAAAAGUAAGAUGUCAUCGACUCUCCUAUUUCCAUUUAACUUUUGAGAUAGAACGAAACAAAAUUAGCUCACGAACGCCCAAUUGAAGUUUUCAGCAUAUACACUGCCAAACAAAAAUAAUUGUUUUAAAAUUUAUAUAUUUAAUGCCCGAUUUAAUUUUUUGUCGAGCCACUACCUAUUUAUAUUAGGAAGAACAAAAUAACCAUCUAAAAAAGAACAAAACAAGGUCUUCCCUUUUUAUAAGAAUAUAAUAUUCAUAAGUAUUUUCAUGGCAACUACCUACUUAUAUUAGAUAAAAUAAAAUAAUUAUAACGCUAAAUAGACUUUAAAAAAAUGGUGGCGGGUCCCACUGCCAAAACCGACGCAUGGCUCCUACCUCUUGAUAACCCGUGAACUAGCUAUUGUGGGUCCCACUGCUAGACGCUACAUAACAAAAAAUGAUCAUCACAUAUUUGUAGUAUUCAGUGACUCUAGCUAGUUCGUCAUACAAAAUACCAAAUUGUCACAGAAAUUGGCAACCAGGUGUGCUGAAAGGCCGAGGCAUCCCAGUGACAUCUAACGUCACCGAUUUGCGGUAAUUGGUGACGCCACCUAUUAGAACAUCACACAUUAGGCAUUUAGGUGACGUUGUCCACCAUUGUCACAAGGAUUUUCUUCACUGUAUGUCAAUUUUGUUGUACUACACGUACGUACAGCGGCCAGGGUGCAAGAAAGAAAAUACGACCACGUAUGUGUACAUACGGGCGGGGUCUCGAAUGCCUACUCGCGCAUACGUACGACGAGGGCUCGUGUACAUGUCUGGGUCGGAACGGAGAAACAGCAUCGUCGUCGUGUUCAUGGGGAGCCAAUCAGCUGGGUCGGAACGGAAUGCGUGGUCGUGUUCAUCAGGAGGGCUUGGACGGAACAGGUGAUGGAAACGAGGCUCGGCGUAGCGCACAACGGAGGAAACAGGCCUCCUACGGUCGAAACGGGGGUCCUGUUGAUCGGGAGGGGUGUGGCGUACCGCAAAACGGAGGAAACGGACCUUCUACGGUCGAAACGGGUCUCCUGUUGAUCGGGAGGGGUGUGGUGUUGGAAAUAUGCCAUAGAGGCAAUAAUAAAAGGAUUAUUAUAUUUCUUUGUUCAUGAUAGUUGUCUUUUAUUCAUGCUAUAAUUGUAUUAUCCGGAAAUCGUAAUACACGUGUGAAUACAUAGACCACAGUACGUCCCUAGUAAGCCUCUAGUUCACUAGCUCGUUGGUCAACAGAUAGUCAUGGUUUCCUGACUAUGGACAUUAGAUGUCGUUGACAACGGGAUCACAUCAUUAGGAGAAUGAUGUGAUGGACAAGACCCAAUCCUAAGCAUAGCACAAGAUCGUGUAGUUCAUUUUGCUAGAGCUUUUCCAUUGUCAAGUAUCUCUUCCUUAGACCAUGAGAUCGUGUAACUCCCGGAUACCGUAGGAGUGCUUUGGGUGUACCAAACGUCACAACAUAACUGGGUGACUAUAAAGGUGCACUACAGGUAUCUCCGAAAGUGUCUGUUGGGUUGACACGGAUCGAGACUAGGAUUUGUCACUCCGUAUAACGGAGAGGUAUCACUGGGCCCACUCGGUAGUGCAUCAUCAUAAUGAGCUCAAAGUGACCAAGUGUCUGGUCACGGGAUCAUGAAUUACGGUACGAGUAAAGUGACUUGCCGGCAACGAGAUUGAACUAUGUAUUGGGAUACCGACGAUCGAAUCUUGGGCAAGUAACAUACCGUCUGACAAAGGGAAUAGUAUACGGGGUUGCUUGAAUCCUCGACAUCGUGGUUCAUCCGAUGAGAUCAUCGAGGAGUAUGUGGGAGCCAACAUGGGUAUCCAGAUCCCGCUGUUGGAUAUUGAUCGGAGAGAUGUCUCGGUCAUGUCUGCAUAUCUCCCAAACCCGUAGGGUCUACACACUUAAGGUUCGGUGACGCUAGGGUUGUAUGAAUAUGAGUAUGCAGCAAACCGAAUGUUGUUCGGAGUCCCGGAUGAGAUCCCGGACGUCAGGAGGAGUUCCGGAAUGGUCCGGAGGUAAAGAAUUAUAUAUAGGAAGUGCUGUUUCGGCCAUCGGGAAAGUUUCGGGGUCACCCGGUAUUGUACCGGGACCACCGGAAGGGUCCCGGGGGUCCACCGGGUGGGGCCACCUAUCCCAGAGGGCCCCGUGGGCUGAAGUGGGAGGGGAACCAGCCCCUAGUGGGCUGGUGCGCCCCCCCUUGGGCCCCACUGCGCCUAGGGUUGAAAACCCAGGGUGGGGGCGCACCCCACUUGCCUUGGGGGGCACUCCACCCCCCUGGCCGCCGCCCCCCUUGGGAGAUUGGAUCUCCCAGGGCCGGCGCCCCCCUGGGGGCCUAUAUAAAGGAGGGCAAGGGGGAGGGCAGCCGCACCCUGUGUCUUGGCGCCUCCCUCCCCCUGCUACACCUCUUCCUCCUCCCGCAGCAGCUUGGCGAAGCCCUGCUGGAGUUCUGCUGCAUCCACCGCCACACCGUUGUGCUGCUGGAUCUUCAUCAACCUCUCCUUCCCCCUUGCUGGAUCAAGAAGGAGGAGACGUCAUCCGCUCCGUACGUGUGUUGAACGCGGAGGUGCUGUCCGUUCGGCACUUGGUCAUCGGUGAUUUGGAUCACGACGAGUACGACUCCAUCAUCACCGUUCUCUUGAACGCUUCCGCACGCGAUCUACAAGUGGUAUGUAGAUGCAAUCUCUCUCCUAUGACUCGUUUCUUAGAUGAACUCAUAGAUGGAUCUUGGUGAAACCGUAGGAAUUUUUUUAAUUUUCUGGAACGUUCCCCUACAGUGGCAUCAUGAGCUAGGUCUAUGCGUAGUUCUCUAUUGCACGAGUAGAACACAAAUCUGUUGUGGGCGUAGAUCUUGUCAACUUGCUUGCCACUACUAGUCUUUUCUUGCUUCAGCGGUAUUGUGGGAUGAAGCGGCCCGGACCGACCUUACACGUACGCUUACGUGAGACAGGUUCCACCGACUGACAUGCACUAGUUGCAUAAGGUGGCUAGCGGGUGUCUGUCUCUCCCACUUUAGUUGGAGCGGAUUCGACGAAAGGGGUCCGUAUGAAGGGUCAAUAGAAGUUGACAAAAAAUCACGUUGUGGUUAUUCGUAGGUAAGAAAACGUUCUUGCUAGAACCCAAUUGUAGCCACGUAAAAGAUGCAACAACAAUUAGAGGACGUCUAACUUGUUUUUGUAGCAAUUGUCAUGUGAUGUGAUAUGGCCAGAAGUUGUGAUGAAUGAUGAAUGAUAUAUUGUGAUGUAUGAGAUCAUGUUCUUGCAAUAGGAAUCACGACUUGCAUGUCGAUGAGUAUGACAACCGGCAGGAGCCAUAGGAGUUGUCUUUAUUUUUGUAUGACCUGCGUGUCAUUGAAGAACGCCAUGUAAAUUACUUUACUUUAUUGCUAAACACGUUAGCCAUAGAAGUAGAAGUAGUCAUUGGCGUGACAACUUCAUGAAGACACGAUGAUGGAGAUCAUGAUGAUGGAGAUCAUGGUGUCAUGCCGGUGACGAAGAUGAUCAUGGAGCCCCGAAGAUGGAGAUCAAAGGAGCUAUAUGAUAUUGGACAUAUCAUGUCACUAUUAUAUAGUUGCAUGUGAUGUUUAUUAUGUUUAUGCAUCUUGUUUACUUAGAACGACAGUAGUGAAUAAGAUGAUCCCUUAUAAUAAUUUUAAGAAAGUGUUCCCCCUAACUGUGCGCCGUUGCUAAAGUUCGUCGUUUUGAAGCACCACGUGAUGAUCGGGUGUGAUAGAUCCUUACGUUCACAUAUAACGGGUGUAAGACAGUUUUACACAUGCAUAAACACUUAGGGUUAACUUGCCGAGCCUAGCAUGUACAGACAUGGCCUCGGAACACAAGAGACCGAAAGGUCGAACAUGAGUCGUAUGGAAGAUACGAUCAACAUGGAGAUGUUCACCGAUGAUGACUAGUCCGUGUCACGUGAUGAUCGGACACGGCCUAGUCAACUCGGAUCGUGUAACACUUAGAUGACUAGAAGGAUAUCAAUCUGAGUGGGAGUUCAUUAAAUAAUUUGAUUAGAUGAACUUAAUUAUCAUGAACUUAGUCUAAAGUCUUUGCAAAAAUAUGUCUUGUAGAUCAAAUGGCCAACGCUCAUGUCAACAUGAACUUCAACGCGUUCCUAGAGAAAACCAAGCUGAAAGAUGAUGGCAGCAACUAUUCGGACUGGGUCCGGAACCUGAGGAUCAUCCUCAUAGCAGCCAAGAAAGAUUAUGUCCUAGAUGCACCGCUAGGUGAAGCACCCAUCCCAGAGAACCAAGACGUUAUGAACACUUGGCAAUCACGUGCUGAUGAUUACUCCCUCGUUCAGUGCGGCAUGCUUUACAGCUUAGAACCGGGGCUCCAAAAGCGUUUUGAGCGACACGGAGCAUAUGAGAUGUUCGAGGAGCUGAAAAUGGUUUUUCAAGCUCAUGCCCGGGUCGAGAGAUAUGAAGUCUCCAACAAGUUCUAUAGUUGUAAGAUGGAGGAAAACAGUUCUGUCAGUGAGCACAUACUCAAAAUGUCUGGGUUGCACAACCGCCUGUCCCAGCUGGAGAUCAACCUCCCGGACGAGGCGGUCAUUGACAGAAUCCUUCAGUCGCUCACACCGAGCUACAAGAGCUUUGUGUUGAACUACAAUAUGCAGGGGAUGGUGAAGACCAUUCCUGAAGUAUUUUUAAUGCUGAAGUCAGCAGAGGUUGAAAUCAAGAAAGAACAUCAAGUGUUGAUGGUCAAUAAGACCACUAAGUUCAAGAAGGGCAAGGGUAAGAAGAACUUUAAGAAGGACGGCAAAGAUGUUGUCGCGCCCCGUAAGCCAGUUGCCGGGAAGAAGUCAAAGAAUGGACCCAAGCCUGAGACUGAGUGCUUUUAUUGCAAAGGGAAGGGUCACUGGAAGCGGAACUGCCCCAAAUACUUAGCGGACAAGAAGGCCGGCAACACUAAAGGUAUAUUUGAUAUACAUGUAAUUGAUGUGUACCUUACUAGUACUCGUAGUAACUCCUGGGUAUUUGAUACCGGUGUCAUUGCUCACAUUUGUAACUCACAGCAGGAGCUGCAGAAUAAUCGAAGACUCACAAAGGACGAGGUGACGAUGCGCGUCGGGAAUGGUUCCAAGGUCGAUGUGAUCGCCGUCGGCACGCUACCUCUACAUUUACCCACGGGAUUAGUUUUAAACCUUAAUAAUUGUUAUUUAGUGCCAAGUUUGAGCAUGAACAUUGUAUCUGGAUCUCGUUUAAUACGAGAUGGCUACUCAUUUAAAUCCGAGAAUAAUGGUUGUUCUAUUUAUAUGAGAGAUACGUUUUAUGGUCAUGCCCCGAUGGUCAAUGGUUCAUUCUUAAUGAAUCUCAAACGUAAUGUUACAUAUAUUCAUAGUGUGAAUACCAAAAGAUGUAAAGUUGAUAACGAUAGUCCCACAUACUUGUGGCACUGCCGCCUUGGUCACAUUGGUGUCAAGCGCAUGAAGAAGCUCCAUGCUGAUGGACUUUUAGAGUCUCUAGAUUAUGAAUCAUUUGACAUAUGCGAACCAUGCCUCAUGGGCAAAAUGACCAAGACUCCGUUCUCCGGAACAAUGGAGCAAGCAACCAACUUAUUGGAAAUCAUACAUACUGAUGUGUGUGGUCCAAUGAGCGUUGAGGCUCGCGGUGGAUAUUAUUAUGUUCUCACUCUCACUGAUGACUUGAGUAGAUAUGGGUAUGUCUACUUGAUGAAACACAAGUCUGAGACCUUUGAAAAGUUCAAGGAAUUUCAGAGUGAAGUAGAGAAUCAACGUGACCGAAAGAUAAAAUUCUUACGAUCGGAUCGUGGAGGAGAAUAUUUAUGUCACGAAUUUGGUACACACUUAAGAAAAUGUGCAAUCGUUUCACAACUCACGCCGCCUGGAACACCUCAGCGUAACGGUGUGUCCGAACGUCGUAAUCGCACUCUAUUGGAUAUGGUGCGAUCUAUGAUGUCUCUUACCGAUUUACCGCUAUCAUUUUGGGGAUACGCUCUAGAGACAGCUACACUCACUUUAAAUAGGGCACCAUCUAAAUCCAUUGAGACGACACCGUAUGAAUUAUAGUUUGGGAAGAAACCUAAGCUGUCGUUUCUAAAAAUUUGUGGAUGCGAUGCUUAUGUCAAGAAACUUCAACCUGAAAAGCUCGAACCCAAGUCGGAAAAAUGCGUCUUCAUAGGAUACCCCAAGGAAACCAUUGGGUAUACCUUCUACCUUAGAUCCGAAGGCAAGAUCUUUGUCGCCAAGAACGGAUCCUUUCUGGAAAAAGAGUUUCUCUCGAAAGGGGUAAGUGGGAGGAAAGUAGAACUUGAUGAAGUACUGCCUCUUGAAACGGAAAGUAGUGCAGCUCAGGAAAAUGUUCCUGUGGUGCCUACACUGACUGGAGAGGAAAUUAAUGAUGAUGAUCAAGGUACUUCGGAUCAAGUUGCUACUGAACUUCGUAGGUCCACAAGGACACGUUCCACACCAGAGUGGUAUGGCAACCCUGUCCUGGAAAUCAUGUUGUUAGACAACGGUGAACCUUCGAACUAUGAAGUAGCGAUGGCGGGCCCAGAUUCCAACAAAUGGCUAGAAGCCAUGCAAUCCGAGAUAGAAUCCAUGUAUGAAAACAAAGUAUGGACUUUGAUUGACUUGCCCGAUGAUCGGUGAGCGAUAGAAAACAAAUGGAUCUUUAAGAAGAAGACGGACGUGGAUGGUAAUGUCACCAUCUAUAAAGCUCGACUUGUCGCUAAGGGUUAUCGGCAAGUUCAAGGGAUUGACUACGAUGAGACUUUCUCUCCCGUAGCGAAGCUUAAGUCCAUCCAAAUCAUGUUAGCAAUUGCCACAUACUAUGAUUAUGAGAUAUGGCAGAUGGACGUCAAAACGGCAUUCCUUAACGGCUAUCUUAAGGAAGAACUGUAUACGAUGCAGCCGGAAGGUUUUGUCGAUCCUAAGAAUGCUAACACAGUAUGCAAGCUCUAGCGAUCCAUUUAUGGGUUGGUGCAAGCAUCUCGGAGUUGGAACAUUCGCUUUGAUGAGAUGAUCAAAGUGUUUGGGUUUAUGCAGACUUAUGGAGAAGCCUGCGUUUACAAGAAAGUGAGUGGGAGCUCUGUAGCAUUUCUCAUAUUAUAUGUAGAUGACAUACUUUUGAUGGGAAAUGAUAUAGAAUUCUUGGACAACAUUAAGGCCUACUUGAAUAAGUGUUUUUCAAUGAAGGACCUUGGAGAAGCUGCGUACAUAUUAGGCAUCAAGAUUUAUAGGGAUAGAUCGAGACGCCUCAUAGGUCUUUCACAAAGCACAUACCUUGAUAAGAUUUUGAAUAAGUUCAAAAUGGAUCAGUCCAAAAAAGGGUUCUUGCCUGUACUGCAAGGUGUGAGAUUGAGCUCGGCUCAAUGCCCGACCACGACAAAACAUAAAGAAGAGAUGAGCGUCAUCCCCUAUGCCUCAGCCAUAGGAUCUAUUAUGUAUGCCAUGUUGUGUACCAGACCUGAUGUAAACCUUGCCAUAAGUUUGGUAGGAAGGUACCAAAGUAAUCCCAACAAGGAACACUGGACAACGGUCAAGAAUAUCCUGAAGUACCUGAAAAGGACAAAGGACAUGUUUCUUGUUUAUGAAGGUGACGAAGAGCUCGUCGUAAAGGGUUACGUCGACGCUAGCUUCGACACAGAUCUGGAUGACUCUAAGUCACAAACCGGAUACGUGUAUAUGUUGAAUGGUGGGGCAGUAAGCUGGUGCAGCUACAAGCAGAGCGUCGUGGUGGGAUCCACAUGUGAAGCGGAGUACAUGGCAGCCUCGGAGGCAACGCAUGAAGCAAUUUGGGUGAAGGAGUUCAUCACCGACUUAGGAGUCAUACCCAAUGUGUCGGGGCCGAUCAAACUCUUCUGUGACAACACUGGAGCUAUUGCCCAUGCCAAGGAGCCUAGGUUUCACAAGAAGACCAGGCACAUCAAGCGUCGUUUCAACUCCAUCCGUGAAAAUGUUCAAGAUGGAGACAUAGAUAUUUGCAAAGUACAUACGGAUCUGAAUGUCGCAGAUCCGUUGACUAAACCUCUUCCGCGAGCAAAACAUGAUCAACACCAGAACUCUAUGGGUGUUCGAUUCAUCACAAUGUAACUAGAUUAUUGACUCUAGUGCAAGUGGGAGACUGUUGGAAAUAUGCCCUAGAGGCAAUAAUAAAAGGAUUAUUAUAUUUCUUUGUUCAUGAUAGUUGUCUUUUAUUCAUGCUAUAAUUGUAUUAUCCGGAAAUCGUAAUACACGUGUGAAUACAUAGACCACAAUACGUCCCUAGUAAGCCUCUAGUUGACUAGCUCGUUGGUCAACAGAUAGUCAUGGUUUCCUGACUAUGGACAUUAGAUGUCGUUGACAACGGGAUCACAUCAUUAGGAGAAUGAUGUGAUGGACAAGACCCAAUCCUAAGCAUAGCACAAGAUCGUGUAGUUCGUUUUGCUAGAGCUUUUCCAAUGUCAAGUAUCUCUUCCUUAGACCAUGAGAUCGUGUAACUCUCGGAUAUCGUAGGAGUGCUUUGGGUGUACCAAACGUCACAACGUAACUGGGUGACUAUAAAGGUGCACUACAGGUAUCUCCGAAAGUGUCUGUUGGGUUGACACGGAUCGAGACUAGGAUUUGUCACUCCGUAUAACGGAGAGGUAUCACUGGGCCCACUCGGUAGUGCAUCAUCAUAAUGAGCUCAAAGUGACCAAGUGUCUGGUCACAAGAUCAUGCAUUACGGUACGAGUAAAGUGACUUGCCGGCAACGAGAUUGAACGAUGUAUUGGGAUACCGACGAUCAAAUCUUGGGCAAGUAACAUACCGUCUGACAAAGGGAAUAGUAUACGGGGUUGCUUGAAUCCUCGACAUCGUGGUUCAUCCGAUGAGAUCAUCGAGGAGUAUGUGGGAGCCAACAUGGGUAUCCAGAUCCCGCUGUUGGAUAUUGAUCGGAGAGAUGUCUCGGUCAUGUCUGCAUAUCUCCCAAACCCGUAGGGUCUACACACUUAAGGUUCGGUGACGCUAGGGUUGUAUGAAUAUGAGUAUGCAGCAAACCGAAUGUUGUUCGUAGUCCCGGAUGAGAUCUCGGACGUCACGAGGAGUUCCGGAGUGGUCCGGAGGUAAAGAAUUAUAUAUAGGAAAUGCUGUUUCGGCCAUCGGGAAAGUUUCGGGGUCACCCGGUAUUGUACCGGGACCACCGGAAGGGUCCCGGGGGUCCACCGGGUGGGGCCACCUAUCCUGGAGGGCCCCGUGGGCUGAAGUGGGAGGGGAACCAGCCCCUAGUGGGCUGGUGCGCCCCCCUUGGCCCCCCUGCGCCUAGGGUUGAAAACCGUAGGGUGGGGGCGCACCCCACUUGCCUUGGGGGGCACUCCACCCCCCUGGCCGCCGCCCCCUUGGGAGAUUGGAUCUCCCAGGGCCGGCGCCCCCCUGGGGGCUUAUAUAAAGGAGGGCAAGGGGGAGGGCAGCCGCACCCUGUGUCUUGGCGCCUCCCUCCCCCUGCUACACCUCUUCCUCCUUCCGUAGCAGCUUGGCGAAGCCCUGCCGGAGUCCUGCUGCAUCCACCACCACGCCGUUGUGCUGCUAGAUCUUCAUCAACCUCUCCUCCCCCCUUGCUGGAUCAAGAAGGAGGAGACGUCAUCCGCUCCGUACGUGUGUUAAACACGGAGGUGAUGUCCGUUCGGCACUUGGUCAUCGGUGAUUUGGAUCACGGCGAGUACGACUCCAUCAUCACCAUUCUCUUGAACGCUUUCGCACGCGAUCUAUAAGUGGUAUGUAGAUGCAAUCUCUCUUCUAUGUCUCGUUGCUUAGAUGAACUCAUAAAUGGAUCUUGGUGAAACCGUAGGAAAUUUUUUAAUUUUCUGCAACGUUCCCCUACAUGUGGCGUACCGCAAAACGGACGAAACGGACCUCUUACGUUCGAAGCGGGGGUCCUGUUGAUCGAGAGGGGUGUGGCGUACCGCAAAACGGACGAAACGGACUUGUGUUGGAGCGCUACGGUCGAAACGGGGGUCCUGUUCAUCGGGAGGGGUGUGGCGUACCGCAAAACGGGACUCCACGAGAUACUGUUCAUCUCCACCGUCGACCUCCUCCAGCCUCCACGGGCUCCUGUUCAUCCAGCCUCCAUCACGCGCUACUCCACCGGCUACUGUUCAACCACCCCUCCACCGUCUACUGUUCAUCCAGCCCUCCACCGUCUACUGUUCAUCCAGCCCUCCACACCACGGGGUCCUGUUCGACCACCCCUCCACGGCCACCCCUCCACCGUCUACUGUUCAUCCAGCCCUCCACACCACGGGUUCCUGUUCAUCCAGAGGCGACGCCACCGCUCACUGUUCAUCCAAACCCCUCCGCAACGCACACUGUUCAUCCCAGAGGCAGCAUCGAUCGGCUUCAGUUAGCAGCAGUAGCAAAGGAAUCGCUCCAUCAGGUUCAGUUAACAGCCAUCGACCGAUCGCUCGGGUUCAGUAACGCGUAGCCUGCAGUGCAAUCGCUCGGGUUCAGUUAGAGCCCAACGCCUCGCUCGGGUUCAGUUAGAGCCAAUGCCUCGCACACACGCGCGUACGUGUGCGAGAGAAACGCGCAUCGCUCGGCCCCCGACCUCCCACCGUAAUCGGCAACUCCCCGGAAUUUUCCUUCCCCUCGCUUCUACCACGGUUUUUUCCGUCAUGGACGGCCCAAAGAAUGUCAUGCAGCUGCGUCUCCGGCCCGCCCAGGACGAAAAACCCAUUUUCUGUCAUGAUUUUUUUUGUCAUAGAAGUAGGAGCCCACCACAUCUAUGAUGAUACCGGGUUUUGUCAUAAUUAUCGUCAUAGAAGUGUCAUAUGUAUGACAGAAAAAAAUUUCGUUCGGCCCAAAAUGUCACGGAUGUGUCUUUUUUUUGUAGUGCAUGUGUGCCGUCCAGGCUCUUUAUCGUCUGUCAGUAGAUGGCAAAGCCCUUUGCAGCUUUGCCGUCAGCCAGCAGGCGACAAAGAUGCCUUUGUUGUAGCCUAUUCAGCCGGACCUGUUGCCGUCUGCUGGCUGACGACAAAGGUUUUUGCCGCCAGACAUCCAUUCCUUUGCCGUCAGCCAUGGCUGACGGCAAAGUGCGUAAUUCCUGUAGUGCAUAUUUCACUAAUUCUAAAAUACAGAUUUCACUCAUUUCAGAAAAUGGAUUGCACUCGUUUCGAAAGGUGGAUUCACUUGCUUCAAAAACAGAUUUCACUGAUCAAUAUAUAUUAAAAUGGGGAUAUGAUUGAAAUAACAAAACUCAAACUAGACGAAAUAUAUUCAAGAUUGGCCUUGUUUUAAAGAUCUGUGCGCCAAAAGUUCAAAUAUAUAAAUAGUUUCAAAAUUAAAAUUUUGGUCUAAAAUAUAUAAAUGAUUUAAAUUAGCAUAGGUAAAAUAGAAAUGUGGAUUUGUUGUGUAAGAGAGGAGAAAGACUGCACAUGUACUUUUGCUGCCACGCAUGUGUCCUACACUACGUGAGUGAGAGGAGCAUGCAUGCAUCUAUCAAAGGUAGGCCCAUGUAAUAAUUUUGAUGGGGUUCGUUCACUGUAUUUUGUCAGGUAUAGAUGUUGUAUAGCAGAAACUGAAAAUAAAUGCGUGACGAAUCUUCACGCACCCAAUGGAUGAAAAGAGCUUUGUGCGGCGACUACGCUCACUCCUCCCUCUCGCCCAUGUCCCGCAAAACCGGCGGAAAGAAAAAAUGAGCGCACAUAUGCCUCAUCCAAUCCGCCGUCGUGCCUCCCCACGACCUCGCACACCGCCGUUGGUGCUAUGUCAUCGCGUCCCCGCGCGGACCCAAAUAUUCGUCUCCCUCUCUUCUUUCAUUUCCCCCUCUCCACUCCUCUGCAAUCACAUGCGCAGACGCCUCGCCGCCACGCUCCCUCUUCGACUCUUUUUUUUGAGAUAGCUUACCAGGCUUGCUGCCUGGUCCCCCCCUUGGACCCAAUCUACUAGGAGCUCUGCCAGGUAACCGAGAGACAUCCGUCCCCUUUCCUCUCUCUCUCUCUUUGAAUUGGACUCGAUGCGUGCUUCCUCGUAAUUGAUUCAUGUGCUGCUCGUUUGGAUCCAAGGAUCUGCCUGGUGAUGGGUUCGUGCGCAGGGUCGCUUUGAUCUCAGGAUUAAUCUAGCGUUCGUGGAUUUAGUUGUCUCAUGGUUGUUGGUGAAGCAAUCCAAUCUGAUUUUUCAUGAUUGACUUUACAUGAUCCUGUCAUUUGACCUCUAUGAGAUUUAGAUUACGGGAAACUGCAGACGAUGAUACAUGAUAUUCCGUCAUACCUCGUAUGUGAAAUGUCCAGAGAAUGAACGGGGUUUUACUUGGUACGCUAGCUAAUGUGUCAUUUCUUUAUCCUUUGUUGUUUCAGGAUUAUAUUUGCCAUAAUUCAACCUCUGUUUCGUUGUCAAAAGUAUGACAGUGGUUAACCCAUGCCGUUUAUUUUUGCUAGAUGAACCUGUUUAUUUAUGACAUGUGGCCUUUCCUGGUAAGGUUUUAAACUAAUCAUUUAGAGUGUUAUUCACCCCCUCAUCAAUUUGUGUGAUGUAUAAACAUGAUUAGCCCAAUAGCUCUCCUAUGUUUAUAGCAGGCAAUAUGCAAAAUAAUUAGUGUGGCAAAGACAAUAUGCGAUCCAUAUGUUGGAAAAUAUAUUAUACUAAUCAAUUGGAUUAGGAAACUUUGACACUUGGUGCUCUUCAACCUACACUCCAGCUAGAUUAAAUUAGCACACUAAUUCAAAUCUGUAAUGUAUAGACAUCCCUCACUGCAGUCCCAUCUAAUGAUCGAAUUGGAUUUAUCAACCUUCAGUUAGUCGUACUAUAAGAUUUUUUUUCUUUUGUGAGAAUAUCGUAAGAUUGUUUUAAGGAGGUGUUACGUUAAGAAAUCAACAUCUAAAAUCAAUUGUUCCUAGAAUUUCAAUAUGCGAUAUGCACUAGAUACUUAUGUUCCUAUCAGUGUUUUAAAUAGUGGGCUAUGCUAAAUAGCGACGGACCUCCAAAUCAGCUAUAGCGGAGCUAUAGCGGGCUAUUUAUACAUGAGACUAUUUAGCGGCACCCUGCUGAAAAGGUCAUAGCGGGCUAUAGCUGGCUAUUUAAAACUAUGGUUCCUAUACAUUUUAUUUGAGCUGGGCAUAAAAGGAUUGUUGCACAUCAGUUCCAGCCUUUUUUAGCUUCUGUUUGUCAUCUAGAUAUUUAAGAUGUUUGGUAUGAUGAUCUCCCUCUACAUUUGCUUGUUUAAGCAAACAAGAAUUAAAAUUUUACGGAAUGCGAGAAAAUAAUUUCUAAUUGAAUCUGUUAUUCGGUGAUUCUGUGAAUGUGAAGGUGUAUUCUUACAAAUUGUCUGCGCAUGUUAGUUUAGCCCCUGGCUGCAUUAUACACACAACAUGUUUUGAUACUUUUCAUUACUAGUCAAUAUGUACGUGCAAUGCACGUUAAUUUAGAAGUAUAUUAAGUGCAUCCGGAUAUUAAGUAGAAUAUUAUUUGCAUGUUAUUAUGUGAUUGGCACUAUAUUUGGCAUGCGGAACUGCUGCGCAGACGACAACAGUAUGCACGACAGAUGAACGAUGCGGGAUCAAACGGUCUGCUGGACUCUGCUACAUGCAUGGACGGACAGGGAUCUGUUGUCGUGCAUGAAUCGUGCGCACAUCAUCGUGUGUGUAGCACUGCUCUUUGGCAUGAGACUAACUACACGUUAAACAUAUUGAGCGCUCGACAUUGAAGCAGUUUAGGUCAUUGGAUUGACAUGAUUUGAUGGCCGAGAUUAAUUGGAUCUGCCUCUUUGGGUCUUUUUAUAUUGGUAUAGAUAAAGACAUCUGACCUGAUCAUAUUGCUAUUUUCAGCUUUUGGAUUUGCAUAUAAUGCUGACACCACGUGGACUCUGAACUCUGAAGGAAGUUGUGCUAACUGCUAGGCUUUCCCUGCUUUUCCAGCUUGUGUGUUUCAUUGAUGGAUGAGGUAUAAAUCUAUUCCUUAAGCGAGCAAAUCAAAACACAAAUGCAGGAGGUAUCGACAACACUGACGACCGCUACAUCAUUCCAUUUAGACCUGAAAGUAACAUCAAAGGAUGCCAGCGGCGGCAGAGAUCAACAAGUUCUUCACCGUCGCAGAGAAGGUGGAGGUCGAAUGUUUCACCGUCAAGUGCACACUUAUCAUUCUGCUACAGUCACUCGAUCAUCGUCAGGAACACCGCCACACUAAGAAUUGUGCAGCUGCUCUACUUUCAGGUCCAAAUUGGACAUCACGUGAGGUGUUACGGUCAACACCAGCCAGUUCAAGGCAACCCUACAGGUGGUCGUCUGAGCGAGUGCUAACAUGCUAAUAGGAGCAGUUUCAUCUCGAGCAGACUUGCACCGCAAUAAGUACAUGCUACUCUCAGCGUCUGCUAACAUGAAGUUGCACUCAGGCUCUCGCAUAGACUACAGAGGUACUGUCCGUAAGUAUCACGGUUCAUAGAUUUAUUUAUAUGAACAAUACUGAUCUCAAGGAUAACAAUCUAGAUUCAUCUAUUACUUCUGCUAAUGUGACUGUAACAACAGUCACUCCCAUUCAAACUUUCUUUAGGGAAACUACAACAUGCAUUUUGCUCACCUCAACAUUAAAUUAAGGAGUGCAGUAGGUUCAGGGCUUAUGCGGACUAUUGAAAUGUUAUAUUUGUGGACAAUGGAGAAAAGCCUGAAUUAGGCAUCAUAGUAGAAUUUAUACUCGUUGUUACAGUGCGGCUUUUGGGCAUCCUUAGAACGAUAAGCCCAAAUACGAAGAUUAGACGCCACCUUAGAUUUGUCUGGUUGUUAACUUGUGGUCAUCAAACACAUUUAUAUUAUGCUCUGUCCAUAUGCUCUAGAGGAAACAAGCAAUAAUACUGGACUGCAAUUUCUGGGGUAUCACGCCCAUUUAAACUGACGGUGCAAGUUCAGGCCGACCUUCCUUUUUUCCUUCAGAUCUUUCUAUUUUAAGAAUUGUACAGUUAUAAUUAUACCAUUAUAUAUUUAUUUUAGAUACAUGUUCAAAGAUUAUUUUAUUUCACCCAAAAUACAAAGGACGCGGGAAAAUUACUAUUUCUCUAUUUCCUGAAAUAAAUGCCUGAAUUUGUUUACCAUGUUUUCUCUUUUUCCUUCCUUACAGCAGUGUCUUCAAUAGAACAAAUAAAGUGUUGAGUAACUAAAAGGCCAUUCCGAUUCCGGUAUGGUAAAUAUUUGAUGGAUGGCAAAGGGUCCCGGGGGAGCUCGUUUGUGCUGACGAUACUCAACAUAUUCUGUAAAUAUCCUCUGAAUUCACCAUCCAUGAGUCGCAAGUCAUGUUUUCUGGUGCUAUAAGUAUAAAAAAGGUUCAUACUUUGUUUUAUUAUCCUUUUGUGGUGUUGGUACUAUACCUUUUGGCCUAAGAAGGCUCUCUGAAACACUGAGACAAACAAAGCUAAACAUUUGGAGUAUGAUUAAGCAGUCCAGUCAGCGUUACUAAUCCCUAUUUGAGCUUGACAUUAUUUUCUGGCUUAAUGUUUGAGAUUCUAUGUUAGCAAAAAUAUGUGCAGAAUUUCAUGUAAGUUUGAAAGUCAAUCGAUUCCAUGCUUUGAGCUCCAAAGUGACCCCUAUUCAGAAUUGGUAUUUGGAUCCCAAAACUCCCUAUGAACAUAUAAUGAAAUUUUAGUUGUGAAACGAGACAUAGACAUGCCAUAUUGCUAUAUCAGGGUGUUGCUAUGUACAAUUAUAGAUGCUUGCAUUUGACUUCCGUUUUGAUGUAACAAUAUACAUGUAGUUUGUUGUCAAUACUGUUGAGAGACCUUGUUCUAAAGUUUAUGUCCAACAUUUAAAUUUUUGUUUUCAUUUUUUCUACUAAAAUAUAUACCCUUGUAUUUUGGUAGUUUUGCGAAGCACUGAUGGUGUCCCGCUUAUACAUGUGAAACCCUACAAUAUGUUUAGAGCAUGGAGGAGUCAGUUUGUGCUGCCAACCCUCACCAUAUUCUACAAAUAUCAUAGAUUUUACCAUCCAUGAGAGGCAAGUCAUGUUUUCUAUUUACUGGUGUUAUAAGUAAAAAAUGUUCAUAUUCGGUGGAUGAGACCCUACAAUGUAUUUAGAACAUCCGAUCUACACAUCUAUAUAAUUUUGAGCCUUGGAUGAAUAAUUGAUGAUUGAAGUGGGAACAUGGGUAGUACCAUAAUCAUGAAAGGUGCCUUCAUGAGUUGAUGCCACACGAUAUAUAUGAGGGUGCAGGGUAACUUUGGUUGCAUCUCCAAAUCAAUAACCAAAGGGAGUAAAUCAUAAACAGGGUUAGUUUGAAAAAAAUAUCAAUCAGGAUACUAUCUUCUUUGUGAUACUGUUAUUAAAAUUGACCAUGAACAUGAAAUUUUCGUGUUUACUUGAUCAUACUAUGAACCCGUAGCAACGCACGGGCACUCUAGUAGUAACAUUUGCAUUUUCCAGUGACUUUCUGUUUGAGAAAAAAAUACUUCUUAUGAAGUGUGUACUGUAUUCUCCUCACAAAAAAAUUAAUCUGCAUUCAGGAACCAAUCUUCUCACCAUCUACUAAAUCAGUAAGCUCCCUUGGGGUGGAAGCCCUCGGACUCAAUUGAGGUUGUCGACUCGAUUUUACGUCGAUUUCGAUUUUGACUCGGUUGUCGAAGCCUGGACUGGGCCGCCUGAGCUGGCUCCCUCUCAUCGUUUCUAUCAGGCCCUGUUUGGUACGCGUGGANNNNNNNNNNNNNNNNNNNNNNNNNNNNNNNNNNNNNNNNNNNNNNNNNNNNNNNNNNNNNNNNNNNNNNNNNNNNNNNNNNNNNNNNNNNNNNNNNNNNNNNNNNNNNNNNNNNNNNNNNNNNNNNNNNNNNNNNNNNNNNNNNNNNNNNNNNNNNNNNNNNNNNNNNNNNNNNNNNNNNNNNNNNNNNNNNNNNNNNNNNNNNNNNNNNNNNNNNNNNNNNNNNNNNNNNNNNNNNNNNNNNNNNNNNNNNNNNNNNNNNNNNNNNNNNNNNGGAUAUUCCUCGUGUGAAAGUGCAACUAUCCUUGGGUGGUUUUGGUAAUUCCUAACAACAUAUAGCUCAUUGAGCUAAUGCUAUUUCGAGAUAAAUAUUUCAGGAAAGCUCAAUGUUUGGCAUGGCAUGGGUUAAGAAAGUGGACCCCUCAAAAUAGUAAGGACAAAAGGAUUGGCUCAAGCUCAAGACUCUGCUUUUCUAUUUUAGUGAUCCAAGAUCACAUUGACUCCAUAGGAAAGCCAAUACUAUUAAGAGGGGGUGAGGUGUUGCUUAAUGAGGUUCUUGCUCAAAAUGCUUAGUGAUAUGCUCCAAAACCCUCAACUACUUCCUCAUAUCCAAAUAUGUCCCAAACCAAAAAGUCAAACUCGGCCCCACCGAUUUGAUCUAUCCAGCGCCACCGAGUUCUCUUGACAUAGCCACUGCCACAAACCCUAGUCUUUUCGGUCUCACCGAUAGGGAUCUCGGUCUCACCGAGAUGGGAUUGUAAUCUCUCUAUUUCCCUUCGUAACGUUUCGGUCCAAACGAGAUGAGUGAUCGGUCCCAGCAAGAUUGCAAUAUAAACUCUCUGUUUCCCUUUCGUAACGUUUCGGUCCUACCGAGAUGAGCGAAUCGGUCCCACCGAGUUUGCCUGAACAACUCUCUGGUUAGCUUAUUACCAAAAUCGGUCCCACCAAGUUUGUGUAAUCGGUCUCACCGAGAUUACGUUAUGCCCUAACCCUAAUGAUAUCGGUCCCAUCAAGUUGACAUGUCGGUCCCACCAAAAAUCCUAACGGUCACAUUAUGAACCAAAUCGGUCCCACCGAGUUCUCUGAAUCGGUCCCACCGAGUUUAGUAAAUUGUGUGUAACGGUUAAAUUUUGUGUGGUGGCUAUAAAUACCCCUCCACCCACUCUUCAUUCGUGGAGAGAGCCAUCAGAACAUGCCUACACUUCUAACAUACAUUUUCUGAGAGAGAACCACCUACACUUGUGUUGAGGUCAAGAUAUUCCAUUCCAACCACAUAAAUCUUGAUCUCUAGCCUUCCCCAAGUUGUUUUCCACUCAAAUAAUCUUUAUACCAAAUCCAAUCCUAUCAGAGAGAGUUGAGUGUUGGGGAGACUAUCAUUUGAAGCACAAGAGCAAGGAGUUCAUCAUCAACACACCAUCUAUUACCUCUUGGAGAGUGGUGUCUCCUAGAUUGGUUAGGUGUCACUUGGGAGCCUCCAUCAAGAUUGUGGAGUUGAACCUACUUCGUGAAGAUUUACCCUAGUGAGGCAAGUCCUUCGUGGGCGGCGACCAUGGUGGGAUAGACAAGGUUGCUUCUUCGUGGACCCUUCGUGGGUGGAGCCCUCCGUGCACUCGCGCGACCGUUACCCUUCGUGGGUUGAAGUCUCCAUCAACGUGGAUGUACGAUAGCACCACCUAUCGGAACCACGGAUAAAAAAAUCUCCGUGUCUACAUUGUGUUUGCUCCCUCCAAACUCCUCCCUUUACCUUCAUAUGCAAUUGUUUUACUUUCCGCCGCUAUACUCUUAGAAUUGCAUGUGUAGGUUGAUUGCUUGACUUGUGCUAUGUUGCUAAAAUCUGCCAAGAAUUAAAAUUGGGAAAAGGCUAGAUUUUUAUUUUGUCAAGUAGUCUAAUCACCCCCCCUCUAGAUAUACUUUCGAUCCUACAAGUGGUAUCAGAGCUUUGGUCUCCAUUUGCUUUGAUUUCCAUAGCUUUUGGUGAUCAUAGCCUUGGUUUCACAACCUAGGAGAGUACGACGUCUAGCGAGGGAAAUUACCACCAUAGAGGUCCUUACUUUGAUGGUACUAUAUUUGCUAGUUGGAAGCAUAAGAUGAAAAUGCAUAUUCUUGGACAUAACCCCGCCGUUUGGGCUAUCUUGUGUAUUGGCUUGCAAGGUGAAUUCUUUGAUGGGAGAGAACCGAACCGUGAAGCUACCGCGGAAGAGUUGAAGAUGCUGUAAUACAAUGUUCAAGCUUGUGAUAUUCUCUUCAACGGAUUGUGCUCCGAAGAAUUCAACAAAAUCAGUCGUCUUGAGAAUGCAAAGGAAAUUUGGGAUACUUUGAUUGAUAUGCACGAAGGUAUUGACUCCGUCAAGGAAUCCAAAUUGGAUGUGCUUUAAAGUCAACUUGAAAAGUUCAAAAUGAAGGAUGGUGAAGGUGUUGCUAAAAUGUACUCUAGGCUUGCUCUCAUCACAAAUGAGAUUGCCGGCUUAGGAAGUGAAGAGAUGACCGAUAAAUUCAUCAUCAAGAAGAUCCUAAGAGCCUUGGAUGGAAAAUAUGAUACCGUGUGCACAUUAAUCCAAAUGAUGCCCAACUACAAAGAUCUCAAGCCAAGGGAAGUCAUUGGAAGAAUUGUUGCUCAUGAGAUGUCACUUAAGGAUAAGGAAGAGCUUCACAACAAGUCAAGUGGUGCUUACAAAGCCUCAUGUGAUGCCCCCACAUCAUCAAGUGAGAAACAAACCUUCAAUGAAGAAUUUAGCCUAAUGGUGAAGAACUUCAACAAGUUCUACAAGAGUAGAAGCAAGGAAAGAAGUUCCAAGUCAAGGUCCUACAAUGACAAAAGAUCUUCUAGUCGUGAGCGUAAUUGCUACAAUUGUGGAAGACCUAGACACUAUUCCAAUGAGUGUACGGCUCCCUACAAAAGAAGAGAAGAUUCUCCCAAGAGAAGAAGUAGGAGAGAAGAAUCACCAUCAAGAGAGAGGAGGAGGAGAUAUGAUCGUUAUGAACGAAGACCCUCUCAGAGAAGCAAGGAUUCGGAGAGGAAGGACAAGUCAUCUAGGAGCUACACAAAACGAAGACAUCAAGCUCAUGUUGGUGAAUGGGUAUCCGGCUCCGACUCCGACCAUCACUCUGAAAGAAGUUAUCAGUCCGACUCCGAAUAUACUCAAGAUGAAGGUGUUACCGGACUAGCACUUGUGACAACAAAGUCCUACGACAUAUCUGACUCACGAAAUUAAGGAAUUGGGAGAUGCUUCAUGGCCAAAGGUCCAAAGGUAACACACCCCGAGUAUGUUGAUUUCAAUAGUGAUGAAGAUGAUUUGCUAGGAGAUGGUGAUUUACUUGUUGACAACUCUAGUUAUGAAAACUAUGAUGAACUUGCUAUUAAUCAUGAUAAUCAAGAUAAAACGAAUGACGAUGAUAAGAAGGAGAUUAAGCGUCUAACUAAAGAACUAAACACUCUUAAGUUAGCUCAUGAAACUACCUUGGAAGAUCAUUGAGAACUUUUAAAGACUCAUGAGAAGCUACGCUUUGAGAAGCUCAACCUUGAGCAAGAGCAUGAGUUGUUAAAAGCAAUCAAUGAUGAUCUUCGCAAGAAAAGUUCUUCUUACAUUAUCAAGCAUUUACUCUUGUCUACUUACAUGCCACAAGUUAAAUCUAGCAAUAAGAACAAGAAAGAUUCUUCCUCUAGUAGUAACAACAAUCAUGCUAAAUCCAAUAUUGUUGCUUCUAGUAGCUCUCUUGAUUCCACUAAUGAUUCUCUUAGCCAAGUUACUUGAGCAAGAAAAUAGCUUAUUGAAGGGAAUUAUAGAGAAAGGUGUUUACAAGAGUCUUGCCGGGAGUAAGCAAUUUGAGGAAAUUGUACGCAAGCAAGGAAGACACCAGAAGAAUCAAGGUGUUGGUUUUGAACGAAAGUUCAACGUCAAUGGAGUUGAGUGGAAAGAAGAUCAAUACCCCAAGACGAAGUUUGUUCCUCAACAAGAGAAGUAUGAUCCUACUUAUUUCCAAGGAACACAAGCUCAAGAUGAUCUUCCACCACAAGACCACAAGCUAAAAGGCAAGGACAAGCUUCAAGAGGAGAUUGAUGCAUUUGAAGAAGCUCCUAAGGCCUUGGUCAGGUGGGUUCCCAAGACUACAUCAAGCUCUAUCUCAUCAAGUACGACUACAACUCCAAGGAUUCCCAUCGAGAUGGUGUGGAUCCCGAAUAAGAAGAACUAGAGAGUUCUUCAGGGUGACUCCGCCAACAUACUUCACUCUUAUCAUUUUGGCAAUGACAAGUGCAAACAACUUCCAUAUCUUGCACUAGUUCAGGGAGUCACAAACCCUCUUGUUGGUAAGACAAGGGACAAGGUAACCUAAUGCAUUCAUGGACAUCAUAUUGUGUGAACAUCACUCUAUGUCUAUGGAUAUCCUUGUUUGUUCCUUGUGGGACUAAGCCAUGUAAGUAUUGAAAGUGCAACUCACUCCAAAGGAUUGCUCCAAAUGAUCCACAUCAACAAUGAGCACCAACAUCUUCAACACCUACAUGAAGUCAUCAUCGACAAAACCCAAGGUUAGUUCAUCCCUCUUAGGGGGGAUAUCACAUCUAGGGGGAGCUUUACUCUAAUCAAUUGAUCUAAAGCAACUCUAAUGGUGUGAGCACAACAAUGCUUUUAUGUAAAAGUGGUAACCCCACUUGUGCUUAAACGAUGAGUAUGACCUAUGAUCAAAUGUUCUCAUUUGACUGCUAAGUCAAUAUACUCAUAUAUAGAUGACCUAGUCAUCGCCAAAUUGCUUGAUAGAUGCUAGAGUGUUUGUGCAUGCUUUGUCACAUAUUUCAUUUGUAAACUUAUUGUGUGAGCAUGUUGGAUGCAUAUUUUACUCAUUCAAGGACAUCCAUUUGUUGCUUUGAUUGUUUGGCUCUUUCUCUUUUGCCAAAUGGAUGGACAAGAAUGCCUAAGAACUCCCUGUAGCUAUCUAUGCUUUCCUCGUCUCAAACUCUAUUCAUGCUACAUCACAAAGUUUGACCAAGUCAGAUUCGAACCACUCUGUGUGAGGAGCACUUGGAGUCCCCAAUUUGUCAUAGACUUAAACUUUCAAAACCUCUUUGUGCAUUUCGGUCUGACCGAUUCACCCUUUUCGGUCAUAUCUAGGUUUUCAAUCUCGGUGCAACCGAUUAGAACUUUUCGGUCACACCGAGUUGUAGUAACUGCUCACAGUUUUGCAUCUCGGUGCCACUGAGUUGUUCCACUCGGUUAGAUCGACAGGGUUAGGUUAUAUAUACUGACGGGUCAAAUUUUGGAAAUUUUUCCAAAACCUUUCACCCGCGCGUGACCUGCUCUGCCUCCUCGGGUUUCCGGAUCGUCCUCUCAUCGCCAGCGACCUCUUGCCGCUGGUCUCCGCCGCCAUCAACGGCAAUCUGCCCCGCUGUUGCCGCCGUAGCAAGUUCAGCAUUGAAGUAGGGUAUGAACUUGGUCUUUGUGCUAUUCCUUAACUCCGAUUCAUAGCACAUUGCUUUGCCAUGAUUCUGUCCAUGUAUGAAAUCAUCCUGUCCAGCGAAAGCAUCCCGUAGAUUAUAUUUGAUUUGAAAAUUUAGGGUUAGGUCUCCGCCGAACUCAUCUCGGACCAACCGAGUUGUAGAAAUCGGUCUCACCAAUUUGACUUAGGCCAUUGCACAUGCGUUUUCGGUCUGACCGAAAAUUGCAAAUCGGUGUGACCGAGUUCGAUUCUUUGUGAAACCCUAGCAGUCUCGGUGACACCGAACUGUGACUCGGUCUGACCGAGUUCACUAGUUUAGGUUCUAAAAGCUUCUUCGGUAUCACCGAGUUUACAAGUCGGUAGAUCCGAAAUGCUUUCUGUGAAGAACUAAAACUAAGUUUUUAAGUCAUCUGUUUUGCAAAAACUCUGUACUUUGUGAUGCUCAUCUACUCUACCUCAUGUACAACCUAUUCACAGGGUCUGCUGACAGUUUUCCUGCAAGAUGUCUGAUCAAAGUGACAACCAGAACAAGUCUGCGGAAUAGGUGCAGAUGAGUGAGGGCUCAGAUCCCUCCAGCACUUCUGAUGAUGGAAGUAGGAGCACUCCAAGCAACUUGCCAAAGCUAGCAACCAGAUCCAGAAAGAGGAGAACCUCAUAUUCUGAGGCCACUUCAAGGAAAAAGGUGCUGAAAAAGGAGUAUGGACAGCUGCUGCAGUUAAGCCAGGGCUGAAUAAGAAGGCACCAGCAAGGAGAAUUCCUAUGUCAAAGGCCAGAGCCUCCACUCUAGACACUUCCAAGUCAACAGGACGAGAUGAUGCUGCAAAGGAAAAGGAAAAAAGAGAGAAAAGGGGGAAGAUGGUGCAAGAAAGUUGACCCCAUGGCUGAAUUUGAAAAACACUCAUCUGAAGAAGAGGAAGAGGAAGAGGAUGAUGCACCAGCACACAAAGCUCAGAAGCUUAUGGGAGAUGCAAUCAGAUCAGGGGCUGCUCCAUCAAAGCCCAAGUCUGCUCCCAAAGCUCAAACUCAGAAGGCCCCAAAACCCAAGAGGAACACCAGGAGCAUUCCAGCCGAGGAAAAGAACAAGGCCCCAGUACCUGAAGCAGCAGCAGAAGAAGAUGAUUCUCUUGUCUUGAGAAAGUUGAAGCCAAAGAUCCCUGACCAUAAUGAUGCACAUCCUGUUGCAGAAGAUAUGAGGAUCAGGAAGGAUGCAGGACUGAGACUGUGGAGACAGUCUGAUCCAUAUUCUGUCAGGAGGAGAACAACAGUUGAUUACAGGUUCCACACAAAGGAACAACAAGAUUUCUAUGAGACUAUCCUGCUUCACAAGAAGCCCAUAGUAUGUGACAUGAGAUGGGUAGACUGGGUCAAAGAAAAUGAAGAUCAUGAUCCAGGAGUCUAUGACAGCUUCAAGGCUUGUGGAGUAGAUACAUUUGUUGGACAGAAGCUCACUAAGUGGAAUGAUGAGCUGAUCAUGCAAUUCUAUUCUACAACCCAUUUCUAUUGAGAUGGGAGGAUUAUAUGGAUGUCUGAGGUACUAGGUACCAAUCCACAGUUGAAGAAUGGGCCAAGCUGAUAAAUGCCCCUGAAGAACAUGAAGAUGACUUGGAUGUGUAUGCCACCAAGAAGAAAGACCACAACACAAUGGCCAACAUGUACAAGGAGAUCCCAGAUAAAGCUUUGGAGACUCACAAGCUUGGAUUAGUACACUUCUUGUUGUCUGGUCUGUCUACCAUCAACUGGAUCUUUAGGCACACAUUGCUACCCAAGUCUGGAGAUCACAAGAUGAUUAGAGGACAUGCUAUCAAUUCGCUACACUUGUUUGAUGUGCCUCAGAAGUUCAAAGUGAUAAAUCUGAUUGUGGAAACAAUUAAGAGGACAACUGCUGACCAGAAGAGAAGCUGUGGGUAUGCUCCACACAUUCAGGAGCUCAUCAACUCCAAGAUGGGCACAUGAACAUACUUGUUGGACAAGGAGCACCUUCCUCUGCAUCCUGAUUUUGAAGAUAACACUGCUAUGAUGAAUGAGGAAGACCCCACAUCUGUGCAAGCACAUGAGAAGAGAGAGAAGGCAAGGGCAGAGAAAGUUGCAAGGAUGUCAACUGUUGAAGAGGCAUCUCAAGUGUUCUUAAAGACCAAGCAAGAUCAGCUUGGAUAUCUGAUCCAAUCAAACUUGAGGAUUGAGAAGGGCUUGGCCACCCUGACACAAAACCAGGAGAGCUUGGAGAGGAUCAUUGUGCAGAAAUUCUAUGAUCUUGAUGUCAAAGUAAUCGAGAUUCAGUCAGCAGUUGAGCAACUUCAGGAGGAAGUGGAGGAGAAGAAGGGCAAGUCAACUACAGAUGCUUUUGCUAGAGUGCCCCGAAGCCAGAGGUCUGCUGCAGUGCCAGUCAUAGGUACUAGAGCUACAACAUCAGCUCCAGCAGCUACAGCUCCAGUGCCACCUCCAGCAGCCACUCCACCAACUCCAGCUACAUCAACAGAAGCUUUCGUCCUUGGGUCAUCUCUACACCACCUACCGAAGAUCAAGCCUGAGAGACGUUUAGUCAUAUGCAUUUUUGAACUUCUUGGUAACUUGUUGCCAAAGGGGGAGAAAAAUGUGUAGAUCAUAGGCUUCGAGAGAGAGUGUUGCUUUUUUAUCUCUCUUGCUAUUUUGGUCGAACUACUUUAUUGCGUGCUUGUGUGAGAUACUUUAUGUCCCUGUGAGAUACUUGUUGAUCAUGUGUUUGAUCCUAUGCUACCUUAAUGAUUGUUGGAUGAUAUUAUCUCUCAUAUCUCAUAUCAUUAUAUGAUCAUUCACUUUCUUGGUGAUGAGUGCAUGUUUUUAAGUUAUAUCAUUUUGAGCGCUCCAUAAAGAUGUAUGUGACAUAGAAGAGUAACCCAUGAUCUUAAUCGAUUGUGCAUUUGCAUUCAAAAGCAAAUUUCUAAAUAAUGCACAAAUUUAGGGGGAGCUGUUGCUUAUCACAUACUUCUGAAAGCGAUGAUGGUUUUCAAUCUCAUGAUCAUUUGUCGAAGCUUUGAUCUAUAUGUUGUCAUCAAUUACCAAAAAGGGGGAGAUUGAAAGUGCAACUAUCCCUGGGUGGUUUUGGUAAUUCCUAACAACAUUAGCUCAUUGAGCUAAUGCUAUUGCAAGGUAAAUAUUUCAGGAAAGCUCAAUGUUUGGCAUGGCAUGGGUUAAGAAAGUGGACCCCUCAAAAUACUAAGGACAAAAGGAUUGGCUCAAGCUCAAAGCUCAAGACUCUUCUUUUCUAUUUUAGUGAUCCAAGAUCACAUUGAGUCCAUACGAAAGCUAAUACUAUUAAGAGGGGGUGAGGUGUUGCUUAAUGAGGUUCUUGCUCAAAAUGCUUAGUGAUAUGCUCCAAAACCCUCAACUACAUUCUCAUAUCCAAAUAUGUCCCAAACCAAAAAGUUAAACUCGGCCCCACCGAUUUGAUCUAUCCAGCGCCACCGAGUUCUCUUGACAUAGACACUGCCACAAACCCUAGUCUUUUCGGUCUCACAGAUAGGGAUCUUGGUCUCACUGAGAUGGGAUUGUAAUCUCUCUAUUUCCCUUCGUAACGUUUCGGUCCAACCGAGAUGAGCGAUCGGUCCCACCAAGAUUGCAAUGCAAACUCUCUGUUUCCCUCUCUUAACGUUUCGGUCCUACCGAGAUGAGCGAAUCGGUCCCACCAAGUUUGCCUGACCAACUCUCUGGUUAGCUUAUUACCAAAAUCGGUCCCACCGAGUUUGUGUAAUCAGCCUCAUCGAGAUUACGUUAUGCCCUAACCCUAAUGAUAUAGGUCCCAUCGAGUUGAUAUGUCGGUCCUACCGAAAAUCCUAAUAGUCACAUUAUGAACCAAAUCGGUCCCACUGAGUUCUCUGAAUCGGUCCCACCGAGUUUGGUAAAUUGUGUGUAACAGUUAGAUUUUGUGUGGAGGCUAUAAAUACCCCUCCGCACACUCUUCAUUCGUGGAGAGAGCCAUCAGAACAUGCCUACACUUCCAACAUACAUUUUCCGAGAGAGAACCACCUAUACUUGUGUUGAGGUCAAGAUAUUCCAUUCCAACCACAUAAAUCUUGAUCUCUAGCCUUCCCCAAGUUGCUUUCCACUCAAAUCAUCUUUCUACCAAAUCUAAUCCUAUGAGAGAGAGUUGAGUGUUGGGGAGACUAUCAUUUGAAGCACAAGAGCAAGGAGUUCAUCAUCAACACACCAUCUAUUACCUCUUGGAAAGUGGUGUCUCCUAGAUUGGUUAGGUGUCACUUGGGAGCCUCCGUUAAGAUUGUGGAGUUGAACCAAGGAGUUUGUACGAGCAAGGAGAUCGCCUACUUCGUGAAGAUCUACGCUAGUGAGGCAAGUCCUUCGUGGGCGACGACCAUGGUGGGGUAGACAAGGCUGCUUCUUCGUGGACCCUUCGUGGGUGGAGCCCUCCGUGGACUCGCGCAACCGUUACCCUUCGUGGGUUGAAGUCUCCAUCAACGUGGAUGUAUGAUAGCACCACCUAUCAGAACCACGGAUAAAAAAAAUCUCCAUGUCUACAUUGCGUUUGCUCCCUCCAAACUCCUCCCUUUACCUUCAUAUGCAAUUGUUUUACUUUCUGCUGCUAUACUCUUAGAAUUGCAUGUGUAAGUUGAUUGCUUGAUUUAUGCUAAGUUGCUAAAAUCUGCCAAGAAUUAAAAUUGGGAAAAGGCUAGAUUUUUGUUUGGUCAAGUAGUCUAAUCACUCCCCUCUAGACAUACUUUCGAUCCUACAUCGUGUUGCCCAGAAACCUCACAAAAACUCGAGGGCUGAUUUGGUAUGCGGGGUUUCUAUGGCUCAACCCCUCCGACCACCUUCGUUCCACGUGGUUUAGAACCCUCGAGCGGGUGCUCGCGGAUUUGGAGGAGGAUACAAUAUCACGUGGAAACCACAUAUUUAGUGAAAUCUUGGAAACUUGAACUGAGGUCAUUGGAUGCUAGUUGUAUGUAUCAGAUUGACUCAUAACUGCAAUGGCGUAUAUGCAGUUUGUAGCGAGGUACACAAUUCUUGCGGGGUUGAAUUUGCAAUUUGUACAUCCUGCCAUCUCGCAGCGCACAUUUUCUGUCCGACGGCACAAGAUCAAGUUUCCAUGUUUCUGCUGAAUGUACGGUUUCCACUAGCUAGAUAUGUAGUCGUCAUGGAUUAGGGGGUGUUUGCCACAUCGGCCCGUCGGUUAUGCGUCAGGUCGAGGACCCUGACGUGGUUAGACUGCAUCGGUAUUUCCCCAAAGAGGAAGGGAUGAUGCAGCACAGUGACAGUAAGUAUUUCCCUCAGUUGUGAAACCAAGGUAUCAAUCCAAUAGGAGAACUAAGCAACACUAUGUAAACGAUACCUGCACACAAAGAACAAAUACUUGCAACCCGACGCGUAAGAGGGGUUGUCAGUCCCUCCUCGGGAAAAAGAUAGAUCGGUUUGUAUGAGUUUGGAUAAAUAGAUCUCACUAAAACACAAAAUAAAAUAAGUAAAGAAAGUGUGGCAAUUGUGUCUAUUUAAGGUUUUUCUCGAUUGAUAUUCAUUUUUCAUCUAUCUCAUGAAAUUUCCAUUCUAUUAAGCGAUAAAGAGCAAUUGACGAAGUCAGCAAGAAGUUCGUCAAGGUAUUUUUGGGUUUUUGGAACAAUAGAUUUGGAAAUAAAAGCGGCAAAAAAUAGAUCGGAAAGCAAAUAUGAUAAAAGGUAGACCCGGAGGCCGUAUAUUUCACUAGUGGCUUCUCUCGAGAAAAUAGCGCAUGAUGGGUACACAAAUUACUGUUGGGCAAUUGAUAGAAGAACAAAUAAUUAUGACGAUAUCCAGACAAUGAUCAAUAUAUAGGCAUCAUGUCAAAGAUUAGUAGACCGACUCCUGCCUGCAUCUACUACUAUUACUCCACACAUCGACCGUUAUCCAAUAUGCAUCUAGUGUAUUAAGUUCAUGGAGAAACGGAGUAAUGCAAUAAUAACGAUGACAUGAUGUCGACAAGAUCUAUUCAUGUAGGAAUAGACCCCAUCUUUUUAUCCUUAAUAGCAAAAAUACAUGCGUGCCUCGCUGCCCCUUCUGUCACUAGGAGAGGACACCGCAAGAUCGAACCCAUCACAAAGCACCUCUUCCCAUUGCAAGAAAAAUCAAGCUAGUUGGCCUAUCUAAACCAAAUAUUCAGAGAAUAAAUAUGAGGUUAUAUAUAAUCAUGCAUAUAAGAGAUCAAAGAAGACUCAAAUAAAUUUCAUGUAUAAAAAUCUGAUCAUAAACUCGAACUUCAUCGGAUCCCAACAAACACACCGUAAAAAGUCACUAGAUCAAAUAGAUCUCCAAGAGACCAUUUUAUUGACAACCAAAGAGAGAGAGAGAAGAAGCCAUCUAGCUACUACCUAUGGACCCGUAGGUCUAUGGUGGACUACUCACACAUCAUCGGAGAGACACCAAUGAGGAUGAUGAACCCCUCCGUGAUGGUGUUAGAUUGGACCUCGUGGUUCUGGAACUAGCGGCGGCUGGAAUUGUUUUUUGUCUACUCUUCUAAGGUUUCUGGAAUAUUUGAGAAUUCAUAGGGCGAAGAGGCAGUGCAGGAGACCUCCGUGGACCCCAUGAUACAUCAAGCGUGCCCUGGUGUAUCGUGGGCCCCUCAGGCCUCCUCCCGGGUGCUUUCUUGAUCCCCAAGAUGUCUUCUAGUAAAAAAAAUCUCCAAAAAGUUUUGUUGCAUUUGGACUCCGUUUGAUAUGGAUAUUCUGCAAAGUAAAAAACAAGCAAAAAACAACAACUGGUACUGAGCACUAUGUCAAUGGGUUAGUCCCAAAAAAUAAUAUAAAGUUGCUAUAAAAUUAAUAUAAAACAUCCAAGAUUUAUAAUAUAACAACAUGGAACAGUCAAAAAUUAUAGAUGCGUUGAAGACGUAUCAGCAUCCCCAAGCUUAAUUCCUACUCGUCCUAACAUGUUCAUCACAUAUUCUUUUCUUUUGUAGCAUGGACAUUUGGACUUUUAUAUGGUUCAAAGCAAUAGUCUAGUUUUGACAUGAAGAUUUCAAUACUCAAGCAUAUCAAUAAGAAACCAUGUCUUUUAAAAUAUAAACACUAAAGAAAGUUAUCCCUAGCCCAUCAUGCUCAAUAAUUGAUCCAUUCACGAAACACACUCGCAUAUUAGCUACAUCCAAUGCUCAAGUAUGAUCAUAGUGCUCCCUAGCUUUAUAAGAAAAGAUGGAGACUCAAAUAAAAAGAAAAAUUACAUAAAAGUAAAUAGAUAGGCCCUUUGUAGAGGGAAGCGGAGAUUUGUAGAGGUGUCAGAGCUCAAAGAAAAAAAACUGAGAGAUAAUUUUUUUUGAGACGAAUACUUUUCCCGCCAACGAAAAUGACCGAAUAGUUCCCAAUACUUUCCAUGCUAGAUACAUCAUAGGUGGUUCCCAAACAUAAAAUAAAGUUUAUUCCUUUUUCCACCAUUCUUUCACAAUCCAUGGCUAGCCGUAUCCACGGGUGCCUUCCAUACCAACACUUUCCAAGGAAUUUAUUAUUUGACAACAUAAAGUAAAUUUAUUUUUCAUUUUGGGACUGGGCAUCCCUAUUACUGCCAUACUCUCGUGCAAUGACAAGUGAAUAAACACUCAUCUUGAGAAUAACACAACUAGCUUGGAAAAAUAUUGGCCACCCCAUGCCGCUUCAUGAGCGGUAUGGGCACGCAAAAAGGAAAUUCUUUUUGAAAGUUAGAGAUGGCACAUACAAAUUUACUUGGAACGACACGGAAAUACCGCAUAUAGGUAGGUAUGGUGGACUCAUAUGGCAAAACUGGGUUUAAGAAUUUUGGAUGCAUAAGUAGUAUUCCCACUUAGUACAAGGAAAGGCUAGCAAAUAGAUUGAGAAGCAUCCAACCUAGAAACGAAAAUUCACAUAAAAAUAAGCGAGCAAUGAGCAUAAGUAACACCGACUAAUGCACCACAAGUAGGAUGUAAUUUCAUUGCAAAACUAUUGACUUUCGUGCUUGUAUAGGUAAUCACAAACCUUAACACCAAUAUUCUUACUAAAGCAUAAUUACUCACCAACAUGGCUCAUAUAUUACUAUCAUCAUAUCUCAAAACUAUUACAAAGAAUCAAGUUUAUUUUGUCCAAUGAUCUUCAUGAAAGUUUUAUUAUAUACCUCUUGAAUAUCUAUCACUUUGGGACUAAUUUUAUAUGUUGCAAUUGCUUUUGGCAAGCUCAAACAAAUUUAAGUGAAGAACACGAGCAUAAAAUUUUCAUCUCUCAAAAUAAUUUAAGUGAAGCAUGAAAGAAUUUCUUCAAAAAUUUACUAACUCUCAAAUAAAUCUUAGUGAAGAUUGAGAGCAUUUCUUCAAAACUAAUAAAGCACACCGUGCUCAAAAAGAUAUAAGUGAAGCACUAGAGCAAUUCCAUAGCUCAAAAAAUUUAAGUGAAGCAUAUACAGCAAUUCUAACAAAUCAUAGCAUAAUUUGGCUCCCUCGGAUAGGUGUGUCCAGCAAGGAUUGUUGGGACAAACUAAAAAAGGAAAAUAAGCAAAGACUCGUAUAAUACAAGACGCUCCAAUAAAAACUCACGAUAUAUUACGAAUAAAAAUAUAGCUCCAAGUAAAAUUACCGAUGGUUGUUAGAAGAAAGAGGGGAUGCCUUCCGAGGCAUCCCCAAGCUUAGUUGCUUGGUUCUCCUUGAAUAUUAACUUGGGGUGCCAUGGGCAUCCCCAUGCUUAGGCUCUUUUCACUCCUUGUUCCUUCAUCCACUGUGAUCUCACCGAAAACUUGAAAAAUUCAAUCACACAAAACUUAACAAAACCUUCGUGAGAUCCGUUAGUAUAAUAAAACAAAUCACUGCUCUAAGUACUACUGCAAACCCAUUCAUAUUUUAUUAUUGCAUUAUAUCUACUGUAUUCUAACUUNNNNNNNNNNNNNNNNNNNNNNNNNNNNNNNNNNNNNNNNNNNNNNNNNNNNNNNNNNNNNNNNNNNNNNNNNNNNNNNNNNNNNNNNNNNNNNNNNNNNNNNNNNNNNNNNNNNNNNNNNNNNNNNNNNNNNNNNNNNNNNNNNNNNNNNNNNNNNNNNNNNNNNNNNNNNNNNNNNNNNNNNNNNNNNNNNNNNNNNNNNNNNNNNNNNNNNNNNNNNNNNNNNNNNNNNNNNNNNNNNNNNNNNNNNNNNNNNNNNNNNNNNNNNNNNNNNNNNNNNNNNNNNNNNNNNNNNAUUCAUCAAAAUAAGCACACCAUGCAAAGAAAACAGAAUCUGUCAAAACAGAACAGUUUGUAGUAAUCUGGACUUUGUCCAUACUUCUGUAACUCUAAAAAUUCUAAAAAAUUAGGACAACGUAGGAAAUUUGUAUACCAAUCUUGUGUAAAAAUUUCAGAAGUUUUCGUCACUUUAUGUAAAUCUAAAGAAUUAUGUUACUGGACGCAAAAGUUUAUGUUUUUCAACAAGAUCAAAUCAACUAUCAUCCAACAUGAUCCCAAAGGCUUUACUUGGCACAAACACUAAUUAAAACAUAAAAACACAAUCAUAAAAGUAGCAUAAUUGUGCAAACACUCAAGAACAGAAAGAAAAAUGCAAAAAUAAAUUUUAUUCAUUGGGUUGCCUCCGAACAAGCGCUAUCGUUUUACGCCCCUAGCUAGGCAUAAAGCAUAGAUUCAAGUAUUGUCAUCUUUGGUUUUUGCCCCAUUGGAUGCCCUCAUGAUAGAUUCAUAUGGUAGCUUAAUUCUUGUUCUAGGGAAGUGUUCCAUACCCUUUCUUAGUGGAAACUAAAAUUUAAUAUUCCCUUCUUUCAUAUCAAUGACGGCACCUAUAGUGCGUAAAAAUGGUCUACCAAGUAUGAUAGGACAAGACGGACUGCAAUCAAUAUCAAGAACGAUAAAGUCUAUGGGCACAUAAUUCCUAUUUGCAAGAAUAAGAACAUCAUUAAUUCUUUGCAAAGGCUUUUUAAUAAUAGAAUCCGCCAAGUGCAAAUUAAGAGAACAUUCUUCAAUGUUGGUAAGACCAAGCACAUCACAUACAAAUUUUGGAAUUGUGGAAACACUAGCACCCAAAUCAAAUGAAGCACAACAUUCAUAAUUUUUAAUCUUGACUUUAAUGGUAGGUUCCCACUCAUCAUAUAAUUUUCUAGGAAUUGAGAUCUCUAAUUCCAACUUUUCUUCUAAAGCUUUCAUCAUGGCAUCUAUGAUAUGUUUAGUAAAACCUUUAUUUUGUUCAUAGGCAUGGGGUGAAUUUAUCAUGGGUUGCAACAAAGAAAUACAUUCAAUCAAAGAGCAACUAACAUAAUUAAAGUCUUUGUAAUCCAACGGAGUGGGCGCAUCACUAGUUAAAGUUUUGACCUCUCCAAACACACCUCUAUUAUUUUUCUCUCAUCAAGAUUUUCACCCUCCGAAUCAUCGGGACGCCUUCUAGCUAAAGUUGACUCUUCUUCAGUGUGGCACCCCGGCUCAGAGAAACUGGAACACCCCUUAUUCCAGCCCAGAGAUCGAGGUGAAGUCUUCUAGAAUAUGACACUGCUUAGCAUAGAACAAACCAGCUCUCUAUUACAACACGAAUAGGAAUCUAAGGUCUUCGAUAUUACAAUGAAUAACAUCGACACAAUGACGCUACCGACCACAGUUGCUCUAUGCGAGCAGCAUAACAACUUGAGGCAGCGGAACCUCUACUGACGGCGGAAUAACUCUAGCAGCAAAACAACGACGAUGGUGAUGGACUCCAAUCCGCAGGGACUCUAGCUGGAACAUUUAUCCUAGCUCGCGAACACAGGAACCACACCAAACAAGCAAGCAGUCCAGGCACGACCUGCAAACUGGCAUGACAUGCUAGGUUAGUAUAUUGAAUGUACUUGCAAGCUCACAAUAAACCAAAAGCUAUCAAGACAGACAACAGCAUGGCAAUUACAUGUUACUUAGCAAUGACGAACAUGAUACUAUCAGAACAACCUGGCAUGUACAACAUGAACAUGAUACAGCUAGAACAAUAUGAGCAUGACAUGAACAUAUGAACAGGAUGAUACUAGCAUGCAACAUGAUGACACUAUCAUGCACCAACUUACUCUGCUCGGGUUACCUCGUAACCAUCACAUGCAUAAGCUUACCAUCACGAACAUCAGACAAUCAUCUCAGGAUCCAAUCAAGCUUGGUCUUACAAUAUCGUAGUAAUCAGUACAUGAUCACAAGGAGCUUGACCUUUACCCAUGAUUCUCGUAUAACACCACAAAUAUCCAACAACUCUGUAUCCUCGAUACCACGGUGAUCCUCUCACGAUCACAUAAAGAUCAACCAACUUCGGUAUCCAAGAUACCUCCGUGAUCAUCUCACGAUCACAACCAAUCUCUUUCUCAUCCUCGAACCAGGGUUGUUAUUAAGCACAUUACUAUUACUGUUGACUCAUAGUGUGACCGACUACGAACUGGGCCCUUAUCCAUGGGCAUGGCUAUCGAUAGAUUUAACACACACUCUGCAGAGGUUAGUACACUGUACCCACACCCCGGAACCCAUGGCCUCGCACUCCCAUUCAGGUGGACCAACGACAUUUCAACAGAACAGAUCUAUUGCCAUCACACUGUCCCAGCCACUCCGACCAACUCCCCUCUGGGCUAAGUCAUGGGUGGCCCCGAUGUCUACCAAAGACAUCCAAUGGCCACUGUCAUGGCAAAACAAUCAACGGUCCCAAACGGGGACAAGGUAUACCAAUCACAACAACGGGCACACAAGGCUUAUGUCCGCCUACCUGAUCAGGGUAGCGCGCGCCCAUAACAUUCCCUCAUUUGAGGCACAGGCGAUAGGCAUGACAAUAGAUCCAGUUAGGACCUUCCCAUAAAAGGCAAAUGUGGUUGCACUGGUCAGCUUGAUUUGGUGGCACCAUGACUCAGCCAACAGUUGUUCAAGUUUGAUUAUUAUCCAGUUAAACUUGAAUGCAAUAAGCUGAGCCAUAUUAAAAUAACAUGAUGCAACUACAAUGCAUGAGCAUGAUACCAACAUGAGACCAUAAUAUAUCAUCGAGCAUAACAAAUGAAGCAUAUAUCCAACUAAGCAUGGCAUACUGACGAGCAUGAUCAUAACACUACACAUGAGAAUGGCAUGGCCACUAGCAUCAUAAAGAAAUACCAUGCAAGAACAUAGCAAGAACACUACCAAGUAAGCAUGUAACCAACUAGCUGCAACGGAACAUGCAUAGCAACUGUACUGAUGACAGAUAUUAAACAUGCAACAGAUGAGCAUCACUACCACCCGCAUGUACUACUACUACCAAGUAUGAGAUGUAACCAUGAUACUAGCAAGCAGUACAAGAUAACAAGAAGCAUCAGAACAUAGCAUGAAGGUGGACAUGAAUCCACGAGCAAAACCGAAACAACGACAACAGUAGCAAACAAGCAGACAGAUAACGGGCAAACUUUUAUUAAAUAUUCAAGUAGAAACCAUGGCUACUGCUGGCUAUCAUGGAAGUGGCUGUUGUCGCUUGCCUGGGGGUGACGGAGACUCCUGGAAGAAGUGCGGUGAAGCCGCGGAACGAAACGCCAAAUGGUUCUCUAACGAAGGGGGCUGAUUAAAAGUAAGGGCAAAAUGGUUAUUUUCACUAUGGGACCACCUAGUGAAAAUUAGACCAACAGAAAUAUCUCGACAAUGCGAAGAAGUGAGCAUUGGUUUCACCUCGAUCAGAGUUACGGUUGCGGAGUUAUGAGGUGUAGAAGAUCAGGGACUUUUCUGUAAAAAGAAUAUUCGCAGUCGGGUCCCUGAGUGGAUAAGACAGAAACAGAUUUUCAAAAAUACGCUUUCUUAUUUGGAAAAUGUACUUUGGUCGAAGGAGGAAGGACGCUUUAGGGAAAAUGAAAGCGUACUAAGGGAAAUACGCUUUCGGAGAACUAAAAGUGCACUCUCCUAAAAGGUGCUUCCACUUAUCCACGUGGACCUGGGCCUUAGGCCACUUACAGACGGGUCCCAUGCGGCAGGGGGGUGACUGGAUCGUCUCCUUCCUCCCCGCGCCUGUAAGCAGGGGAGGGGAGACAGGGCAGGGGGCCGGCCGGCUCCAGCCAUCUCCGACCGAGCCAAGCAUGCCGGCUGGACCGGUGAGGUCUGUCGCACCCAUUCAGAGGGUCGGAUGGUGCCUGGGAGGGCAGGGGAGGCAGCGAUGGGAGGAGGUAGGAGAAGGACAAAGAGGUGGGGGGGCGGCGGUCUUCGGUGGUAUGGGCAGCUCCAGCGAGGGGCAAGUGGUUGGGGCGGUUCGCGGAGGUGAGGGGGAGGCAGUGGAGGUGGAGGGGAGGCUAGAGGGGACCUAUGGUGGCCGGAAACGAGUGGACUCCGGUGACCACCGAUGAGGAGCGGCGAACUCCAGCGAGAUUAGGCAACUCCGGUGGGGAAGGAGGAACAGGGAGAGGCUUGGGAGGUGCGGAAGAACUUGGGCACGCUAUUUAUAGACCGAGGGGAAAGCUCUAGAGCUUUAAUGAAGGACAGAGGCGUUUAGUGGCACGGGCGCGGAGACGACGACCACACCACAACGAUACAGGGCGGAACAGCAAUGUAGGGCGAAGCGGACGGUCACGGGCUACCUCCAGGACAAGGUUUGAUGUCGAGACACGGAGGGAAACGACAGGAACAGGGGCAAGAACGUGCCAGAGCAUGAGCUUUGGCUGAUUCACCCCGUGGUCACCACGUGAACAGGCAUACUAGGUGCCAGGUGAUCGGCCACAUCAUGUCUAGUAGAUAGUACUUAGUGCCCUUAGUCAAAGAAAAGAAAGAAAUUGGUCCAGGGGCAAAGAAGAGAUUUGGAGGAGGAGCCAAAACAUUUGAACAACAAGGUGUUUGUUCUACGGGGAGACAAACACAGGAGGAGGCAGAUGCUGAGCUUUGGCAUGGCUUGAUCACAUGACAAGGUGACUGUGUUAGCAAAAUAUCAGCCCAAAUGGAGGUCUCUAGAGGGUACUUGCUGUAGAAACCACCCUAAUGGCCAGAAUUAGAGAUGAUGAAGUUGCACUCACAUACAUGAUUGCAUGAGCUGAAAUUUGGAGGAGGUGGGUUAUUUGAUCAUAUGAAGCUACUGUAAAAGUUCCAUACUGACACGUCUCCAACGUAUCUAUAAUUUUUGAUUGUUCCAUGCUAUUAUGUUACCCCUUUUGGAUGUUUAUGGGCUUUAUUUUACACAUUUAUAUCAUUUUUGGGACUAACCUACUAACCGGAGGCCCAACCUGUAUUGCUGUUUUUUUUGCCUAUUUCAGUAUUUCGAAGAAAAGGAAUAUCAAACGGAGUCCAAACGGAAUGAAACCUUCGGGAGCAUGAUUUUUGGAAUGAACGUGAUCCAGAGGACUUGGAGUACAAGUCAAGAAGCAGUCGAGGCCUCCAUGAGAUAGGAGGCCCCCCUAUAGGGUGCGCCCCUAUCUCGUAGGCCCCUCGGGCACCCACUGACGUACUUCUUCCUCCUAUAUAAUCCUACGUACCCCGAAAACAUCCAGGGAGCCAACAAAACACAAUUUCCACCGCCGUAACCUUCUGUAUCCGCGAGAUCUCAUCUUGGAGCCUUCGCUGGCACUCUGCCGGAGGGGGAAUCGACCAUGGAGGGCUUCUACAUCAACAUCCUUGCCCCUCCGAUGAGUUGUGAGUAGUUUACCACAGACCUACGGGUCCAUAGUUAUUAGCUAGAUGGCUUCUUCUCUCUUUUUGGAUCUCAAUACAAUGUUCUCCCCCUCUCUUGUGGAGAUCUAUUCGAUGUAAACUCUUUUUGCAGUGUGUUUGUCGAGAUCCGAUGAAUUGUGGGUUUACGAUCAAGUUUAUCUAUGAAUAAUAUUUGAAUCUUCUCUGAAUUCUUUUAUGUAUGAUUGAGUUAUCUUUGCAAGUCUCUUCGAAUUAUCAGUUUGGUUUGGCCUACUAGAUUGAUCUUUCUUGCCAUGGGAGAAGUGCUUAGCUUUGGGUUCAAUCUUGCGGUGUCCUUUCCCAGUGAUAGCAGGGGCAGCAAGGCACGUAUUGUAUUGUUGCCAUCAAGGAUAACAAGAUGGGGUUUAUAUCAUAUUGCUUGAGUUUAUCCCUCUACAUCAUGUCAUCUUGCUUGAUGCGUUACACUGUUCUUUAUGAACUUAAUACUCUAGAUGUAGGCAUGAGUCGGUCGAUGUGUGGAGUAAUAGUAGUAGAUGCAGGCAGGAGUCGGUCAACUUGUCACGGACGUGAUGCCUAUAUACAUGAUCAUGCCUAGAUAAUCUCAUAAUUAUUCGCUUUUCUAUCAAUUGCUCGACAAUAAUUUGUUCACCCACCGUAAUACUUAUGCUAUCUUGAGAGAAGCCACUAGUGAAACCUAUGCCCCCCGGGUCUAUCUCUUAUCAUAUUUGCUCCCAAUCUACUUUUAUUUGCAUCUUUACUUUUUGCAUCUAUAUUAUAAAAUACCAAAAAUAUAUUUAUCUUAUCAUACUAUCUUUAUUACAUCUCACUUUCGCAAGUGGCCAUGAAGGGAUUGACAACCCCUUUAUUGCGUUGGUUGUGAGUUCUUUGUUUGUUUGUGUAGGUGUGUGGGACUUUUGAGGAGCCUCCUACUGGAUUGAUAUCUUGGUUCUCAAAAACCGAGGGAAAUACUUACGCUACUAUUUCUGCAUCACCCUUUCCUGUUCAAGGAAAACCAGCGCAAGCUCAAGACGUAGCAAGAAGGAUUUCUGGCGCCGUUGCCGGGGAGGUCUUCGCUCAAGUCAAGACAUACCAAGUACCCAUCACAAACCCAUCUCCCUCACAUUUACAUUAUAUGCCAUUUGCCUCUCGUUUUCCUCUCCCCCACUUCACCCUUGCCGUUUUAUUCGCCCUCUCUUUCCCAAUCUCCUCCUCUCUUUUCACUUUCCUUUUUCUGUUUGCUUGUGUGUUGGAUUACUUGUUGCCAUGGCGCAAGAUAAUACGAAAUUGUGUGAUUUCUCGAAUACCAAUAAUAAUGAUUUCCUUAGUACUACGAUUGCUCCUCUUAAUGAUGUUGAGUCUUGUGAAAUCAAUACUGAUUUGCUGAAUCUUGUUAUGAAAGAUCAACCCGCCGGCCUUCCUAGUGAAGAUGUCGCUACUCAUCUAAACAACUUUGUUGAUUUGUGUGAUAUGCAAAAGAAGAAAGAUACGGAUAACAAUAUUGUCAAAUUUAAGUUAUUUCCGUUUUCACUUAGAGAUCGUGCUAAAGUUUGGUUUUCGUCUUUGCCUAAAAAUAGUAUUGAUUCUUGGAACAAGUGCAAAGAUGCUUUUAUCUCUAAGAAUUUUCCUCCCGCUAAGAUUAUUACUCUUAGGAACGAUAUUAUGAAUUUUAAAAAACUUGAUCAUGAGCAUGUUGCCCAAUCUUGGGAAAGAAUGAAAUUGAUGCUUCGCAAUUUCCCUACUCAUGGUUUGAAUUUAUGGAUGAUCAUACAAAUUUUUUAUGCCGGUUUGAACUUUGCUUCUAGAAAUCUCUUAGAUUCGGCUGCGGGAGGCACGUUUAUGGAAAUCACGUUAGGAGAUGCUACAAAACUUCUUGAUAAUAUUAUGGCUAAUUAUUCUCAAUGGCACACCGAAAGAUCUUCUAGUAAAAAAGUGCAUGCUAUAGAAGAAAUCAAUGUUUUGAGUGGAAAGAUGGAUUAUUUGCUACUAAAAAUACUCCUCUUGAUCCCAAUGAUAUUCCUUUGUCUACUUUGAUUGAGAAUAAUAAUGAAUCUACGGAUGUGAAUUUUGUUGGUAGGAAUAGUUUUGGAAAUAGUGCUUAUACAGGAAACUUUAAUGCUAGACCGUUACCUAGUAAUUCCUCUAAUAAUUAUGGAAAUUCCUACAAUAAUGCUUACGGUUAUUUUAAUAAGAUGCCCUCUGAUUUUGAGAAUAGUGUGAAAGAAUUUAUGAUUUCUCAAAAAAAAAUUAAUGCUUUGCUUGAAGAAAAAUUGCUCAAAGUUGAUGAUUUGGCUAGGAACGUUGAUAGACUUUCGCUUGAUGUUGAUUCUCUUAAACUUAGAUCUUCUUCUCCUAAGCAUGAUAUCAAUGAUUCUCUCAAAGCAAUGAGAAUUUACAUUGAUGAGUGCAAAGAAAGAACCGCUAGAUUGCGUGCUAAGAAAGAUUGCUUUGUAAAGGCGCGUUCUUCUAGUUUCCAUGAAAAUAAUGAUGAAGAUCUUAAAGUUAUUUCUCCUAUUAGAUCUAUGUUUUGCAAUAUGAAUCUUGAUAAUUAUGGGACUGAUGAUGAGUCAACUUUACCUAGAAGGCGUCCCAAGAAUUCAGAGUUUUUAGAUCUUGAUGCUAAAUUUGGUAAAAGUGGGAUUGGAGAGGUCACAACUUUAAAUAGCAUUGAACCCACUAUCUCGGAUUUCAAGGAUUUUGAUUAUGAUAAUUGUUCUUUAGAAGGUUGUAUUUCCUUGUUGCAAUCCGUUGUUAAUUCUCCUCAUGCUUAUAGUCAAAAUAAAGCUUUUACCAAACAUAUUGUUGAUGCCUUGAUGCAAUCUUAUGAUGAAAGACUUAAUUUGGAAGUUUCUAUACCUAGAAAACUUAAUGAUGAGUGGGAACCUACUAUAAUGAUUAGAAUUAAAGAUCAUGAGUGUUUUGCUUUAUGUGAUUUGGGUGCUAGUGUUUCCACGAUUCCGAAAAAUUUAUGUGAUAUUCUAGGUUUCCAUGAUCUUGAUGAUUGCUCUUUAAAUUUGCACCUUGCGGAUUUCACCAUUAAAAAGCCAACGGAAGGAUCAAUGAUGUUCUCAUUGUUGCAAAUAGAAAUUUGGUGCCCGUAGAUUUUGUCGUUCUUGAUAUAGAUUGCAAUCUUUCUUGCCCUAUUAUUCUUGGUAGACCUUUCCUUAGAACGAUUGGCGCGAUUAUUGAUAUGAAGGAAGGGAAUAUUAGAUUCCAAUUUCCAUUGAAGAAAGGCAUGGAGCACUUUCCAAGAAAGAAAGUCAAAUUACCUUAUGAAUCCAUCAUGCAGGCUACUUAUGAAUUUAGUGCCAAAGAUGGCCCUCGUUAGAUCUAUCUUCACUUUUAUGCCUAGCUAGGGGCGUUAAACGAUAGUGCUAGUUGGGAGGCAACCCAAUUUUCUUUGUGUUUUUUGUUUUGUUCCUGUUUAGUAAUAAAUCUUGCAUCUACAUUAUGUUUAGAUGUGUUUUUAUCUUUUAAUUAGUGUUUGUGCCAAGUAGAACCUAUAGGAUAACCUAUGAUGAUAGUUGAUUUGAUUCUGCUGAAAAACAGAAACUUUGCGUGCACGAAUUUAGUUUUGUUAAAUCAGAGAAACGUAAUUUUGCGUUGAUUAUUUUUUCUGAUGAUCAAUAAUUUUUUUCCAGGACUUCCUAUUUUGGUAGGAUUUUUAUAAUUCCAUAAGUUUGCAUUAGUUACAGAUUGCUACUGUUUUUGACAGAUUCUGUUUUUCGUGUGUUGUUUGCUUAUUCCGAUGCAUCUAUGGCUAGUAAAAUAGUUAAUAAACCAUAGAGAAGUUGGAUUACAGUAGGUUUAACACCAAAAUAAAUAAAUAAUGAGUUCAUUACAGUACCUUAUGUGGUGGUUUUGUUUUCUUUCACUAACGGAGCUUAUAAGAUUUCCUGUUGAGUUUUGUGUUGUGAAGUUUUCAAGUUUUGGGUAGAGCUUUUAUGGACUAUGGAAUAAGGAGUGGCAAGAGCCUAAGCUUGGGGAUGCCCAAGGCACCCCAAGAUAUUCAAGCAUAGCCAAAAGCCUAAGCUUGGAGAUGCCCCGGGAAGGCAUCCCCUCUUUCGUCUUCGUUCAUUGGUAACUUUACUUGGAGCUAUAUUUUUAUUCGCCACAUGAUAUGUGUUUUGCUUGGAGCGUCGUGUAUUAUAUUAGUCUUUGCGUUUUAGUUUACCACAAUCAUCCUUGCUGUACACACCUUUUGGGAGAAGCCUAUUUGAUUAGAAUUUGCUAGAAUACUCUAUGUGCUUCACAUAAAUCUUUUGAGCUUGAUAGUUUUUGCUCUAGUGCUUCACUUAUAUCUUUUAGAGCACGACGGUGACUUAUUUUUGAAGAAUUUGCUAGUCUCUCAUGCUUCACUUAUAUCUUUUUGAGUUCUUUUAGAACAGCAUGUUAUUUGCUAUGGUUAUAAAAUUGGUCCUAGAAUGGUAGGCAUCCAAGUUGGGUAUAAUAAAAACUAUCAAAGGAAGUAAAUUGGAUGCUAUGAUCAAUUUGAUACUUGAUAAUUGUUUUGAGAUAGGGAGGUAGUGAUAUUAAAGUCAUGCUAGUUGGGUGAUUAUGAAUUUAAAGAAUGCUUGUGUUGAAGUUAGCAAGUCCCGUAGUAUGCACGUAUGGUUAAAGUUGUGUAACAAAUUUGAAACAUGAAGUGUACCUGGCUUGUGCAUCCUUAUGAGUGGCGGUCGGGGACGAGCGAUGGUCUUUUCCUAACAAUCUAUUCCCCUAGAAGCAUGCGCAUAGUACUUGCUUUUUGGUGACUUCUAGUUUUUUUGCAAUAAGUAUAUGAGUUGUUUUGACUAAUGUUGACUCCAUGGAUUAUACACACUUUUACCUUUCCACCAUUGCUAGCCUCUUCGGUACCGUGCAUUGCCUUUCUCACAUUGAGAGUUGGUGCAAACUUCGCCGGUGCAUCCAAACCCCGUGAUACGAUACGCUCUAUCACACAUAAACCUCCUUAUAUCUUCCUCAAAACAGCCACCAUACCUACCUAUUAUGGCAUUUCCAUAGCCAUUCCGAGAUAUAUUGCCAUGCAACUUUCCACCGUUCCGUUUAUCAUCAUCAUGACAUACUUUACUUUUGUCAUAUUGCCAUUGCAUGAUCAUGUUGUUGACAUCGUAUCUGUGGCAAAGCCACCAUGCAUUAAUUUUUAUACAUGUCACUCUUGAUUCAUUGCACCAUCCCGGUACACCGCCGGAGGCAUUCAUAUAGAGUCAUAUCUUGUUCUAGUUUCGAGUUGUAAUUCAUAUGUUGUAAUCAAUAGAAGUGUGAUGAUCAUCAUUAUUAGAGCAUUGCCCAAAGAAAAAAAAGAAAGGCCACAAGAAAAAAAAGAAGGCCCAAAAAAAGAAAAAAAAGAAAAAAAUAAAUAAAAAGGGCAAUGUUACUAUCUCUUUUUCCACACUUGUGCUUCAAAGUAGCACCUUGUUCUUCAUGUAGUGAGUCUUAUAUAUUGUGCUUCAAAGUAGCACCAUGUUUUUCAUAUAAUGAGUCUCAUAAGUUGUCUUUUUCAUACUAGUGGGAAUUUUUUAUUAUAUAACUUGGCUUUUAUAUUCCUACGAUGGGCUUCCUCAAAUGCCCUAGGUCUUAGUGAGCAAGCAAGUUGGAUGCACACCCACUAGUUUUCUUUUGUUGAGCAUUCAUUCAUAGCUCUAGUGCAUCCGUUGCAUGGCAAGCCCUACUCCUCAUGUUGACAUAAAUUGAUGGGCAUCUCCAUAGCCCGUUGAUUAUCCUCGUCAAUGUGAGACUUUAUCCUUUUUUGUCUUCUCCACACAAUCCCUAUCAUCAUUCUAUUCCACCCAUAGUGCUAUAUCCAUGGCUCACGCUCAUGUAUUGCCUGAAGGUUGAAAAAGUUUGAGAUUAUUUAAGUAUGAAACAAUUGCUUGGCUUGUCAUCGGGGGUAUAGAAGUUGGGAACAUCUUUGUGUGGCGAAAAUGAAGCAUAGCCUAACUAUAUGAUUUUGUAGGGAUGAACUUUGUUUUUCCAUGUUAUUUUGAGAAGACAUGAUUACUUUGAUUAGUAUGCUUGAAGUGUUACUAUUUCUUUUAUCAACAUGAACUUUUAUUUUGAAUCAUUUGGAUCUGAACAUUCAUGCCACAAUAAAGAAAAUUACAUUAAGAAUUAUGCUAGGUAGCAUUCCACAUCAAAAAUUCUCUUUUUAUCAUUUACCUACUCGAGGACGAGCAGGAAUUAAGCUUGGGGAUGCUUGAUACGUCUCCAACGUAUCUAUAAUUUUUGAUUGUUCCAUGCUAUUAUAUUACCCCUUUUGGAUGUCUAUGGGAUUUAUUUUACACAUUUAUAUCAUUUUUGGGACUAACCUACUAACCGAAGGCCCAGCCCGUAUUGUUGUUUUUUUCUUGCCUAAUUCAGUAUUUCGAAGAAAAGGAAUAUCAAGCGGAGUCCAAACGGAAUGAAACCUUCGGGAGCGUGAUUUUUGGAACAAACGUGAUCCAGAGGACUUGGAGUGCAAGUAAACAAGCAGCCGAGGCCUCCACGAGAUAGGAGGGCGUGCCCCCACCCCUAUAGGGCGCUCUCCCUGUCUCGUGGGCCCCUCGGGCGUCCAUCGACGUACUUCUUCCUCCUAUAUAACCCUACAUACCCGAAAACAUCCAGGGAGCCAACAAAAAACAAUUUCCACCGCCGUAACCUUCUGUAUCCGUGAGAUCUUAUCUUGGAGCCUUCGCCGGCACUCUGCCGGAGGGGGAAUCGACCACGGAGGGCUUCUACAUCAACAUCCUUGCCCCUCCGAUGAGUUGUGAGUAGUUUACCACAGACCUACGGGUCCAUAGUUAUUAGCUAGAUGGCUUCUUCUCUCUUUUUGGAUCUCAAUACAAUGUUCUCCCCCUCUCUUGUGGAUAUCUAUUCGAUGUAAACUCUUUUUGCGGUGUGUUUGUCGAGAUCCGAUGAAUUGAGGGUUUAUGAUCAAGUUUAUCUAUGAAUAAUAUUUGAAUCUUCUCUGAAUUCUUUUAUGUGUGAUUGAGUUAUCUUUGCAAGUAUCUUUGAAUUAUCAGUUUGGUUUGGCCUACUAGAUUGAUCUUUCUUGCCAUGGGAGAAGUGCUUAGCUUUGGGUUCAAUCUUGUGGUGUCCUUUCCCAGUGACAGCAGGGGCAGCAAGGCACAUAUUGUAUUGUUGCCAUUGAGGAUAACAAGAUGGGGUUUAUAUCAUAUUGCUUGAGUUUAUCCCUCUACAUCAUGUCAUCUUGCUUAAUGCGUUACUCUGUUCUCUAUGAACUUAAUACUCUAGAUGCAGGCAAGAGUCGGUCGAUGUGUGGAGUAAUAGUAGUAGAUGCAGGCAGGAGUCGGUCUACUUGUCAUGGACGUGAUACCUAUAUACAUGAUCAUGCCUAGAUAAUCUCAUAAUUAUUCGCUUUUCUAUCAAUUUCUCGACAGUAAUUUGUUCACCCACCGUAAUACUUAUGCUAUCUUGAGAGAAGCCACUAGUGAAACCUAUGGCCCCAGGGUCUAUCUCUUAUCAUAUUUGCUCCCAAUCUACUUUUAUUUGCAUCUUUACUUCUUGCAUCUAUAUUAUAAAAUACCAAAAAUAUAUUUAUCUUAUCAUACUAUCUUUAUUAGAUCUCACUUUUGCAAGUGGCCGUGAAGGGAUUGACAAGCCCUUUAUUGCAUUGGUUGCGAGUUCUUUGUUUGUUUGUGUAGGUGCGUGGGACUUUUGAGGAGCCUCCUACUGGAUUGAUACCUUGGUUCUCAAAAACUGAGGGAAAUACUUACGCUACUAUUGCUGCAUCACCCUUUCCUCUUCAAGGAAAACCAACGCAAGCUCAAGACGUAGCACAUACCAUUUGGAAAUACCAAAAUGGUACUUGCUUCACAAUGCUUCAUUCUGACCAGAAACUUAGAAAAAUUGCACAGGGAAAAUGGAUUAAUGAAUUGAGCCAAAACUUGGUGGAGGGAUUUUAUAUAGAUAGGAGAAUGUCCUGGUAAAUUUUCAGCUUAAAUGAAGAAAUAUAAAAUAUGGUUGCUUCACAAACUGAAAAUCUGUCCAGAAACUAAGAUUUGGAGCUGUCCUCACAUAGAUGAGUUACAUGAGCUCAAAUUUGGUGGAGAGUGAUGAUUUGCUCAAAUGAAGGACCUUGCAAAAUUUCAACUCAUUUUUAUAUGCCUAGCUUGUACUUCCUUCACAAUGACUUCCCUCAGACAGGAACUUUGAAAAAUUUCUCAGGAAUAUUUACAAGGCAAAUUGAGUUUAAUUUGACAUGGGGCAAUUAUAUGGACAGGAAAAGAUGUCUGAAAUUUUGAGGUCAAUCAAGCAUAUAUAAAUGGCACUUGCUUUGUAAAGUGCCAUGUAGGGCAGAAUAGGAAAAUAAUUAUUGGAUGAGGAUUUUUUUAACAUGGCAAUGAAAUGUUUUGCCAUAUUUGAGCAAGAUAGGACCCAAGAAAUUUAUGAGAAUUAUUUGGGGAUUUUGGGAGUGACAGAAAGAUAGGUUGCUUCACAACCUAGAUCAAAUAGGGUUAUUCCUUUUUUGUUAAAGGAAUAUUCCUUAGAAAAAGAAUAUUGGAUUUGGGCUAGGAAAAAAAUGACAUGAUCUAGGGAUGAUGAUGAGGAUGGCAAGCCACUAUAAAACCUAGGAAGGCAUGAUCUUCCCAAGUUUCAGAACCACAUGGCCACGGAAAAACAAAUCAAAUCAAGAAAUCCAAGAAAAUCAUCAGAAAAAGAAAAGGGCAAAAUCGAGGAUGUUGCAAGCCUUCCCCCUUUAAAGAAAUCUCGUCCUCGAGAUUUGGUUGCUUAGGGAACAAGUAAAAAUUCUGACUUGAAGAAACUGUUUCCAACUCGGGUUUCUCUUAUUUACUCUCAUAUAAUGUUCCCACUGAAUUUGAUCUGACUGACUGCCUUGAUCUGGGAUGGUUUGCUUCACUGUAUCUGACAUCCUGAGAGGACUUACCUCAUAUGUUCUUGUACAUACUGACUCAAUUUUUUCUUUCAUAUCUGCUGGCUUAGCUGGGAUCUGAAAGAUUAUCAUUACUGACAUAUGUGUCCUUCUCGAUAUUGAUCCUUGCUGGAGAUGUUAUUAGCGUAUCAAGUACCAAGAAUAUUCCACGGGGUUGGGAACACAUCUUCCCGUGGAACAAGGAAUCUCUUCGAUAUAGGCAUCGUGCUGCUCAAAUAUAUGCAUGCCUUCUGGGUUCAACACAGUGAUGUGAAUCAUACCUGUUCUUCUAAUAGAUUCUGACAUCUUGCAUGAGUUUCUCACUUAUCUUGACUAGCUUCACAGUCUCGAGUAUCCAAUUUGUACCAAGGGUUUAACUGUCGCUUGAUGUGAUUGAUAGAAAAACACACCAUCUCCUGAUGAUAACAUUUGUAGACUUGACUGGCGGUGAUCUUGGCAAAGAAUCCCAUUCACGACAGGCUAUUCUUUAAUCUAUUCCCAUUUGUGAGAGAUAACAAUCCUCAAAGUAUGUGCUCUCACAUUGAUUCUUCAUUUUGCCGAUAUUCUCAUGUGGAUAGUAGGUUGUACGAUACUUUAGCAUGGUUACUGAGGUCAAUAUGUUGAGUUGUUCUUGGGUUGGACUUGAGAGACUCGGGUAUUCAAUGCUGACAGUUCUGAGCAUACUGUGGACUGAGAUAGUUGCCUUGCUAUGAAUCCCUUACCACAAUAGAGUAGACCUCUUAGGCAUAUCUUCACGGGGUUUGAUAUGAAAUAAGAAUGUAUUGUGCAUUCAUACCACAUUGUUCGCACAAUAACUGGCAUACCUGUAUUAUCGGUCUUCCUCUUUCAUUAUGAUUUUCUAUGUCUGGAUCUUUUUGCCAACAGAACUUGGCCACAUAUACCCUUGAUUAUUUUUGUGACCCUGAGUAUUGUCAUGGGCAAUACCAUGCAAUCAUACCCUGGUUUUAUUCAUGUCUCCAGUCUUGGUAUAUUUAUCCGGCUCAUGUGUGAUUGUACGGAUCUCAUUACUGCUUAUGCAAGGUCUUGACAGGAUUAAUAAUUUCACUUUGCCGGGUGUGAGGAGGCUGACCUCGAUGACUACUGCCAAGAUGGUGUCUCAACAUUGUCUUUCUUCAAGACUUGUCGAUUCUUGCAUCACCCACUGGUUUUCCUUCACUUACAUAUCCAGUGAGAUUGUCGGAUGCGCAUCGUUAAUUCUUCCUUGUGCGAGGGACUUGUAUGAACUUGACAUCAUACUCCUUGUAUGAACAAAUAUCUGAUUCUCGAGGCAUACCUUUGUUUUGACCGAUUCUUGUUUCUGACCCAACUGUUGCAGAUUGACACUUGGAAAACACUGCCAUAUGCUAACAACUCAUUGUUAAUAUCUCGUACCAGUUGUGACGCCCGGAUAAUUAAGCUACAAUAAUCCUAUGUUAAGGGUGCCAUGUCAUCACAUUUACUGUUGCUAAACCUCGCUUGAUCCAAAUCUUAAUUCAAUUGAAAUUCAAAUUAAAGUCCAAAAUUCAAAUUCCUCAAACAUGCAUACAAAAAUGUUCAUAAUGUUGCAAAUAAUUGCUUAGUAUUUUUCAUGUUGGAACCAACUUCUUUUGGAUUCCCAAAGUGCCCCUGGAAAGUUGUUCAGUGGACCAUCAACCAUUUAUUUGACCUUUUCAAUUUCUAAAAAUAGUUGAACACUCCCAAAUGCUUUGAAACUUUUUGUACCAACCCUGGUUAUUGCCUGUAAUUUUUGUACCAAGUUUUGUAUUAAACAAAACUCUUUUAGUAGCUCAAGUAAAAUGCAAAGUAGUAAAGAAAUAAAUAAAACAUAAAAAUAAAAAGGGUAAAGGCCUAUUCUAUUGGGCACUAUGGCGCGUCUAGCAAACAGGCCGACCCAGCCACCUCACUCAUUCCUUCCUCAUGCUAUAGAGGACAUGGGUGGGCGUGGCGGCCAUCCACCAGCCAUGGCCACGCCAGGGCGUGUGUGGCGGCCAUCGGUCGUGCCCUUCCCCCUACAAAACCCCCGGGUCGAACCCGAUUCCUCCCCCACUCCCUCUCCCUCUCGUUCCUCCCUCCAGAUCCGCCGCACCCGAGCCGGGAGCUCAUCGCGCCACCACCAUCAGCAUGCUUCGGUGCCAGCCCGUGCUGCAGCAGGGCGUCCAGGAGCUACCUCUUCCUCGCCUACGUUGUCUACCCCUCCCCGUCGAGCCACACUACACCGGACGGCCGCGUGACGCCGCCCCCAACCUCAACUUCCUCGUCGGGCUCCGGUGGCCAGUGUCGAUCUGCGCACCCUCGAGCUCCUUCGGCGUCCCCGGGCCUUCUCGUCAAUGCUGUGAGCACCUGCACGAAUCUCCUUUACCUGCUGCUCGACUCGUUGCUCCUAGCUACUGCCACCAUCGAUGUCGAGCUACGCUGCCACCGCUACGCCUUGCUCAUUUUCAUCGUGAAACGAUGAACCCGAGCACCCAGUGCUCCGGCCAUCACCUGCCAUCGCUACAGCCCUCACCUCCGCCCCCAGCUUUUGCCGGUGCAUCCAUGUACGCCCGCGAUCACCCAGCGCUACCUGCUGCUUGCUAUCGUAGUCACGCGCCCGGAGCUCUGCUCCCCUAGCCGAACCCCACCCCAUCGCAUGCCCCCCUUGCCCCGGUGCGCAUGCUGCCGGCCCGCGCUCAUGCGUCUCCCCUGGUCGCACCCUUGCUCCCCUAACGCUAGUGUCGCUACCACCUGCUCUUUACUGCUACUCCCGCGGCUGCUCGCCGCCUGUGCCGCAUGCGCCCACAGUAACCCUCCCGCCACCGCUGUUGCCCUGACGCCUCCAGCGCCGGCGCCGCCCGCUGCCAGCCGCGCCUCGCUGCCAUAGCCGCCCCGCGCUGGUUGCUCUCUAGCGCCCGCUGGGCCCCACCAUGGUCGCGUCCCUCCUCCGCCUCCCUGGCCUCCGUCGCACUGUGCCCUGUCGGCCCAGCGCCGCAGUCCGCCGCCCGCCAUUCCCCAUCACCUGAGGGCCUGCUCCUCGCCGGCGGCCACCCGCCCAGGGCUGCCACCGACCGUGGCCAUGGCCUCGCCGGCCCUGCUCCGCGAGCGCCCACCCGGGGCUUGCGCCCGACCCCAUGGCUCUACCCGUUAACCCGCCCCGCUGGGCUGGCCUUGUGGCACCGCUAGUGGGCCCCACGCCCCCUUUUCUGUAAACCAAAAAAUGAAUUAGUAAAAACAAUUAAUUAAUUAAUUGACAUUGUUUGUUUAUCCUAAUUAACUUGAUUAGUUUAACUUAAUCUGCUAAUUAAACUGUAUAAUAUGUAAUUAGUUAGCUGUGAGUAUGACAGGGGCCCCCACCCCCUGUUGACCAGUCAAAUGUUGACUGGUCAACUGGGACCCCUGGCCCACCUGUCAGCCACUAGGUGCAAUUCUAUGUACCCUGUGCUGGGUGCACCUAGCAUUUAACCUGUAUUUUCCAAUUAAUAGUAAUUUCAAAAUAGUAUUAAAACUUUGAAAAAUCAUAUAAAAGAAACCAUAACUCGGAUGAAAAUGUUUUCUACAUGAAAGUUGCUCACAAAGACGAGACGGAUCUGAAUACGCAACCCAUUCGUCUGCCACACGUCCCUAGCAUAGCGAACCUGCAACUGUCCCCCUCCGUUUCAUUUGUCCGAAAAUGCCAAACUUCGGGAAAGCUUUCCCAAAUGUUAUGCCCCUUCGCCGGUAUCGUGUAGCCCUGCGUUAGCACACUCCUAGCUCUGCUUAUUUUCAUGUCAUGCACUUGUUUGCUCUGUAUUUACUGUUUCUUCCCCCCCUCUUCUCUGGUAUAGCACGAGACCAUUGUUGAUGCCGUUGUGAUCGACAUCAUCGACGACUCUUCUUCCUUUUCAGCGGAGCUUCAAGGCAAGCCCCCCCUUUGAUCAUCCCGAUAUCUCCCAUUCCAUUCUCUCAUGCUUGCAUUAGAUUUUGCUACUGUUAUUGUUUCCUCCUAUUCUGAUGCAUAGCCUGCUUUUGUGACGUUCUCAUUGUACCUUACCUGCUUAUCCCAAACUGCUUAGCAUAGGUUGUUUAGUGAUCCAGCAGUGACCCCCACCAUGUACUUGUUGCCCCUGCUUCAUCAUCGACGACUCAAUCAACGUGAUCGACGACCAGAGCCCGACACCUCACAUCACAUCACGCCCCUUUUGUUGCUUGACUCUGCAGAGCUACGAUGGAGUGUCGAGGGUGAUACCUCACAACGCACUCCUGAUGACAACUCUGUAUUGUUGCUAUUCGGUCGUGGUCAACGAGGGUGGUUCCUCCUUCACCAUUCUUGAUACGGCUCUAUCAUGCAACACCUCAAGUGUGAACCUCGAGGGUGGUUCCUCAUAUGUUCACCUUGAUGAUUACAUUGAGUGGAAUCCACCGAGGGUGAUUCCUCAUGUUUUCCCCUUGAUGUUUGGACACACGGUUACCUUGACUUUACUUGAGACCAUUGUUGAAGUCGGGUCGGCCCUGAGGGGUACCCGCGAGUUGAUAUGAAAGUCGGGCGGGCCUGUAGAGCACCCGUGAGUUUUCUACAUGGCACAGCCGUGCAUUCUGGGCCCUUGCCGUAAGUCCAUGAGACGGGGCGACGGGGUCACAUUAUCAUGAGUCUCUGCUCCUCUCCGCGAGCCCCCAAUGCACUAACAGGUUUGGGUAUUUGUCCUAAGUUGGCCUUUGGCCUUUACGCACUGACCACCACGUGAGAAUAGAUAUGGGCCUUGACGUCGUGGUAUCAGUCGAAGCUUUGUCAGAUGUCCAGUUCAACAUUGUGGCACGGUCAGAUCGUGCCAUCCACUACACGGGUGGUGCUGGUAUCCACCCUGCACACAAUGACCCGGAGUGCAAUGGGCAAUGGGCCCAGACCCCAGAGUGCUUAGGAUGUAGACCGACGGUGACCUCUCUAUUGAGCCUAGGUAGGGAUACUAUGUGUUGAUCUUCCGAGGCUGGGCAUGACCCAGGAAAGUGUGUCUAGCCAGAGUAAUCAAGCAUGUUGGAAAACGUGGUGCACCCCUGUAGGGAAGAUAUAUAUUCGAAAAUUGUGUCCACAGUAAUGGACGUUCAGACUGGUAUCCUGAUCUAUUAUAACUAAAACUAGUUCCUUGCGACAUGUGAUGGAUAUGUGGCUCCGGGAUUGCUUUCUCGCAGGGAGUCGAGGAAGGAUCUCUGGGCGUUAAUGAUACAACAUGCUUGUUAAAUAUAAACUGUUAUUCUUUAGUAUUCUACAUGCUGCAAGAUGCUUGGAGCUGCUUGAAGAUGCUAGUCUUUGAUAGGCUAGGCCUUCCCCUCUAUUCUGGCAUUCUGCAGUUCGGUCCACAGAUACAUACCUUCCAUUGAUACCAAUGCAUAAUUAUAAUAGAUCUGAUGCUUGUGAGUACUUUGGAUGAGUACUCACGAUUGCUUUGCUACCCCUUUCCCCCCUUCUUUGUUCUUUCUAGUUGUUGCAACCAGAUGGUGGAUCCCUGGAGCCAGAUGCCACCGCCGACAGAUACUACUACAUGGAGGUCACCGAUGACCAGGAGUAUUUAGGAGGUCCCAGGCAGGAGGCCUUGCCUCUUCGAUCGUUGUUUCCUUUGUGCUAGCCUUCUUAUGGAAGUCUUGUCUAACUUAUGUAUGUACUCAGAUAUUGUUGCUUCCGCUGACUCUUGUGUAUCGAGCUAUGUAUUCAAGCCCUCAAGGCCCCUGGCUUGUAAUGUAAAGCUUGUAUUAUUUUGAUUUGUGUCUAGAGUUGUGUUGUGAUAUCUUCCCGUGAAUCCUGAUCUUGAUCAUAAACAUUUGCGUGUAUGAUUAGUGUACGGUCGAAUCGGGGGCGUCACACCAGUGUCGUACUAAAGAAGACUAGGCAGCUUGCGUUGGAAACCACCGGGAUAUCGUGCUGAGGAAUACUGGAUGGCUUAUGCUCAAAGCCUUCAGUGGAUAUCUUGCCGAGGAAGGCUGGGUAGCAUACCUUAGAAGCUUCCCCCCUUAAAGACUUGCUGGGGAAGACUAUGUACCUUAUUGUUGGCAUCCUGGGAACGGGGGUACCCAGACUUGCCUGCCCGCGGCCCACGGUGUGGCUCCGUCAACGGCCCGGUAUGACCCAACUUUAGCAACACUCGCGAGGGGCUAAGCCUCGUGAGGGGGACGACACCAAGACCUCCCUGGGAGGCGGCCUCGCUAGGCUGGCUCCCGAGGAGCGGAGAUAUCUAUGCAAGAUGAACCUCGCGAGGUUCAUAUGACGUGCGCCAUGAUGACCAAGGCCAUGCAUGCGCCAGUGGGAGCAGUGUACCAGUUUCCUCUUUGGUGCUAAGGAGGCAAGCGCAGGCGUGGUGUCCCGAGGAGUCAAGCAAAGGUUUACAUAUCGGUGAAACAAGACCAAGACCGCAAGGAAGGUAGGACAGAGAUCAUCGCGGAGACCACCGCAAUGUCACCACCAGAGCCUUUUGCAGGUGAAGACUACUUUUGUCAGGAUAGCUUGUACUAGUUGUCUCCCUUCAAAUUUGGCCGUUGUGGGAUCCCUUCCCGCCUACAUUUGGGAAGAGGGCCAAGGCCACUAUAAAUAGGACUUAGCCACCACCAUAGAGAAGGAGGGGAUCGAUUCCAUCCUGACCAUCUCACCAGCUCAUCGAGCUCAAGAACACCUCACCUCCUGAGGCUGUUCCACCGCUGUACUAGUUCAUCCUCAUCCCCUCAAGGCAAUCCACGACAAAGCUGGAGUAGGGUAUUACACCGCAAGGUGGCCCAAACUAGGGUAAACUAUUUUUUCUCUUGUCCCCUGGGUUCGUCGAGCUAGGCCAUGGAAUCAUUGAGCAGGCAGAUUGGAAAGGGAGAGUUUUUCGCAUGCACCCCAGAGUUUGAACCUCUCAAGGGUCUGCGGAACCCUGAAUCCGACAUUUAGUGCGCCAGUUAGGGGUGCGUCGAAGCUUUCCUUCGCCGUCUUCUUCACCUCACCAACCUGCUCCCAUGGCGAGCACCGCUCCUCCAACAGGAUCGACGCGCGCACGGAGGCGUUGCGGGCUACGGACUUUCACCCCCGCCUUGCGGCAGCUACAGUGGCCACCCAAGUUCAGUUCGGAGAUGCCGCCUUGCUACGACGGUGCAGCGGAACUGGUAGGUUUCUUCCAGGCCUACGAGGAGGCUGUUUGGGCGGCCGGCGGUGACGACAAGGUCAUGGCCAACUAGUUCCCCAUGGCCCUCACUGGCGUACCACGCGCCUGGCUUCUUAGCCUGCCAGGGUCUGAUGUCUACUACUCAACUUUAUUCUUGUAGACACAUGUUGGGCCUCCAAGCGUAGAGUUUUGUAGGACAGUAGCAAUUUUCCCUCAAGUGGAUGACCUAAGGUUUAUCAAUCUGUGGGAGGCGUAGGAUGAAGAUGGUCUCUCUCAAACAAUCCUACAAUCAAAUACAAGAAAUCUCUUGUGUCCCCAACACACCCAAUACAAUGGCAAAUUGUAUAGGUGCACUAGUUGGGCGAAGAGAUGGUGAUAGAAGUGUAAUAUGGAUGGUAGAAAUAUAUUUUUAUAAUAUGAAUAAAUAAAAACAGCAAGGUAGCAAAUAGUAAACGGUCAAAAAACGGUAUUGCAAUGCUUGAAAAUGAGGCCUAGGGUCCGUACUUUCGCUAGUACAAUCUCUCAACAGUGCUAAUGUAAUUGGAUCAUAUAACCGUCCCUCAACGUACAACGAAGAAUCACUCCAAAGUUCCUAUCUAGCGGAGAACAGACGGAAUUGUUUGUAGGCUACGAAACCACCUCAAAGCUAUUCUUUCCGAUCAAUCUAUCCUAGAGUUCGUACUAAAAUAACAUGAAGCUAUUCUUUUCGACCGAUCUAACCAAGAGUUCAUACUAAAAUAACGCCAAAGCAAAUUCAGAUUCAUAAUAUUCAAUCCAACACAAAGAACUUAAAGAGUGCCCCAAGAUUUCUACCAGAGAAACAAAGACAAGAACGUGCAUCAACCCCUAUGCAUAUAUUACUCCAAUGUCACCUCGGGAAUCCGCGAGUUGAGUGCCAAAACAUAUAUCAAGUGAAUCAGUACGAUACCCCAUUAUCACCAUGAGUAUUCAAUUGCAAGACAUAUAUCAAGUGUUCUGAAAUCCAUAAAAGUAUUCAAUUUGAUAACAACGAAAUUUCAAAGGAAAAAUGUCAAUUCAUCACAACAAGAUAGAGAGGGGAAAACACCAUAUGAUCCGGCUAGUACAAACCCUCAGCCCCGAGGGUGGACUACUCCCUCCUCAUCGUGGUGGCCGUCGGGAUGAUGAAGAUGGCCACCGGAGAUGGUUCCCCCCUCCGGCAGGGUGCCAGAAAGGGUCUAGGUUGCUUUUCGGUGGCUACAGAGCCUUGCGGUGGCGGAACUUCUAAUCUAGGUUAACCCUUGAUGUUUUCUCUAUUUACAGGAAUUUUUGGCGUUGGUUUCUAAGAUGGGCCUCGAGGUGAGCACAACCCACCGGGGCAUGAACAAGGGUCCAGGCAUGCCCCGUUGUCUUGUUCCCAACUCCUUCACCUUCUGGUCCUUCCACGAAGCUUCGUGGGUCUCUUUUUUUCGAAAAAAAAUCGUCAAAAAGUUUCAGCUCAUUUGGAGAACUUUCAUUUCUGCACAAAAAACAACACCACGAUAGUUCUGCUAAAAAUAGCGUCAGUCCAGGUUAGUUCCAUGCAAAUCAUACAAAACCAUAUAAAAUUGUUGUAAACAUGGCAUGAAUACUUCAUAAAUUAUAGAUACGUUGGAGACGUAUCAGCAUCCCCAAGCUAAAUGAUAAAAGAAAUAAUUUAUGAAGUGUGAAUGCUAGCAAAGUGUAUAAGUUUGAUCAAUGAUAAUUUCAAUCACUUUUCCUAGCAUCAUAACAACAACUCUUUCUCAUAAAACUUAUCAUGAUAAAGUAGCAAUUGAAAAUAGAAUAUUUGUUUUGGAAAGCUACCUAUCAUAUUCACCACAUAUUAUUUUCUUUAUAGCAUGGACAUUGGGACUUUUAUAUGGUUCAGAGCAAUAGUCUAGUUUUGACACGAGACUUAAAUACUCAAGCAUAUCAACAAGCAACCAUGUCUUUCAGAAUAUCAACGCUAAAAUAAGUUAUCCCUUAGCCCAUCAUGCUCAAUCAUCGAUCCAUUCAUGAAACAUACUCGCAUAUUAGCUACACCCAAUGCUCAAGUACGAUCAUAGUGCCUCCUAGUUGGUGCUUUAUAAGAGAAGAUGGAGACUCAAAUUCAAAAUAAAACUUGCAUAAAGUAAAAGAAAGGCCCUUCGUAGAGGGGAGUAGGGAUUUGUAGAGGUGCCAGAGCUCAAAGCAAAAAUUGAGAGAUAGAAACAUUUUGAGUGGCAUACUUUUCCCACCAAUGAAAACGACUUAGAGCUCCCAACACUUUCCAUGCUAGAUAUACCAUAUGCGGUCCCCAAACAGAAAAUAAAGUAUAUUCCUUUUUCCACCAUACUUUGACUUUCCAUGGCUAGUCGAUUCCAUAGUUGCCCUCCAUACCAACACUUUCCAAGGAAUUUAUUAUUUGACAACAUAAAGUAAAUUCAUUUUUCAUCCCGGGAUUGGGCAUCCCUAAUACCUUUGCCUUACUCUCGUGCAAUGACAAGUGAAUAAACACUCAUCGUGAGAAUAACACAUCUAGCAUGGAAAAUAUUGGCCACCCCUCACCGCCUCGCGAGCGGUACGAGCACAGAAAAGAGAGAUUUAUUUUGAAAAUUAGAGAUGGCACAUACAAAUUUGCUUAGAAUGUCAAAAGAAUACCGCAUAUAGGUAGGUAUAGUGGACUCAUGUGGCAAAACUGGUUUAAAGGAUUAUGGAUGCACAAGUAGUGAUCCUACUUAGUGCAAAAUGAAGGCUAGCAAAAGACUGGGAAGUGACCAACCAAGAAACGAAUAAUCUCAUAAGCGAGCAUUGAGCAUAAUUAACACCGAAUAAUGCAUCACAAGUAGGAUAUAAUUGCAUUGCAUAAUUAUUGACUUUCUUGCUUGCAUAGGGAAUCACAAACCUUAACACCAAUAUUCUUACUAAAGCAUAAUUACUCAUCAAGUUGACUCACAUACCACAUCAUCAUAUCUCAAAACUAUUACUAAGAAUCAAGUUUAUUUUGUCCAAUGAUCUUCAUGAAAGUUUUUAUUAUAUCCUUCUUGGAUAUCUAUCACUUUGGAACUAAUUUUCAUAUGUUGCUUUUGAAAAGCUCAAACAAAUAUAAGUGAAGAUCAUGAGCAUAUUUUUUUUCUCAAAUUAAUUUAAGUGAAGCAAGAGGUAAUUUCUUAAAAAAUACUAAAGCACACUGUUCUCAAAAAGAUAUAAGUGAAGCACUAGAGCAAUUCCAUUGAACAGAGCUUCAUUGACGGGAUGUGCGUACCGCUUACCUAGCCUCCCUGGCAACUAUUUGAUGACUCUAUUUUAUUUAAAAACUUUCAGAUCUAAGUAUCUUAAUAAAACAGCAAGCAAAACAAAAUAAAAUUACAUUCUAAGAAUAGCACAACUCAUGUGGAGAAGCAAAAACUUAGGCUCAAUCGAUACAACCGAUAAUUGUUGAAGAAGAAAAGUGGGAUAUCUACCGGGGCAUCCCCAAGAUUAGAUGCUUGGGACGUCUUGAAAUAUUAUCUUGGUAUGCCUUGGUCAUCCCCAAGCUUGAGCUUUUGUGUCUCUUUAUUCUUCUCAUAUCACGGUUUUCCCAAAUCUCAAAAGCUUCAUCCACACAAAACUCAAUAAGAACUCGUGAGAUAAGUUAGUAUAAACCAAUGCAAAAACCUUAUCAUUCUCUACUGUACCAAAUCACUAAAAUUAUUAUUCAACAUCGAAUACUAAAUGCCUUUGCAUAUUUAAUACUCCUAUCCUCAAAUACAAUCAUUAAACACGCUCUGCCGGGGAGCAAAAGUGCUCCUACCCAAGUACCACCUCGAGACGGCGGUGCUCCGUCCUGAAAGUCAUGUCCUUUUUUUCUCUAGGGCAAUUGGGCUUAUAUACCAGAAGUUGGGCACCGGAGGUUGGCUAGGGGCCCCACAAGCCACCAGGGUGUGCCUUGGGGGGUGGGCACACCCUGGUGCCUCAUGGGCACCUGGGUGGCCUCCUCUGGUACAUCAUUGCUCCAGUAUUUUUUGUUUAUUCCAUAAUAGAUCUCCGUAAAAUUUCAACUCAUUUGGAGAUGUUCAGAAUAGGUAUCUCUGACAUUAGCUUUUUCAGGUCCAGAAUUCCAGCUCCCGGCAAUCUCCCUCUUCAUGUAAAUCUUGCAUAUUAAGAGAGAAAAGAUAUUAGAAUUGCUCCACAAAGUUUUAUCUUCAUUAAAAACACUAUAAAUAACAGUAGGAAAACAUGAUGCAAAAUGGAUGUAUCAAUGAUAUGAACAUGCCAUGCACAUUAACUAAAAGAGAUACAAUGAUUGUCUUUUGCCCUGCAUCUACUCCAUCCGUCCGGUGAAGAGUAUACGUUUGUCUUUAAAAUUUGUCCACAAAAGAGUGUACUUAUAUCUUCCCAACGCAUUUUAAAGUAGAAAAAAUAUUUUUCUCUCAUCACACGAUAAUCAAGACUAAUAACAUUCUACUCAUGCUCUCCUUAAUUUCUACAUGCACUUAGCUCAUUGGGGAUUGGGUAAUUAAAGAGGAGAGAUAUGAUGGCUUGCAUCUUCCCAAUGCAUUUUGCACCACUCCAUAAUUUGACCUAAAAUUUCUAAAUGUACACUUUUCAUAGGGCCAUCUAACUAAUCUACUAAUAAGAAACAUGGGUCGGUCCCAAUUAGCCCGGUCGACCCCUACGUGCAAUGUCCCAAGGCCACGACUAGGUGCACUAACCAGUGAGGCCAGCGGUGGUGGCCACCGUGCGGGGGAAGCUGGGUGUGGUCCUGGCAGGCGCGUGCAGUAGUGGCGGCAGGCUGAGCACACAGAAGAGAGCAGCGGCAGCGUGCAGGAGGGUGGUGAGUUGAUGAGGGGUAGCUGCAACAGCGAUAGGAGAAGUAGAGGCAACAACGCAGGGUCGUGGCGAAGCGCGGGUGCACACUAUGCACGCGCGUGAGGGCCCAGGCAGGGGCGUGCAAGCGCAGCCAAGGUGCGUCCUAGGAGAGGAAGGCUGUGGGCAUGCAUAUGCGCGCUGAGUGGAGCUCCAGUCAUGGCAGCCGAACGCGGGGGGAGGCCAAACAAUGACAGACCAAGGCCGAAAGAAGGGCGAUUCGAGGGAGGAGCUCACCACAGGGUAGAAGGCGUUCUCGAGGAGGACGGGGACAGGCUGGAGAGGCAGUGGUGACGCUAAGACGGCGACGAUGUGUGGCGGGCGGAUGAAGAACAUGAAGAUGGUGUCGGCUCGAGGACGUCCCGGCUUGAGCUAGUCCUCGGGAUAGACGAAACCGACCGCGGUGGACCCUUUGGAUGUGUUCUCACACGCCGGAGUUGGCUGUGACCGCGACGAUGAUGGCGAGGCAGCGGUGACCGUGACUACUUCAAGCUCGAUUCCGAGAAGAAGAGGAAGGAGGCGAAGGGGGAAUGAGCUAGACGGAUGCUAGGGUUUUGGUGGAUGCCUUUGUAGGCCGAGGGAGCAUGUGGAGGCCAUCCAUGGCCAUGGUACCAUGGAUGCACGCCACACCCAGGCCUCUGCAUCCCCAUUGUACAGAGGUGGGGGAGAGGCUGUCAUGGGCUGGGCUUUGGGGCACUGUGGACACUUGAGCCCAUAUGCACAAUAGUUUAGCUCCUUUUCCUUUUAUUCUUUUACAUUUUUAUUUUAAUUAUUUCUUUUCUACUUUGCAUUUUAUUUUAAAACCAAUUGACUUUUGUUGAAUCUGAAAAUUGGCACAUAAAUAUGAGACAACAUUUUGAGCUAUCACAAACAGUUUCAAUUUAUCUUGAAUUGUUUAACUAUUUGUUUAAAUCAAAAAAGCUCACCUUAAUGGUGUUGGUUCUGUUUUAAAUGAAGAUAAGGGAAUGUUAAUAAUAAGAAGAGAUAUUGGUUUCUUCAUGAAAAUUAGUUAGUGAAUACUUGCAACCCAACGAACAUUUUAAAUUUACCUUCUGAAGAAUUACAAAUUUGACUUGUAUUUAAAUUUGAAUUUGACUUAGGUUUUAACUAGGAGAGACUAAGCUUAGCAAAAUGGGAUGACAUGGCAUCAUUAGUCAGGGAUUCAUUGUAGCAUAAUUACCGGGGUGUUACACCUGCAUUCAACGGGCCAUAAUUGGGUCGGUCCGCAACAUGCUGUAAUGGGGCUGCGGCGGACCUGCCGUAUGGGCCCUUCAUGGAUAUUGAAUGCCUAGGCCCAUAACUCUACUGGGCCUUUAGCGUGCCCAACUUUAGUUCGACCCAUGUAGCUUUGGGCCAUUAACAUGCUGAAUAUUCUGCUGGCAUGUGUUGGCCCACAAGAUACCAUGGGCCUUUAGCAGGCCGAGAAGCAUGUUGGGCCUCAAUUUUUAAGAGUAGUCCUCGGGCCUUGGUUUGCCCAAUCAUAUCAUAGGCCUUUAAUAGGCCGAAAGCUCAGUAGAGGCACCAACGGGCCGAAAUGUAUGACAUGCCUUUAAUUGUCCCAAAGUCAGGUUGGGCUGAAAUGUUGCCACCGAGAUCAUGGGUCAUUAAUGGGCCAAAUGUCAUGUCAGACCAUAAAUGGCCCAUGUGCAACACAGGCCAUUACCAGGCCAAAAGACACAACAGGUUGAAAUGGGCCCAUUUCUACAUCGUGACUCUUUUUUUCGACAGUACACCAAUGGUGUACCUUAGCUUUAUAGAAGGCAGAAAUUUAAUUACAAGAGACCAUUACAAGAUGCAAACAUCCCAAAUGGCAACCCACUGACACCAGACCAACCCGACACACCUAGGCUACUCUCUCACAAAGGGAUCUAAACCUCCGACACUAAAACCGGCCGUUCUCCAAUCCUUAAUCUCUUGGAGUACCCGAUCAACUAACUGUGGAUGAGUUUUUUUGUUGAUGUGGUCGAUUAAACACCCUUGCAUUCCUUUGCUUCCACAAUGCCCCAGCCAUCCCUAUAAAGGAGUCGAAUCCUCGGACGGUCCUACCGAAGAGGUUCCUUCUCUGCUGAAGCCACCAAUCUUGAAACCUGCUCAAGUUCGUCGGAAGGUCGAUGUUUAUCUGGAAGAUGUCGAAGCACCGAUGCCAUACCUCCUCAGCAUAGACGCACUGAACGAGUAUGUGGUCAAUGUGAUCCUCCUCUUGUAGACAUGUGAAGCAAGUGGAAGGCUGGUCUUGUAGUCCGUGUCGAGCUCGCAUGUCCGAUGUCCAUAACCUGUACUGCACCGCUAGCCAUGCAAUUUUUUUGCACCGCAACGGUGCCCAACUCCUCCAUAUGCAAGGCACCAUGUGUGAUCUUGUGAGGCCCAAACACAGCUUUUGAUACACCGAUUUUGUUGUGUAGGCCCCAGUCACGUCGGCUGGCCAAGCGAACUAGUCUUCUUGCUCCUCGUUGCGAGGUGCUGUGGUUAUCGCGAGACAGAGAUUUGCAAUCUGAAUGUGUGCCAUGAAGGAGAUGUCGCCCCGCACAUCGGAGGCCCACACAUUGUCGAUCAAGGCCUGCCGGACCGUUCUGGUGUUGUGAUAACCCAUAAGUAUAGGGGGUCGCAACAGUUUUUUAGGGUAGAGUAUUCAACCCAAAUUUAUUGAUUCGACACAAGGGGAGCCAAAGAAUAUUCUCAAGUAUUAGCAGUUGAGUUGUGAAUUCAACCACACCUGGAAGACUUAAUAUCUGCAGUACAGUAUUUAGUAGCAAAGUAGUAUGGAAGUAACAGUAACAAUGGCAAAGGUAACAGUAGCAGUUGUGUAGUAGUUGUAAUAGUGGCAACGGAAAAGUAACUAAGCAAAGAUCAAUAUGUGAAAAGCUCGUAGGCAUUGGAUCAAUGAUGGACAAUUAUGUCAGAUGCGAUUCCUCAUGCAAUAGUUAUAACAUAGGGUGACACAGAACUAGCUCCAGUUCAUCAAUGUAAUGUAGGCAUGUAUUUCGAAUAUAGUCAUACGUGCUUAUGGAAAAGAACUUGCAUGUCAUCUUUUGUCCUACUCUCCCGUGGCAGCAGGGUCCUAUUGGAAACUAAGGGAUAUUAAGGCCUCCUUUUAAUAGAGUAGUAGACUAAAGCAUUAACACUUAGUGAAUAAUUGAACUCCUCAAACUACGGUCGUCACCGGGAGUGGUCCUGAUUAUUGUCACUUCGGGGUUACCGGGUCAUAACACAUAGUAGGUGCCUAUUGACUUGCAAGAUAGGAUCAAGAACUCACAUAUAUUCAUGAAAACAUCAUAGGUUCAGAUCUGAAUUCAUGGCACUCGGGCCCUAGUGACAAGUAUUAAGCAUAGCAAAGUCAUAGCAACAUCAAUCUCAGAACAUAAUCGAUACUAGGGACCAAACCCUAACAAAAUUAACUCGAUUACAUGAUAAAUCUCAUCCAACCCAUCACCGUCCAGCAAGCCUUGAUGGGAUUACUCACGCAUGAUAGUGAGCAUCAUGAAAUUGGUGAUGGAGGAAGGUUGAUGAUGAUGAUGAUGGCGACGGAUUCCACUCUCCGGAGCCCCGAACGGACUCCAGAUCAUCCCUCCCGAGAGAGAUUAGGGAUUCGUGGCGGCUCUGUACCAUAAAACGCGAUGAAUCCUUCUCUAUGAUUUUUUUCUCCCUGAACAUGAAUAUAUAGAGUUGGAGUUGAGGUCGGUGGAGCCUUAGGGGGGGCCACGAGACAGGGGGGCGCGCCCAGGGCGGUAGGCGCGCCCCCACCCUCAUGGAUAGGGUGUGGGCCCCCUGGUCUUGAUUCUUUCACCAGUAUUUUUUAUAUAUUUCAAAAAUAUUCUCCGUGAAGUUUCAGGUCAUUCCACAAACUUUUAUUUCUGCACAAAAAUAACACCAUGGCAAUUCUGCUGAAAACAUUGUCAGUCUGGGUUAAUUCCAUUCAAAUCAUGCAAGUUAGAGUCCAAAACAAGGGCAAAAGUAUUUGGAAAAGUAGAUACGAUGGAGACAUAUCAUGUUGCAGGCCCGAGCGCUGACGAGCUCCAUGAUCAUUGGAGCAAUUUCGGCGACCGUAAAACCGUGGAUCCACCUAUCUCUCCAGAAGAGUACUUUUUGGCCAUUGCCCAGCGAGAUCUUCACCAAAGAGUUGAAUACCAGUUUAGCCUCAUCGUCUUCCACCAUUGGUAUGCCCUGCGACGACCUACUUGGAUCUGUUUGGCGCAGCCACUCCCACCUGACCCUGAGAGAAAUUGCCUAUAUCCUGAGAUACUUCACCCCCAAGCAGCCAAAAUAAGUUGGCCUGCACACCAUCUCCCAGGCAACCAGGCAUUGGCCUCCAUUCACCUUCUCCUUCCCCGCCCAAAAAAGGCACGAAUACAUUUUUCAAUGUCCUUGAAGACCCAUUUCGGCGCAUCGAGAACCAAAAGCUGGUGGAUCGGCCUUGCCGAGAUCACGUACUUGACCAGAACAAGGCGUCCAUGCCUCUGAAUCAAUCCAUGUUGCCAGGCUGGGAUGAAUUUCCUUGCCUGGUCUACCAACGGAUGCCAAUCCCCUCGAGUGAGAACUUUCAUUGCGAGCGUGAUACCCAGAUAUAUGCAGGGGAAAGCACCCAUCUGGCACUGCAAGAUGAUAGCCACCUGAUGUCUCUCCUCCUCGGUUCCUCUGAUCAAGAUCAUCGCAGAUUUGGCGUAGUUAAUCCUCAAGCCAGAAGCUAUGCCAAAAGCAUCAAGGACAGCUCGUACGCAGUGUAGAUCUUGCGUGGAUGGCUUGAUGAAGAUUGCAACAUCAUCCACAUAUAUUGACAGCCUUUGCAAAGGCGAAAUUCCUCGGAACGAACUGAGCGUGCCCUCCUCAGAUGCCUUGCAGACAAGGGCCGUAAGUGCAUCCAUGCUUAUUACGAACAGAAGAGGUGAGACCGGAUCCCCUUGCCACAACCCUUGGGCAUGGAAGAUGGAUCGUCCUGGAACACCGUUGAUUAUGAUUUUCGUACUCGUCGUGGUCAACAAGGCGACUACCCAUUGAAUCCAUCUAUCUCCGAACCCUCUCUCUCUCAAAACCUCCAUCAAGAAUGCCCAUGAUAGUGAGUCGAAUGCCUUGGAGAUAUCCAACUUAAGGAAGAGUCCAGAGGUCUUUGAAUUAUGAAUUUUCUGGGCCACCUAGCGGACUAGAAGGAAGUUAUCGUGAAUACUUCUGCCUCUGAUAAAUGUUGAUUGGUUUGUGCUGACGAUCUCGUGCAUCCUCUUGUGUGCCCGAGUGCCGAGCAGUUUGGCGAACAGCUUGGAAAAGCUAUGGGGGAGGCUGAUUGGCCUGUAGUCACCCACCUCAAUGGUGUCGGCCUUCUUAGGGAUCAGCACCAUGUGAGCUUUAUUGAACCUACCGAAUCCCUUGUAAUCCUCCAUGAAGAGUUUAAACAACACUGCCAUUAUAUCCUUCUUGAUCACCGACCACGCUCUCUGGUAGAAGGUACCAAUGAAGCCGUCGGGGCCGGGCACAUGAUCUGGAGGGAUUGCCUUGAUAACCUCCCAAACCUCCUCUUCCGUAAAUAUGGCUUCAAGCUCGAAAAGCUAAAGAUGCGACAAACCCAAGUACUGGAGAUCGAGUGAAUGAUCUUUAGCUAGCACCUUACCCAACAGACUAUCGUAGACCUCCGUGAAGACCUCCUCCAUCCUCCCUUGAUCCGUGACAAUCUCCGAUCCAUGCCUGAUUUUAAGGAUGAAAUUCUUAGAUCUCCUUCCGUUGGCACCGCCUGGAAGAGUUUUGUAUCCGCGUCCCCUUCUUUCAGCCAUCUGAUACAUGAUCUUUGUCGUUCGAUGGUCCGCUCAAGCGAAGCCAACCCGAGGAGGGAGAGCUUCAAGGUUCUCCGUAACCAUAGUUCCAUGUCAGUCAGGAUCCUCACUUCCUGCACUUGGUCGAAUCUGAAGAUCAACCAGUUGGCCACCGCCAUGAGGAUCUUAAUAUUACCUAUUUUCCAUUGCCCCAUGCCUGAAGGUAUGCCGUCGCGUUUCUGACGAGCAUACCAACGCAACAUAGAAAUUUGAUCCCAUAAUAGUUUCCCUUUUUGUGUCAAGCGAUAAUCCCUAAAGUAUUCACGUUGAUCCAACAUGUCUCCCAUAACAAAGUUGAAUGGGGUUUUCUCAGGAUUAUCAAAGUAGUACAUAAUUUCUGUCACAUAACGAGCAUCGAGGGUUUUAGGAGGUUCCCCAUCUCCAUGAGUAACAAGUACACCUAAUUUUUUUGGUAUUUAGUGUUCCAUAUCCAUAACUAAAGAUAGAUAACAACUUAGAACAACAAAUAAAAAUUACUUAGUGAUAAAGCAAACAAGCACACACGAGAAUAUUCACUCCAUGCUAUGACUCCCCGGCAACGGCGCCAGAAAAAGGUCUGAUAACCCACAAGUGUAGGGGAUAAUUGUAGCCUCUUUUGAUAAGUAAGAGUGUCAAACCCAACGAGGAGCUAAAGAUAGAACAAAUAUUCUCUCAAGUCCUAUCUUCCACUAAUACGACUCUACGCACGCUUAGUGUUCGCUUUACCUAGAACAAGUAUGAAACUAGAAGUACUUUGUAGGUGUUGUUGGAUAGGUUUGCAAGAUAAUAAAGAGCACAUAAAUAAAAAGUAGGGGCUGUUUAGAUAAAGAAGCAAUAAAGUAAAUAUAGCGAGUGUGGAAAAGUGGUGGUAGGAGUUGUGAAAUUGUCCCUAAGCAAUUGACUAUGUUACUAGACCGGUAAUCACUAUUGCAAUUCUAUUUGAGGGAGAGGCAUAAGCUAACAUACUUUCUAUUCUUGGAUCAUAUGCACUUAUGAUUGCAACUCUAGCAAGCAUCCGCAACCACUAAAGAUCAUUAAGGUAAAACCCAACCAUGGCAUUAAAACAUCAAGUCCCCUUUAUCCCAUACGCAAACAACCUACUUACUCGGGUCUGUGCUUCUAUCACUCAGGCCACCCACCAUAAGCAAAUCAUGAACAUAUUGCAAACCAUACAGCGGGAAUCCCUCACGCUUGCGUGACAUGGAGGGAAAGGACAACACCAAUAAUAAAACAUGAAAUUCAAACCAAUCAUAGCAAUUCAUCAAUCACCGGUAGGACAACGAAAAUCUACUCAGACAUCAUAGGAUGGCAACACAUCAUUGGAUAAUAAUAUGAAGCAUAAAGCACCAUGUUCAAGUAGAGGGUACAACGGGUUGCGAGAGAGUGGACUGCUGAAUAUACAUGGGGGAAGGUGAUGGAGAUGUUGGUGAAGAUGGCGAAGGUGUUGGUGAAGAUGGUGGUGAUGAUGAUGGCCCCCGGCGGUGUUCCGGUGCCACCGGAAGCAAGGGGGAGAGAGCUCCCCUUCUUCUUCUUAUUCCUUGACAUCCUCCCUAGAUGGGAGAAGGGUUUCCCCUCUGGUCCUUGGCUCCCAUGGGCGUGGGAGGGGCGAGAGCCCCUCCGAGAUUGGAUCUAUCUCUCUGUUUCUGCCUUCUCAGAUUCUGCCCCUUCACCGUUUCUUUUAUAUUCGAAGAUUCGUAACUCCGAUUGGGGUGAAUCUUUCGCCCAGAUCUUUCACAUAAAAUUAGCUUUCUUGUGGCAAAAUAAGAGCAUCAACCGCCUUAUGGGAGUCCCAGGAGAGUCCAUGGCGCGCCUACCUCCCUGGGGCGCACCCCCUAUAUCCUGGCCCCCUCGGGCACCGUCUCGCGUUGAUUUUACUUCCCAAAAAUCACAAAUAUUACAAAAUAAUUCUCCGUCCGUUUUAUCCCGUUUGGACUCCAUUUGAUAUGGGGUUUCUGCGAAACAUAAAACAUGCAACAGACAGGAACUGGCACUGGGCACUGGAUCAAUAUUUUAGUCCCAAAAGUAAUAUAAAAAGUUGCCAAAAGUAUAUGAAAGUUGAAUAAUAUUGGCAUGGAAUAAUCAAUAAUUAUAGAUACGACGGAGAUGUAUCAGCAUCCCCAAGCUUAAUUCCUGCUCGUCCUCGAGUAGGUAAAUGAUAAAAAAAAGAUAAUUUUUGAUGUGGAAUUCUACCUAGCAUAAUCUCGAUCAUAUAUCUAAUCAUGGCAUGAAUAUUAAGACACGAGUGAUUCAAAGCAAUAGUCUAUCAUUUGACAUAAAAACAAUAAUACUUCGAGCGUACUAAUAAAGCAAUCAUGUCUUUUCAAAACAACAAGGCCAAAUCAAGCUUAUCCCUACAAAAUCAUAUAGUUUGGCCAUGCUUCAUUUUCGUCACACAAAAUGCUCCCAUCAUGCACAACCCUGCUGACAAGCCAAGCAAUUGGUUCAUAAUUUUUAACGCGCUUCAGCUUUUUCAACCCUCACACAAUACAUGAGCGCAAGCCAUGGAUAUAGCACUAUAGGUGGAAUAGAAUAUAAUGGUGGAGGUUAUGUGGAGAAUACAAAAAAGGAGAAAGUCUCACAUCGACGUGGCUAAUCAACGGGCUAUGGAGAUUCCAAUCAAUUGAUGUCAAUGCGAGGAGUAGGGACUGCCAUGCAACAGAUGCACUAGAGCUAUAAGUGUAUGAAAGCUCAAACUGAAAACUAAGUGGGUGUGCAUACAACUUGCUUGCUCAUGAAGACCUAGGGCAUUUGAGGAAGCCCAUCAUUGGAAUAUACAAGCCAAGUUCUAUAAUGAAAAAUUCCCACUAGUAUAUGAAAGUGACAAUAUAGGAGACUCUCUAUAUGAAGAACAUGGUGCUACUCUGAAGAACACAUGUGAUAAAAGGAUAGUAACAUUGCCCCUUUUCUUUUUCUUUUUUUUUUCUUUUUUUUGUGGGCUUCUUUGGCCCCUUUUUUUGUUUAGGCUUCUUUGGCCUUUCCUUUUUUUCAUGGGGCAAUGCUCUAUAAUGAUGAUCAUCACACUUUUAUUUACUUACAACUCAAUAUUACAACUCGAUACUAGAACAAAGAUAUGACUCUAUAUGAAUGCUUCCGGCGGUGUACUGGGAUGUGCAAUGAUCUAGUGUAGCAAUGACAUCAAAAAAUGGACAAGCCAUGAAAACAUCAUGCUACCUAUCUUACGAUCAUGCAAAGCAAUAUGACAAUGAAUGCUCAAGUCAUGUAUAUGAUGAGAUGGAAGUUGCAUGGCAAUAUAUCUUGGAAUGGCUAUGUAAAUUCCGUGAUAGGUAGGUAUGGUGGCUGUUUUGAGGAAGAUAUAAGGAGGCUUAUGUGUGAUAGAACGUAUCCUAUCAUGGGGUUUGGAUGCACCGGUGAAUUUUGCAACAACUCUCGAGGUGAGAAAGGGAAAUGCACGGUACCGAAGAGGCUAGCAAUGAUGGAAAGGUAAAACUGCGUAUAAUCCAUGGACUCACAUUAGUCAUAAAGAACUCAUAUACUUAUUGCAAAAGUUUAUUAGACCUCGAAGCAAAGUACUACUACGCAUGCCCCUAGGGGGAUAGAUUGGUAGGAAAAUACCAUCGCUCAUCCCCGACCGCCACUCAUAAGGAAGACAAUCAAAGAAACACCCCAUGCUUCAAAUUUGUCACACAAUGGUUACCAUACGUGCAUGCUACGGGACUUGAAAACCUAAACACAAGUGUCUCUACAAUUCACAACCACCCACUAGCAUGACUCUAAUAUCACCAUCUUUAUAUCGCAAAACUAUUGCAAGGAAUCAAACAUAUCAUAUUCAGCGAUCUACAAGUUUAUGUACGAUUUUAUGACUAACCAUGUGAAUGACAAAUUCCUGUCAUCUCUCUAAAUAGAUAUAAGUGAAGCAAGAGAGUUUAAUUCUUUCUAAAAAAGAUAUGCCCACGCUCUAACAAGUAUAAGUGAAGCAAAAGAGCAUUCUAAUAAUGGCGGUUUUCUAUGUGAAGAGAAACAGGCAAUCCAAACUUCAAAAGAUAUAAGUGAAGCACAUGAAGCAUUCUAUAAAGCCAUACUCAAAAGAUUUAAGUGAAGUGCAAUGAGCAUUCUAUAAAUAAACCAAGGACUAUCUCAUACCAUCAUGGUUGAUAAAUAAAAGUGAAAACUAAAUGCAAAAGACGCUCUAAGACUUGCACAUACCGCAUGAACGAAACGAAUACGAAAACAUACUGAUACUUGUUGAAGAAAGAGGGGAUGCCUUCCGGGGCAUCCCCAAGCUUAGACGCUUGAGUCUCCUUGAAUAUUUACUUGGGGUGCCUUGGGCACCCCAAGCUUGAGCUCUUGCCUCUCUUCCUUUUCCUCAUAUCGAGACCUCCUCGAUCAAACACUUCAUCCACACAAAACUUCAACAGAAAACUCGGUAAGAUCCGUUAGUAUAAUAAAGCAAAUCACUACUCUAAGUACUGUAUCAAACCAAUACAUAUUUUGUUUUUGCAUUGUGUCUACUGUAAUAUAGCGUUUCCAUGGCUUAAUCCACUGAUAUAAAUUGAUAGUUUCAUCAAAACAAGCAAACUAUGCAUCAAAAACAGAAUCUGUCAAAAACAGAACAGUCUGUAGCAAUCUGAACAUUCACCAUACUUCUGGUACCCCAACAAUUCUACCAAAAUUAGGAAAAAUAAAAAAUUUGUACAGUAAGACAGUGCAAAAGGAAUCAGAACCAUUUCAGGAUCCAGUUAAAAAUGUAAAAUCGUGCACUACAGCCAAAGUGUCUGUCCUUCACCGUACAAACCAACAAGCAUUGUAAACAUCCUAAAGGCAAACCUUAGCACAUUAUUUUUAUAAUACAAUGGAAUUGUAAAACGGGAUAUUUAUUUUUGAUGAAAAGUUUCUGUAAUUAAGAUUCACAAAGUUUCCGUGAGCAUGAACAAAGUUCAAGGAGCUCUCCCACUUCAACAAUGCUUGUCUUUCUCACUUUCACUUUCCUUUUUGAAAAAGUUUUGGGUUCCCCUCUUUAUUUUUUUGUUUUUAAACUAAAUAAAAGCACACCACAGAAAUAAAAUGACUCUCUAAAACUUCCGGGUUGUCUCCCUGGCAGCGCUUUCGUUAAAGCCAUUAAGCUAGGCAUAUAGUGCUCAAGUAAUGGAUCCACCUGGAUCCCAAGGUAUAUCAAAGCCAAUUUUAAUUAACAAUGAUUUGUAAUUUAAUAGUGAGCACAAAGUAACAUAUAUCAUGCAACAACAAAGUCUAACUCUCUUCCUAUGCAUCGGCAUGUCAUAAAAGAACAAUUCAUGCACACAUAGUAAAGGCCAAUGCAUAGUAUAAACAGUUUCUUGCAAUUUUAUCAUAUUGGAAACAUAGAGAGGUGAAGAUAUAGUUCCUCUCUUAUAAUAAUUGCAAGUAGGAGCAGCAAGCACGUGCAUAUUAUAUCUAGCAAAAUCAUCAUGUGUAGUAGUAAAAGGUAACCCAUCAAUGCAAUCCUUAGUAAGCACAAACUUCUCCGAUAUAGUGUAGUUUGGAGAAUUCAAAAAGAUAAUAGAACUAUCAUGUGUGGGUGCAAUAGCAACAAUUUCAUGUUUAACAUAAGGACCUAUAGCAAGUUCAUCUCCAUAAGCAUAAUUCAUAUUGGCAUCUUGGCCACAAGCAUAACAAGCAUCAUCAAAAAGGGAUAUUUCAAGAGAAUCAACGGGAUCAUAACAAUUAUCAUAGCAAUCAUCCUCCGGUAAGCACGAAGGGAAAUUAAACAAUAUAUGAGUUGAAGAGUUACUCUCAUUAGAAGGUGGGCACGGGUAGCUAAUCCGCUCUUCCUCCUUUUGUUCUUCGCUCUCCUCAUCAUCUUUUUCAUCCAAUGGGCUCACAGUUUCAUCAAUUUCUUCUUCCAUAGACUCCUACAAAAUAUUAGUCUCUUCUUGGACAGCGGAGACUUUCUCAAUAAAUGCAUCAAUAUUAUAAUUGUAUUCAUAAUUCUUAUAACAAUAUUCAAGUAUAGCAAAAUUUUCAGGUCUAUAAACUGAAUCAUCAAAAUCAUCAAACUCUUUAAACAUAGAUUCAAUCUCAUAAGAACCCAUAAAAGCAACGAAUUCUUCUAUUUGUUCCACAUCAUAGUAAUCAUAUCUACCAUUAGCAUAAGAAGCUAAGGUUUUAUUAUGAUUGAAUUUGCAUCAAAAGGGAAGGUGUGGAGCCUUCAUCCUAGAGCAACAAGUAUAAUCAUGUAUCAAGCAUAGUUGACGAGCAUACCAACGCAACAUAGAAAUUAGAUCCCAUAAUUGUUUCCCUUUUUGUGUCAAGUAUUCACAUUGAUCCAACAUGUCUCCCAUAACAAAGUUGAAUGGGGUUUUCUCAGGAUUAUCAAAGUAGUACAUAAUUUCUGUCACAUAACGAGCAUCGAGGGUUUUUGGAGGUUCCCCAUCUCCAUGAGUACCAAGUACACCUAAUUUUUUUUGGUAUUUCGUGUUCCAUAUCCAUAACUAAAGAUAGAGAACAACUUAGAACAACAAAUAAAAAUUACUUAGUGAUAAAGAAAACAAGCACACACGAGAAUAUUCACCCCAUGCUAUGACUCCCCGGCAACGACGCCAGAAAAAGGUCGUGAUAACCCACAAGUGUAGGGGAUAAUUGUAGCCUCUUUCAACAAGUAAGAGUGUCGAACCCAACGAGGAGCUAAAGGUAGAACAAAUAUUCUCUCAAGUCUUAUCUGCCACUGAUACGACUCUACGCACGCUUAGUGUUCGCUUUACCUAGAACAAGUAUGAAACUAGAAGUACUUUGUAGGUGUUGUUGGAUAGGUUUGCAAGAUAAUAAAGAACACGUAAAUAAAAAGUAGGGGCUGUUUAGAUAAAGAAGCAAUAAAGUAAAUAUAGCGAGUGUGGAAAAGUGGUGGUAGGAGUUGUGAAAUUGUCCCUAAGCAAUUGACUAUGUUACUAGACCGGUAAUCACUAUUGCAAUUCUAUUUGAGGGAGAGGCAUAAGCUGUCACGCCCAAGAUGCGACCCUACCCUAAAGGAACUCGAAGGUCCCACCAAGGAUAGAAGCGCAUCUUGAAGACCCUUUUGCAAGGUGGAUAUCAUUACAUCAACAUUACAUAAUAGAUGGGGAUACAUACAGAAGGCAUAGAAUGCCACACGAAUACAACAUCAUCAUACAUAAGAUCAACAUCCGACUACGGAUUAACACAAACAGAAACUCAAACGACAUCCACCCUGCUAGCCCAGGCUGCCGACCUGGAACCUAUCCCCUGAUCAAAGAAGUAGAACUCCAAAACAAGUAAGCAUCGCUCUCGCGUCAUGAUCAUCGCAAACCUGUACCUGCAACUGUUGUUGUAGUAAUAUGUGAGCCACGAGGAGUCGGCAAUCCCAUUACCAUGGGUAUCAAGACUAGCAAAGCUUAAUGGGAAAGGAAGGGGUAAAGUGGUGAGGUUGCAGCAGCGGCUAAGCAAGUAUGGUGGCUAACAUACGCAAAUAAGAGCGAGAAAAGAAGCAAAGGAAUGGUCGUGAAGCUAGCAAUGAUCAAGAGGUGAUCUUGAACUCGUACCUAUGUCAAUCAAAACACAGGAACCGUAUUCACUUCCCGGACUCCACCGAGAAGAGACCAUCACGGCUACACACGCGGUUGAUGCGUUUUAAUUUAGAUCUAGUGUCAAGUUAUCUACAACUGGACAUUAACAAAUUCCCAUCUACCACAUAACCACGGGCAUGGAUUUCGAAAGAUAAUACCCUGUAGGGGUGUCCCAACUUAGCCCAUGAUAAGCUCCCGCGAUCAACGAAGGAUAUUCCUUCUCCGAGGAAGACCUGAUCAGUCUCAGAAUCCCGGUUUACAACACAUUUCGACAAUGGUAAAACAAGACCAGCAAAGCCACCCGAUGCACCGACAAUCCCGAUAGGAGCUGCACAUAUCUCGUUCUCAGGGCAACAUCGGAUGAGACAUCCUACGAGUAAAACCAGACCUCGAGUUUCCCCGAGGGAGCCCCGCAGUCUACUCGGUUCAGACCAACACUUAGACAAUCAUUGGCCAGGGGGGGCUAAAAUAAAGAUGACCCUUGGGUUAAUUACUCCCAAGGGAAAUGUAGGUGGUGGUGAGGCAAAUGGUAAAUCCAAGGUUGGGCCUUGCUGGAGGAGUUUUAUUCAAAGCGAACUGUCGAGGGGGUCCCAUAAAUCACCCAACCGCGUUAGGGACGCAAAAUCCGGGAACAUAAUACCGAUAUGAUGGAAACUAGGGCGGCAAGAGUGGAACAAAACACCAGGCAUAAGCCCGAGUCUUCCACCCUUUACCAAGUAUAUAGAUGCAUUAAUAAUAUAAGAUAUAUUGUGAUAUCCCAACAUAAACCUGUCGACCAUGGAGCAAUCUUCAACUUCACCUGCAACUAACAACGCUAUAAGAGGGGCUGAGCAAAAGCGGUAACAUAGCCAAGCAACGGUUUGCUAGGAAGGGUGAAAAGGUUAGAGGCUGACAUGGCAAUUUGGGAGGCUUGAAGAGCAAUUGAUAGGUAGCGCAGCAAAGCGAUAGAACGAAGCAACUAGCAUAGCAAUGAUAGUAGUGAGAUCCAGGGUAGCGGUCAUCUUGCCUGAAAUCCCGCAAGGAAGAAGAACGAGUCCAUGAAGAAGAUGAAGCCACGAAGACGAACCAAGCAUGGACGAACGAAUCCUCACCAUCGCAACGAAACGGGAACUAACGAGAAGAAGCACACAACAUAGUAAACACAUCACACAUAGACAAGACAUGAUGCACAACAAGCAUGAUGCAUGACAAGGCUACAUGGAGCUACUCAUGGAAAAAGAUGAUGCAUACAAGACCAACACAUCAAAGCAAGUUUAAAUGAGGCCGAAAACAACAUAGAACAAUUCCGGUAAGUCCUCAUAGGCAAGUUCCAAAGUUGGUCCAGAUCUGAACAAACAUUAAGUUGAAGUUGUUAAACAGCAAGUUAACGAGCACCAAGAGGAUCUACACGAAGUUCUAGUCAAGUUACAUAUAAAGUUCAUUUAGUUCGGAGCUACGGCCUAGAAGAUAUGAGCAAAACAAGUUAAACAUGGCAUUGAUGCUAAAUGCAUCCAAACAUCGAGCAAACACCUCAAAACAAGGAUACAACAUGAUAAUAUGAAACUACAUGCAAAAAAUGGCAAGUUUCAUAAAGAGCACACUCAAUACGGAGCAACGGUUCAACACAUACACUCUAUACAAGUUUAAAGGACAAGCUGUCCAAAACAGCAACUAGGCAUAUUGCAAGCACCAAAACAACAUGCUACAGUACCACAAUAUGAAAACAAAAGGCAUGGACAUGAUGUAUAGAUAAAGCACAACAAAACAUGAACACUGAGCUAUCUCCAGAAAUCAAUAGAACAUGCUCCAAAGGACAUCGCAAGAUUGCAAAUAAUAACAGUUUCAGACUUAACAGAAAUAACAUCGGGUUGCAAUGUUUAGAGCUAUCAAACAACAUGUUACAGAAACUUAUCAUGGCAAACAAAGGCAUGGCAUGAAUCUACUAAUUGCAUAGAACAAAGGUCCCUUACUGAUUAUGAGCCAAAAAGGGCACAGAAAAUAUGAUGGCACCCAUGUAAACAUAGCAAGUGAUAUGACAUAUUCAUACAUGGCAGGAACAACAAUGAGUAGGCAUGUUGGUGAGCUGGUACCACUCACCACAGAGCAAUAUAUGGCAUGGCAAGGCAACCAACAGUAAGAAUACAUGUUUGUGAAGCUAAGCAUGUCAAGAUCAAGUUCAUAGGGUGCAUGGAUCACUAGCAAGGCUCAUGGCAAAACUGAACUUAAUGUUAACAGGCUGACAUCAACAUUAUUUAGCAAUUUGAGAGCAAGAUUACAACAAGUUACAGCAGGCUAAAAAUGCAACCAGGGGCAUAAAUGGAUAGAUCAUGACAUGUAUAAAAAAACAUCCUUAGUGAACAUCUCCAGAUUAUGCAUAGAAUGACUUGUAGCAGCAGGUUUACAUAGCAUCAUGUUAUAGCAGAUCCAGCCUAGCAAAACAGAAACAGCAAGAACCCUACUUCACGAGCUCGAUGCACUCACUACAAGCCUCGCAAAAAUACAUGGAUGGCACCACUGUGAAGAUGGCUUGACAUAGUUCAAAACACAUGUAGGGCUGAAGCUCAUAGGAUGCACACACAAAAUUCAAUGAAAAAGACAAAACAGCAAGUUAUAACAGUUUCAGCAGGUUAAUAUCAUAUAGCACUCUUGCAACGAUGAUUUGGGCAUCAAGAUGAACUCAAAUUAACAUGGAAAAAUGGAAUGAAAAGAAGAGCAUCUCAUGUUGAACAUUUUGAUAUAUUAUGCACGCAAAACGGAUCUACGGAUGAGGAGAUAUGGCAUGUCGAAAAGGGCACCAGAAUGCAAAUUAUCUCAGGGACUUGGGCAAUUUCGGGGUAAACCUUCGUGGAUCUGGAUACAGAUCUCGCGCACGGAAGUCGAGGCACGUCGGGGAGGUCGCCGGAGAAGGAUGGAGAUGGCCGGAGAAGGGCGGGGCGGCGCUGGCAGAGGAGGACGGCGGCGGGGCAGCGCCGGAUCUGGCCGGAGGAGGCCGGGACGGCGCCGGCGUCCUGGGCGGCGGCGUAGGCGGGCAGAGGCGGCGGUCGCCGNNNNNNNNNNNNNNNNNNNNNNNNNNNNNNNNNNNNNNNNNNNNNNNNNNNNNNNNNNNNNNNNNNNNNNNNNNNNNNNNNNNNNNNNNNNNNNNNNNNNNNNNNNNNNNNNNNNNNNNNNNNNNNNNNNNNNNNNNNNNNNNNNNNNNNNNNNNNNNNNNNNNNNNNNNNNNNNNNNNNNNNNNNNNNNNNNNNNNNNNNNNNNNNNNNNNNNNNNNNNNNNNNNNNNNNNNNNNNNNNNNNNNNNNNNNNNNNNNNNNNNNNNNNNNNNNNNNNNNNNNNNNNNNNNNNNNNNNNNNNNNNNNNNNNNNNNNNNNNNNNNNNNNNNNNNNNNNNNNNNNNNNNNNNNNNNNNNNNNNNNNNNNNNNNNNNNNNNNNNNNNNNNNNNNNNNNNNNNNNNNNNNNNNNNNNNNNNNNNNNNNNNNNNNNNNNNNNNNNNNNNNNNNNNNNNNNNNNNNNNNNNNNNNNNAGGCCGGAUCUGGGCCCCGGGCGGCGGCGGCGAUGUGGGCGCGGGGGAGGUGAGGUGGCGGCUCCGGAUUGGGCGCGCAGGCGGCAGCGCUGAGGUGGCGGUGGCUGAUUCGUCGGAGCGACGUGUCCAGCGGACAUGUCCGGUGCGGACGGACGUGUCCGGCGGCGCGAGGAGGAAGACGCUAGGGUUUGGACCCGGAUUUGGACGGGGGAAGGCAUAUAAAUAGCUAGACGGAGCUAGGAGAGUCCAAAUGGGGAGCGGUUUUCGGCCACGCGAUCGUGAUCAAACGACCAAGAGCAUGGAGGGGAGCUAGCUGGGUUAGUGGGCCACUUUGGAGGGGUGUUGGGCUGCAAGACAAAAGGGGCUUUCGGGGUUACAUGGUUAACCGUUGGAGUAUCAAACGGACUCCAAAUGGACGAAACUUGACAGGCGGUCUACCGGUGGUGUACCAAGGCCACUUGGCAAGCCUCGGUCCAUUCCGAGAACGUUUAACAUCCGCACAUGAAAAGAGACAAGAAGGGGAUGCCGGAUGACAUAGGAGUGCCGGAUUGAAAAACGGACAGCGGGGAAAAUGCUCGGAUGCAUGAGACGAACACGUAUGCAAAAUGAGAUGCACAUGAUGACAUGGCAAAAUGCAACACACAAGCAAAUGACAUGGCAACGACGGCGAAUAACUGGCGGACACCUGGCGCAACGAAUCCGGGGCGUUACAACACUCCUCCACUAACAAGAGAUCUCAUCCCGAGAUCUUAGAAACGAGACGGAAGGGAAAAGUGAUGAGGUGAAACAAGAACUCAAGAGAAGAAGCAAAGAAUCAAGAGCACUCGAGAAGAAGAGAGGAACGACGAGAAUGACGAGAAUCGAAAGCUCACGGAAUCAGAUAGACUAUGAAACCACUCCGGUUAGAACGAGAUAAGAAACGAAUAAGACUGGAAGAAUUUAGGCAGCACUCCGGCUGAACAUGGAAAGAGUUGGAACUGAGAUUGACAAAAUGGAACGAUAGUUGACUAGAGGAACAACACAAUGCCUCCGGAAGAACUGAAAAAGUUGAAAGAAAAGAACGGAGAAGAAGAUGACACCUUCUACCACGAAUGAACUAGAAAGCAACCUUAGAAGAAAGGAUUGAACGGAGUUGUUAGAAAUUCAACAACAAAAGAAUAAGAUUGUUGUGGACUUAUGGAUAACAUCUCAGAAUUACGAGGUGAUAACCGACCACAAACGGAAAAGAUUAAAUAGCUGAGAAGAACGAAGAAAUGCAAAACUCCACUUCAAAAGGAUAUGGAGAAUUAAUUGCACUUCGAGAUGCAAGAAGAAAAGGUACUUGAAUUUCUCCAACAAAAUGUUGAUGAACUCUUGAAGAAUGAAUUAAAUCAUGAAGAACCCCCAUGAAGAACUCCGGCAAACAAAAGGAUUAAAUAAACGAAGGUUGAAAAGAACAAGAUAAGCCUUGUGAUGAUUUAGAUGGAGGUCCGGACGAGAUGGCUGAGGAAAUAGAACUCCGGAAAAGAAAAGAUGACAACACUUGGAACCGAGAAUGUGAUAGGAUGAACAAACUCCGAAGGAAGGAAUUAAUCAACUUGAUGAAAGAGAAUAAGAACUAUGUUAUGCUUAUCCUCCACCAAUUAAAUUGAUGCAAAGCAAUGAAUUUGCAUACUACUUAUUCACAUUGGGAAAAUAUUAAGGGAAGAUAUAGUGCCAAAUUUGGGGAGGUCUUCAUGAGCCACCGGUAGGAUUUGAAAGAACGAACGAAAUGAUAUGAUGAGAACGGAAAAUUAUUCUUGAACGAACCACCGUCAGAAUUCAAAAUUGAAUAACGAAAAAGGAAUAAAUCAUUGGGAAGAAUUAGAACAAGCACGAAGAUGCUUGAGGGAAUUUGAUACCGCAGAAUGAAGAGGUCUCGAACUGAUUAAAGAAAGCUUGAACAAAGCACUGGAAGAAUAUUGAGACGAACGAAGGGGCACGGAUAUAGAAUAAUUGGAGAAUGAAUUCGAAAACUUAGAACGAAGUAAUAUUCCGAAAAGAUGGCCUCCGGAUGAUCGAGAGAGACAACAGCUCCUGAACUGCUCCGGCAGGAUGAAAAUAAUUUGCAUGACUGGAAACUAUAAGAGGAUAACAUGUAGAAGAACCACGAAUCUCCGGGAGAACGGACAAGAUUUAAGAGAAAUUCUACUUCAGUCUUCACAUGACGACAAGAAACACCUUGCAGAAUUUGUUGAAACCCUCCGGAAGAAUGAAAAAGAGGACAGAUUGACCCGAACAUGAAAGAAUUUGGGAGCGAUCUUGGAAAAGACAUCUGACUGAUGAAAAUCAUACUUACGUCAAACUUCAAAAUGAUUUGAGAAUAGCUCCGGGAAAUUAGAAGAGUCAGGUAAGAUCCUGGGAAAAGACCUGUGGGUUAGGGCCCACUAAAGAAAACACCGUUGGGAAGGAAUGUUGAACAGAUAAAUGAUGCACCGGAAGAAUUGACAUAUUUGAAUGAGGUGAAAAUCUCGAAUUACUUGGAACACAAACGAAUCUCCUGAGAUGUCCUAAGCACUCCGGAAGGAUAAACUGGCGAGAGACGAAUGAGCAGGGAAAACACUUGAUCCAAGGAAAAGAAUGUGAUCAACCCGAAAAACUUGAAUUGAGUCCACCGGAGAAGAAAAAGAGCUGAAGAAUGUCCACCGAGACGAGAAUUCACCGAUUGAAAUGAUUGAGGGAAGACUGAAGAACCUCCGUACGAAUCAAAUUGAUGCUCAAAACGGACUCAGACUCCGGGAAGAAGAAGGGUGGGAGGUUGGGAAAAACAAAGGCAACUUGGAAGGGGGAACCAACGAAUAUCUUGAAGGGAAAACACCGGUUGAAAUCAUUGAGGAAAGAAAGCAAAGACUUCACACGAGUAGGAUGGAUACUCGAUUACAGACUCCGGCUCCGAGAUGAAAAAGGGUGGGCGGGUGGGAAAAGAAAACAACUGAGGAUUGAACUUGGCAAAGAUGAAGAGGCUCGAGUCAACUUGACGAGAAAUGCACCGGAUGAAAAGAGCUGGGGAACAAUGAUAAAAAACCAACUGCGUGAUCCUAAAUACAAAAUUUGAAGGGGAAGAGGAGUAGUUCAAAACACCUAUGUCAAGAUUCCUUACUAGAGCGACGAAGGGGCAGAGGAGUAAAAAGAAUUCCGACUCUCUGAUAUAACUAGACUCCAAAAAGUUUUCUUCUAGACUCAACAACGGCCAAACUACAUGAUCAAACAAGGGGGCUCCUAAGGUCGGUCGAGGCUUAGAUAGAAACUUAUCACGCCCAAGAUGCGACCCUACCCUAAAGGAACUCGAAGGUCCCACCAAGGAUAGAAGCGCAUCUUGAAGACGCUUUUGCAAGGUGGAUAUCAUUACAUCAACAUUACAUAAUAGAUGGGGAUACAUACAAAAGGCAUAGAAUGCCACACGAAUACAACAUCAUCAUACAUAAGAUCAACAUCCGACUACGGAUGAACACAAACAGAAACUCAAACGACAUCCACCGUGCUAGCCCAGGCCGCCGACCUGGAACCUAUCCCCUGAUCGAAGAAGAAGAACUCCAAAACAAGUAAGCAUCGCUCUCGCGUCAUGAUCAUCGCAAACCUGUACCUGCACCUAUUGUUGUAGUAAUCUGUGAGCCACGAGGACUCAGCAAUCCCAUUACCAUGGGUAUCAAGACUAGCAAAGCUUAAUGGGAAAGGAAGGGGUAAAGUGGUGAGGUUGCAGCAGGGGCUAAGCAAGUAUGGUGGCUAACAUAUGCAAAUAAGAGCGAGAAGAGAAGCAAAUGACCGAUCGUGAAGCUAGCAAUGAUCAAGAGGUGAUCCUGAACUCCUACCUACGUCAAUCAUAACACAAGAACCGUGUUCACUUCCCGGACUCCGCUGAGAAGAGACCAUCACGGCUACACACGCGGUUGAUGCGUUUUAAUUCGGAUCUGGUGUCAAGUUAUCUACAAUCGGACAUUAAAAAAUUCCCAUCUGCCACAUAACCGCGGGCACGGCUUUCGAAAGAUAAUACCCUGUAGGGGUGUCCCAACUUAGCCCAUGAUAAGCUCCCGCGAUCAACGAAGGAUAUUCCUUCUCCGAGGAAGACCUGAUCAGUCUCAGAAUCCCAGUUUACAACACAUUUCGACAAUGGUAAAACAAGACCAGCAGAGCCACCCGAUGCACCGACAAUCCCGAUAGGAGCUGCACAUAUCUCGUUCUCAGGGCAACUCGGAUGAGACAUCCUACGAGUAAAACCAGACCUCGAGUUUCCCCGAGGGAGCCCCGCAGUCUACUCAGUUCAGACCAACACUUAGACAAUCAUUGGCCAGGGGGGGCUAAAAUAAAGAUGACCCUCGGGUUAAUUACUCCCAAGGGAAAUGUAGGUGGUGGUGAGGCAAAUGGUAAAUCCAAGGUUGGGCCUUGCUGGAGGAGUUUUAUUCAAAGCGAACUGUCGAGGGGGUCCCAUACAUCACCCAACCGCGUUAGGGACGCAAAAUCCGGGAACAUAAUACCGAUAUGAUGGAAAGUAGGGUGGCAAGAGUGGAACAAAACACCAGGCAUAAGGCCGAGUCUUCCACCCUUUACCAAGUAUAUAGAUGCAUUAAUAAUAUAGGAGAUAUUGUGAUAUCCCAACAUAAACCUAUCCACCAUGGAGCAAUCUUCAACUUCACCUGCAACUAACAACGCUAUAAGAGGGGCUGAGCAAAAGUGGUAACAUAGCCAAGCAACGAUUUUCUAGGAAGGGUGAAAAGGUUAUAGGCUGACAUGGAAAUUUGGGAGGCUUGAAGAGCAAUUGAUAGGUAGUGCAGCAAAGCGAUAGAACGAAGCAACUAGCAUAGCAAUGAUAGUAGUGAGAUCCAGGGUAGUGGUCAUCUUGCCUGAAAUCCCACAAGGAAGAAGAACGAGUCCAUGAAGAAGAUGAAGCCACAAAGACGAACCAAGCGUAGACUAACGAAUCCUCAUGAUCGCAAUGAAACGGGAACUAUCGAGAAGCAGCACACAACAUAGUAAACACACCACACAUAGACAAGACAUGAUGCACAACAAGCAUGAUGUAUGACAAGGCUACAAGGAGCUACUCAUGGCAAAAGAUGAUGCAUACAAGACCAACACAUCAAAGCAAGUUUAAAUGAGGUCGGAAACAACAUAGAACAAUUCCGGUAAGUCCUCAUAUGCAAGUUUCAAAGUUGGUCCAGAUCUGAACAAACAUUAAGUUGAAGUUGUUAAAGAGAAAGUUAACGAGCACCAAGAGGAUCUGCACGAAGUUCUAGUCAAGUUACAUAUAAAGUUCAUUUAGUUCAGAGCUACGGCCUAGAAGAUAUGAGCAAAACAAGUUAAACAUGGCAUUGAUGCUAAAUGCAUCCAAAAAUCAAGCAAACACCUCAAAACAAGGAUGCAACAUGAUAAUAUGAAACUACAUGCAAAAACAAGCAAGUUUCAUAUAGAGCACACUCAAAAUAGAGCAACGGUUCAACACAUACACUCCAUACAAGUUUAAAGGACAAGCUGUCCAAAACAGCAACUAGGCAUAUUGCAAGCACCAAAACAACAUGCUAAAGUAGCACAAUAUGAAAACAAAAGGCAUGGACAUGAUGUACAGGUAAAGCACAACAAAACAUGAACACUGAGCUAUCUCCAAAAAUCAAUAGAACAUGCUCCAAAGGACAUGGCAAGAUUGCAAAUAAUAACAGUUUCAAACUUAACAGAAAUAACAUCAGGUUGCAAUGUUUAGAGCUAUCAAACAACAUGUUACAGAAACUUAUCAUGGCAAACAAAGGCAUGGCAUGAAUCUACUAAUUUCAUAUAACAAAGGUCCCUUACUGAUCAUGAGCCAAAAAGGACAUAGAAAAUAUGAUGGCACCCAUGUAAACAUAGCAAGUGAUAUGACAGAUUCAUACAUGACAGGAACAACAAUGAGUAGGCAUGUUGGUGAGCUUGUACCACUCACCACAGAGCAAUACAUGGCAUGGCAAGGCAACCAACAGUAAGAAGACAUGUUUUUGAAGCUAAGCAUGGCAAGAUCAAGUUCAUAGGGUGCAUGGAUCACUAGCAAGGCUCAUGGCAAAACUGAACUUAAUGUUAACAGGCUGACAGCAACAUUAUUUAGCAAUUUGAGAGCAAGAUUACAACAAGUUACAGCAGGCUAAAAAUGCAACCAGGGGCAUAAAUGGAUAGAUCAUGACAUGUAUAAAAAAACAUCCUUAGUGAACAUCUCCAGAUUAUGCAUAGAAUGACUUGUAGCAGCAGGUUUACAUAGCAUCAUGUUAUAGCAGAUCCAGCCUAGCAAAACAGAAACAGCAAGAACCCUACUUCACGAGCUCGAUGCACUCACUACAAGCCUCACAAAAAUACAUGGAUGGCACCACUGUGAAGAUGGCUUGACAUAGUUCAAAACACAUGUAGGGCUGAAGCUCAUAGGAUGCACACACAAAAUGCAAUGAAAAAGACAAAACAGCAAGUUAUAGUAGUUUCAGCAGGUUAACAUCAUAUAGCACUCUUGCAACAAUGAUUUGGGCAUCAAUAUGAACUUAAAUGAACAUGGCAAAAUGGAAUGAAGUGAAGAGCAUCUCCUGAUGAACAUUUUGAUAUAUUAUGCACGCAAAACGGAUCUAUGGAUGAGGAGAUAUGGCAUGUCGAAAUGGGCACCAGAAUGCAAAAUAUCUUAGGGACUUGGGCAAUUUUGGGGUCAACCUUCGUGGAUCUGGAUCCAGAUCUGGCGCACGUAAGUCAAGGCACGUCGGGGAGGUCGCCGGAGAAGGAUGGAGAUGGCCGGAGGAGGAGGCCGGGGCGGCGCCGGCGUCCUGGGCGGCGGCGUGGGCAGGCGGCGACGGCGGNNNNNNNNNNNNNNNNNNNNNNNNNNNNNNNNNNNNNNNNNNNNNNNNNNNNNNNNNNNNNNNNNNNNNNNNNNNNNNNNNNNNNNNNNNNNNNNNNNNNNNNNNNNNNNNNNNNNNNNNNNNNNNNNNNNNNNNNNNNNNNNNNNNNNNNNNNNNNNNNNNNNNNNNNNNNNNNNNNNNNNNNNNNNNNNNNNNNNNNNNNNNNNNNNNNNNNNNNNNNNNNNNNNNNNNNNNNNNNNNNNNNNNNNNNNNNNNNNNNNNNNNNNNNNNNNNNNNNNNNNNNNNNNNNNNNNNNNNNNNNNNNNNNNNNNNNNNNNNNNNNNNNNNNNNNNNNNNNNNNNNNNNNNNNNNNNNNNNNNNNNNNNNNNNNNNNNNNNNNNNNNNNNNNNNNNNNNNNNNNNNNNNNNNNNNNNNNNNNNNNNNNNNNNNNNNNNAGGCGCGCGGGGCCCGGAUGGAGGCGAGCGGGCCCGGCGAGGCCCGGUUCGGCCCCGGGGCGGGCCGGAUCUGGGCCCCGGGCGGCGGCGGCGAUGUGGGUGCGGGGGAGGUGAGGUGGCGACUCCGGAUUGGGCACGGAGGCGGCGGCGCUGAGGUGGUGGCGGCUGAUUUGUCGGAGCGACGUGUCCGGCUGACAUGUCCGGCGCGGAUGGACAUGUUCGGCGGCGCGAGGAGGAAGACGCUAGGGUUUGGACCCGGAUUUGGACGGGGGAAGGCAUAUAAAUAGCUAGAGGGAGCUAGGAGAGUCCAAAUGGGGAGCGGUUUUCGGCCACGCGAUCAUGAUCGAACGACCGAGAGCAUGGAGGGGAGCUAGCUGGGUUAGUGGGCCAGUUUGGAGGGGUGUUGGGCUGCAAGACAAAAGGGGCUUUUGGGGUUACACGGUUAACCGUUGGAGUAUCAAACGGACUCCAAAUGGCACGAAACUUGACAGGCGGUCUACCGGUGGUGUACCAAGGCCACUUGGCAAGCCUCGGUCCAUUCCGAGAACGUCUAACACCCGCACAUGAAAAGAGACAAGAAGGGGAUGCCGGAUGACAUAGGAGUGCCGGAUUGAAAACGGACAACGGGGAAAAUGCUCGGAUGCAUGAGACGAACACGUAUGCAAAAUGAGAUGCACAUGAUGACAUGGCAAAAUGCAACACGCAAGCAAAUGACAUGGCAACGACGGCGAAUAACUGGCGGACACCUGGCGCAACGAAUCCGGGGCGUUACAUAAGCUAACAUACUUUCUCUUCUUGGAUCAUAUGCACUUAUGAUUGGAACUCUAGCAAGCAUCCGCCACUACUAAAGAUCAUUAAGGUAAAACCCAACCAUAGCAUUGAAGCAUCAAGUCCCCUUUAUCCCAUACGCAAACAACCUACUUACUCGGGUCUGUGCUUCUGUCACUCACGCCACCCACCAUAAGCAAAUCAUGAACAUAUUGUAAACCCUACAGCGGGAAUCCCUCAUGCUUGCGCGACACGGAGGGCACAAUAGGACAGCACCAAUAAUAAAAAAUGCAAUUCAAACAAAUCAUAGCAAGUCAUCAAUCACCGGUAGGACAACGAAAAUCUACUCAGACAUCAUAGGAUGGAAACACAUCAUUGGAUAAUAAUAUGAAGCAUAAAGCACCAUGUUCAAGUAGAGGGUACAGCGGGUUGCGGGAGAGUGGACCGCUGAAUAUAGAUAGGGGAAGGUGAUGGAGAGGUUGGGGAAGAUGGCAGAGGUUUUGGUGAAGAUGUCGGUGAUGAUGAUGGCCCCCAGCGGCGUUCCGACGCCACCGGAAGAAAGGGGGAGAGAGCCCCCCUUAUUCUUCUUCUUCCUUGACCUCCUCCCUAGAUGGGAGAAGGGUUUCCCCUCUGGUCCUUGGCUCCCAUGGCGUGGGAGGGGCGAGAGCCCCUCCGAGAUUGGAUCUAUCUCUCUGUUUCUCUCUGUUUCUGCCUUCUCAGAUUCUACCCCUUCAUUGUUUAUUUUAUAUCCGGAGAUCCGUAACUCCGAUUGGGGUGAAUCUUUCACCCAGAUAUUUCUCAUAAAAUUAGCUUUCUUGCGGCAAAAGAAGAGUGUCAACCGCCUUACAGGGGGGCCAGGAGAGUCCAGGGCGCGCCUGCCUCCCUGGGGCGCGCCCCCUAUCUCCUGGCCCCCUCGGGUACCGUCUCGCGUUGAUUUUACUUCCCAAAAAUCACAAAUAUUUCAAAAUAAUUCUCCGUCCAUUUUUAUCCAAUUUGGACUCCGUUUGAUAUGGGGUUUUGGCGAAACAUAAAACAUGCAAUAGACAAGAACUGGCACUGGGCACUGGAUCAAUAUGUUAGUCCCAAAAAUAAUAUAAAAAGUUGCCAAAAGUAUAUGAAAGUUGAAUAAUAUUGGCAUGGAGCAAUCAAAAAUUAUAGAUACGACGGAGACGUAUCACGGUUCCACCAACAAUGGUGGUAUUUCCUGUGGCCCCUGCGGUGCCAUGGCCACCCUAGUUGAGCCUAGGUGGGCUCUAGCCUCGAAAGUGACUCCAUCUCUCUGGCUUUGCCCCGUAACCGCCUCCUGAGUGGCUGAUGUCAGCUCCCUGCUUUGGAGUGGGGUCACCUCCCUUUGGUCCACUACCGGGGCAGCUUCGGCAGAUGGGCCCCCUGAUGUCGCGUCCAGGUGGAUCCCCUGCCCUGAUCUUCUCUGGUCUCCACUCCGUUCCAGCUUUGAAACCCGGCGAGACGGUGUGGCUGCUCCCUGUGUUGCCCACUCGCUGGUCUAGCCGUUGGGCUACCACCAGCGAUACGCACUUCAGCUGGUCUGGUCAAACGGUCAAAAGCUGACGGCCUUUCUGUGAUCCUGUCCCACACCACGCUCGGCCAGAUGGCCGGGAUCGGUGCCGACGCCAGCGGCAUGCGAGGCAGCCUCCAAUCCAUCUCACAGCGCCUCUGCGCCGAACUACCCGCCAAGCCACAGCCGUCGGCCACGCCGCCAUGGCCGCGGCGAACUGGCCUCUGUCAUCACGAACGCCAAACCUUCAAUCUCUGCGAGCAGAACUGGCUCCUCACCCGCCCCCCACUCCCCCACUUCCGCUCGAGUUGGGGAUGCCGCUCUGGCCGCUGCCGGAAGAAACGCCCAGGAACGUCGGCUCCUCCGCCGCGGUGUAGUCCGAGACCUCAUCUAGGUGGAUGAGCACUUUAUAUUGCAGCGUCAUAGGCUCCAUCAGCGGCGAGCGCAUGCCCGGUUCAGGAACCGCCAGCCACCAGAGCGAGGGGAUUUCCUUCGGCUGCAUCGUCCAAGUAGAGAGCUUGAAUGCAGACAAGUCUGCCCUCAAGCUCGUGUCUGGCUCCAGCAUGUCCACCAGACAGGAAGAACUGAGCAGACACUCCACCACUUCCCUGUCCCACGCGUGCGGAGGAAUACCUUCGAGCACCAGCCUAACCUUGAAUUGAAAUGCGGCGUGCACCACCUGAGCUUGGCGGUUCCAUGGCCUAAAGAACAGCGGCACCCCUCUGUGAUCAACUGCAGGCAUCGCACUGACCCUGUUCUUGUGCUCCUGCCUCACAAAGACGACGAUGUAGUCCUAUGUCCUGAAGCGAUGAAUCGACACCCACUCUGCCUCAAUGUCAGCCUUGGUGUGCAGAGCGUCGAGAAUGAACUCCGGGGAAAGGUCCCGGCGCGCUCCGCCAGCGUAAACCACCAGGGUGGACUGAUGCCGCCUGUCAAGAUGUUCCAUGGUUUGGGCGCACCUAACCACGCACAGCUCAGAAGGGUUGAUGGUCGUGUCCAGAGGUAGCAUCAACCUCGGGGCCGCUGGGAGCGGGCUAGGAGCAGUGAGACGGGGCCACGGGUUCUCCACGGCCCCGGCCGGCGGCGGUGGAGGUGGCGGAAGCGGAGUGCCGACCUGCGCCCUGCUGCCAGCCGUCCUGCGCGCGACCUUGGCUAUGGCGAGGCGACGGAGCUCGACCUCAGAUGACAGACUGUGCGGGCGCUUGCAAUCCCUAGAACCAUGGCCUUCUUUGCCGCAUCUGAUGCAAACGAUGUCAUUGGUGUAGUCUUGACGAUGAUGGCCCUACCGAAGGCACCGGAAGCAGAGGCCGUCCAUGUCCGGGGAGGCCUCACGCCUGGCGGGGGGGAGGGAAGGAACCAGUGGUUGGGGAGCCAGAUCUCCCGCAUGGCGCCGUCUCCAGAGCGACCUCUUGACAGCUGGGCGGGAACCAAAAGCCGACCGCAGCCUCCCACCGCGGCAGCAUCCGCCUGAGCCGUGACCGUAGCGGGGACCGCCAGCGCCUACGACGAGACUUCUGGCACAUCGUGGCCGUCAGACGACUCAGAGCAGGAGGAGAUCCCCAGGACGGAGCCGCCACCGAGUUCGAGCUGGACGACAUGGCUGGGCCACGGAGCAAGGGGAAGGGGAGGUGGCCGACACCAUCGGAGUGGUAGGCGACGGGGAGGUGGAUGCCGGUGCUGGAGUGACGCACGGCGGGCUCAGCGCUAGGAGGAGAGGAGCAAGGGAGGAAAAAACAUUAGGACUCUAACAGGCCAAAAACACACUGGGCCGUAAUGGGGCCCAAAGGCUGAGCGAACAAUUAACGAGCCUGAUCUGGCGGUGGACCGUAAAUGGCUCAACCCUCUAGUACCUGAGCAAAGCUUAUGGGCCUUUGACUCGGCCAGCCUUUUUAACCUAAAUGGGCCACUGUUGGGUCGUGCCAUGUGUCAUUUUUUCAAAGGCCCAUCUUGUCCAAUGGAUGAAUGACAUCCGUCGCGACGCUGAGCUAACACGUGUUUCCUUUGGCCAAUGAGAAUUUUACACGUGGAAAAUCUCCCUUGGCCUGGGCUGUUAGCAGGUUAUCAGAUCCAAAACCGGACCCGAUAGCUUAACAGUGACCCAUUACAGUAGAUGCCACAUGUCGGUUACCCUUGACGAAAACAUUUUGAUGACGUGCCAUUUAUCGUCAUGGAAGUGGACACUUUCGUAAUGAUAAUUUGAGUAUUGUCAUGGAACACUUCCACGACAACACAUGUAUGACUAUCUUGAUUCUGUCAUAAAAUCGUCAUGGAUGUACAUGCAUGACAGAAAACAUGACCUACUGUGACAAACAUGUAUCAUCACAUAAGUGUUUUUUUGUAGUGAUGUGUGCUGGCACUGCUCCUCAAUGGAAAGCAAGAGAAGGUAUUGUUUUCAAGAUGGCCUAAGGUAUGAGCGCAGUUAGUCGUACCAACCUUGACUUCAGUGACAGGUUUGAAAAAUAAGAGCUUGUGGCGACCAGUGGCACAAGCAGUGAUACACCUGCAUGCGGCCGUACCAAAGGUCAUUGAUCGAUAUUUUUUCUUGAUUCUUUCCGGAUUUUGGUUCAAUUUUCUUCUAACUUCCUCUCUAAGAUUGAUCCUCUAACCAUUAUUUAAGGCCAAGGGUUACGUCCCUUCACUCAAUAUCAAUCUAAUCUCGAGUCCUUCUUGCAUGACACCUCUUCACCAAACCUUGUUCUACAAGAUAAACAAACCGGUCACCGCCAUGAGAAAUGGAUCUUCCCCAACUUCCAUCAAGAUCAUCUCCUUACCAAGCUUGGAGGAGGUCGUCCUGAUGGGAUGGGAGGAUCCCAGAAAAAUGAGCCUAAAGGAGGAUAUGCCAGAGGAGGUGGAGACUAGAAAGGGGAAGAUCAUCGAGGAAGAGAAGGAAAAAAAGAAGAAGAACAAGUUUAACAUCCGAGGAUCUAUUCCUCUAUCUCCUCUUGGGCCGGAACCACGUGAGUGGGGAAAGGAACAGCUGUCCCCCGACGCAAUAAGGGGAUAGAUCAAGGAUCUCGAGGAAGUCUCUAAGGCAUGACUUGACACUAUUGGUGAGGGGAUCGAUUCUUAUUGGAUGAUUAGCAAAGACAUGAAAGGUAGGGUCGACGAUCUCUUCCAUACGAUAGAGGGUUGGGCGAUGGAGAUACUUGGGAUUAACCAAACUCGUAAUUUCAUAACACUCUAAAUGUAGUUGUGCUCAACUUUCAAGUGAUGUAGACUGUUAGAUCCACAUAGUUUGACAACUAAGAUAGCUUGGAAUUGACCAAUUUUUGCUUUUGUGUAAUUUAUAUAAAAAUAGUAUCAUCAAGCUUGCAAGUUUAAUCAUUAGUGGAACUUAACGUAACAAGGUAAGGGCAUCUACUUCUUUUAGUCAUCCUUGAAACACAACUAAAACACAUUUGUAUCACAAACUUCCAUGCUUUAUUCCCAUUUAUUUUCGUAAGCAAAAAAAUUAAAAAUUACUAUUACAAGUUUCAAUAGUACAACCACAAUAGAGCAAAGUACCAACGCAAGUGAGACCUGGAUUUGUAGGAUCAUUGCAAAUGAACUCGUAGCAACAAGUUUUUUGUGCACAGCCUCUGCAUGGUGUGCACCGUCUUGAAACGGUUCUUUGAGGCAAAUAGGUCCCUUGGACAAUUGUCUUCCUGUCACGUACUGAGUUGUUAGUUGCGACACUUUCUGUUGUUCCUGUUCAUCAUGCACAUCAUAUAUUUAUGUUAAUUUGAAAUAUAAUGAUAAAGGGCAGUGGCAUCUCUUUUUAUAGCAUGAGAAUCUAAAUAAGAACUCAUAAGUCCAACCAACAGAACUCCAUUUUUUUACUCAUUUUUGUGUGCAAGUAUAUAUAAAAACCGUUUUAGCGGACACACACCCGUGGGGCCCGCACAACAACAACACUUUUAACCUAGGUAGUAAGUUAUCAUCGAUGGGGUGGCUCAACAAGGCGGUAAUUAACCCUAUAAAUAUUUUAUCUGAACGGAUAUUCAAUUAUGCAUAAAUAAAUAGCAAUUUUUCGUACAUAGUGUAGAAUAAAAAGUACACAACGACUUUGUCUAGAUAUAUUCAUGCUUAAUAAAUAGAAAGUUAAGAUUUCUUAAGCAAUAAAUGGUAAGUGAUUACCAAACUUUAUGAACAUUGAGCAACAUAUGAAUAACCAUAGGUGUACAAUGUUCGAACUUUGUCAGCCUGUAUAAUAAUAGGUUUUGCUUGGCCUUUUAGGCUAUUAUUAGUAUUAAUCGGCCAUAAAAGAUGUUAAAACUCGAGAUUUUUGUACCAGUAGCGGAUAUGUAGAUGAGGGUACCUAGUACUUGCAUAAGGCAUAUUUUAACGGAAUAUUCCACGCCUUGUGUCUAUAUUGGCAUAGGAUUGAUAUAUGAAUCUGGUAAAAGUCCACUUCUUUUUGUAGAUCUAUCACUCCAACAAAAAAGAUGUCUAUACAUACCUUGGGCUUGGAAGUGGGCACUGAGAAUAGAAACGAUGACAAGGGUGAUAAACAUAUGUGAGUAUGUCGCCAUGGGUAUCUAAUAAGAGAGAUCACUUAGGG